UUUUUUUGCUGAAGAGAAAGAGCAGGUUCUUACAUGUUUCCCAUGAUGUUUCUUAUAGGGCACCGGUGGCAUCACUAUCAAGAAGACGGGCAUGGCCCUGAUUCUCGGUAUCUACGAUGAGCCCAUGACUCCUGGCCAGUGCAAUUUGGUCGUGGAGAGGCUUGGCGACUACCUGGUCGAGCAGGGUUUCUAAGCCCGCCCUGAUAUGCUGUUAUUUUGGUCGUCUGGGACUAAGUUUGCUCUACUGUGGGCUUUGCAUCCAUCUGCUUGGCGUACCGCAUGAUAUAUGCAGUGAAUAAUUUUAGCUUGGGGUUUGUCGGUUGAUGAUGUGUCGAAGGGAAAAAAUGGAUUUACUAUGUUUUUCUUUUUAAUGUUUGGCAUCGCGUCGUAUCAAACUCAGCCGCUCUUUCGCUGAGUAAUGUACAUUUGCCUGGUCGUGGUAACUUGUGGGUUCUGCUGCUGCUUUAUUGAAGAUGAUUGCAAUUUUACUGACGUGCUUGCCUGGUCAUGGUACUUUGUCAUUGCAUUACUGUUGUCUGUGGGCUAGCGUUAGAUGGUUGAUGCUAAUAAUUGGUGCAAAAUUCAAUCACCACCCCGCCACGUAACAUUACAAUUCCAUUUGUCAACUCGUAAAUUGCGCAUCUAUGCAGCCAUGAUUCAACUAUUUGUUAACUCGUUUCAGUCCAUAUUUGUUCACUUAUUUCAGUUCAUGUUGAAAUAUCCAAACCAUCUUAUAAUUCAGGAUGGAGGUAGUACUUCUGAAUUUCUGAUACACUCACCUAUGUGAUAUGUUGCCCAUACCGUAGUAAUAGCUAGGGUUGAAAAUUUCCACAGCUAGUCGUUUUAAAAAAAUUACCGGAGCUACUCCCUCCAUUCACAAAUAUAAGAUGUUUUCAAUAUUUUAGACCAUAUAUGGAUUGAAAUGAGUGAAUAAAUACACUAAAAUGCGUAUAUAUACAACAGAAUCAGAAAAAAGGUUGGAACAUCCAAUGUUUUAAGGCGGUAAGGCGUGGCAAGGUGCCUCACCACCUAAAUGGUAAGGCAUAAGUCAAGGUGGAUGCCUUAGAGAGUUCUAAGCAACAGAAUGAAGUAGAAUUUGGUAGGCAACUAUGCGUAUACACUACACAUCUUGCACUUAGUGUUCAUAUAGCAUCCGUCCUCUCUUCUCCCCAACGGUAAUCAUGCAUUAUUCUAACCAUCCAGGCUGAAAAGCAGCAAGCAAUGAACAACUAAACAUGGAAUAAGCAGAGCAGAGGAGGGUGGGGGAGAAGGGGGAGGGAGAGGAGUAGAUGGGCUCCUUGUUGUUGCCUGUUGCUGGUUGUUGCUGUACUGAAGAGGAGGAUGAGGAGCCUGUUGCUGGUUGCUGCUGUACUGAAGAGGAGGAUGAGGAGCUGCUGAAGAGGAGGGGAGGAGGAGCUGCUGGAGAGGAGCUGCUGCAUAGGAGGGAGCAAAUCUGCUGGAGGAGAGGAGCCAGAGAAGGAGGAGAUGCGUGUGGGUUGGGGGCUGUUUCUCUCUCUCUUUCCCCCCUCUUACCUGUUGGUGCUAACAACAUCUCUAUUUCCCACCAAGAUUGUUUCCCGCCUAAAACUGCUUUCCUUCCUGGCUGGCAGGCUCAAGGCGUCCAACAUGGACUAGGGCACCUACCUGGAUGCCUUAGCACCGCUUCAGACGCCUUAAAGCUUAAGGCAGACGCCUUACUCAGGUACCUAAGGCAAGCUGGACCCCUUGAGCUUGCGGGGUGCCCUGACGCCUAUGCGUCGUCUAGGCGACACCUUAUGGACACUUUAAAAACAAUGAGAACAUCUUAUAAUAGUGAAUGAGGGAGUAGUUAUUUUCAUCAGGUCAGAGAUACAAGCGAAGUUUGUCGCAUUUUGCAAGUUGUACUAAACUGAAGGCACAUGGCAAGUUUAUGUACCGUCAGUGUAGUUACCUGAAAAGAUUGAUUAGUAUGGCCAAUUUUGCACACACAACCUUUUGUGUUUUGAAAGGUUCGUCACACUUCUGUUUUUAAAUUCUCACACUAUCAUACUACUCUGUCAUAAUACAGUGCAUAAUAGUUUUGUUUCAAGUCAAACUUUGUAAACAACUGCCAAAUCCUUAGAAUUUUUUAACUGAAAUAUCAAAUUAAUACCGUUAAAUUCAUUAUAAAGUACAUUAUCAGAUUGUACAUAUUUGCUAUUUAAAUGUUCGUAUAAUAUUUUUACAAACUUGGUCAAAAUUUACAACGUUUGACUUAGGAUAAAUUUAAAUGACUAUAUUUUGACAUAGAGGGCACAAUGUAUUUUUUAAGAGUACUUUGUGCGUACCAUAUUUUUAUAGAAGAGUAGAAAAUGUCUACAAUAGUCACUAGAAUAAUCACAGUCUGAUAGUAGGGCCACACCAUACCAGAAAUACAUGGGCACUGUAUGAAUUAUCGUAUUUUGUUGGAAAAUUCACAAGAUGUAUUGGACACCCAAUAGUGUUGUCCCUAUUAUUGGAUUAUCUAGCAGUAGAUGUAAUUAUCCUUUGGAUUUGCCGUGCAAAAUAAUAAUUUCUCUGGAGUUAGCCACUCUUGGAGACAUCCACUGGGUAACGAUGGAUGCAGCUAGCCCAGGGUCCAUCCAUACGUGAAGAUGGUUGUAUACACACCCAACCAACGGUGUUGCACUCGUACCCUGCACCGAAUCCGAUCAUCCACACCCUAUUGCCUUUCUUCAUCCGGCCUUUGGCCUCGAUGUAUGAUAACUCAUACCACACCGAUGAUGUCGAUUGGUUUCCAAAUCGAUGCAGCGUCAUCUUCGAUGGCUCAACAUGCUUGUCUGAUAGAUUAAGACCACGUUGUACCGAGGUGAUAACCGCCGGUCCGCCAACAUGGAUGCAGAAAUGCUCAAAUGCAACACAAAAGUUGGGGAUGUAUGGUCUAAUCUUCCACCAACGGAGCACCUUUUUCGCCACAUAGAAGAACAAAAACUUGAGAAGCUCUGAUGCGGGUAGGACAAGAGGCCCGGUUGUCAUGAUAUUUUCCUUGAGUGCGUUCCCAGCGACAUCCAUAAGGUCUUUAGAGAGAGCAAUCCCUAGGUUGCCCUUGUCAUCUUCCUCUUGAUAAACACAUCGGUAAGCAGCGUUGUUUGCCGCAGUGAUCGUCCGCGUGAAAUGUCCAAGACGAAACCGGGCCUUUGACUUAGAAGUCGAUAACAAUUUGGCAGCACCGCCUAUGCGGAACAAGACGUUAACCAACUGCAUAGAACGCUUAUUCCCCGCAUAGUAGAAUGGCCCAAUGGUCUCCGUCGACACCACCAACACAUGUGACCCCCAAGGCAUCACUUGCAACAUGUUGCUUGCGAGCCCCACUGCGGUCACUGAUGCAGAACACGCCAUCCCAGAGAGGUUAAUGACACGGAGAUCACCUCGUAACUUGUACCUGUUUACAAUCAUGUCAGCCAUAGAUGGUACCGGACUAAAUGUACUACAGUUGGUGAUAAGAGCACCAAUUGUGCCGUGGUUGAUGCACGUCUUGGCGAAAAGGUCAUCCAUCACAGAGAAGACCACCAACUCUGCUUCGGCACGUCCUUCGUCAAGCCCACAAUGUGGCUCUAUAUAGUGAUGUGCAUGCGGGACAUGUGUCUCAUCGCUCAUGCCCGAGCGCUCAAGAACAGUAGCUAUGAAGUUGACAGUAGAAUUAUCAAACAAAGGCGAGACAUGUGCAUGCUCCAGGAAGGCUGCCUUUGGGAUUCUUAAGUUGGAGCUCGGCCGGAAGCAAGCAUAGUCAACAAGGUAUACAGUUCUACGGCGGAGUGCAAGGUAGAUGGUAGCCGCGACGAUCGGUAGAACGACGGCAAGGAGUAGAUGGAUGGGAUAGAUGGCACUGAGUUGGGGCAUAGUCUCAAGUGAAGCAGGUAGCCAUGGUGCAACUCUCUUGAGGACGCCAGGUGCGAGUGUCAACGUGGUGACAAUUCGCAGGAGGAAGGUGCUGGCAGCGCGGUGGUAUAGAAAUACGAGGCUCUUGAGAUGAGACAGCAAACCCAUGGUGUUGGGUGGUUUGGUGUACGUGCAUGUAGAGGUGGCCGAUCGAGGAGGAUAUAUAGGAGGGAACAGCAAGGGCAUAUGCUAUACUUUGUAAUGUUGUACUACUUCAAAACAUUUGCAAAACUAAAACCUCCAACCGUGCAAGUGUCAACUGCCCGUGUCCAGCAUUUCUUUCCACUCAAAAUAUUUCUUAACAAAAACGUGGGAGAAAUACCUAACGUCAUAGGCUAAUAGGGAAUCUAGAUUAUUGCUCAAUAGUGCAUGAACGAUGAUAGUACGCUGUAGGAUGGCUCAUUAAUUGCGUGCCAGAUAAACCAUUUCACAGAAUAUUAUCAUGUGCACAUUUGUGUAGCCCAUGUUUUUCACAUCGCGCUGCAGGAACGCACUCUCAUUUCAGAUUUGACGUACGGAAAUAAUAUUCAAGAGGCAUAAUCUCUACUCUUAAUGGAGCAGUUGAUAGGAUUGGUAGCCUGGUAUGGUUUAUUCUCAUCCGGUUUAUGCUCAUCCGAUCCCAGGAGGCCGCUGCAGAUCAUGCACUUACAGGACACUCCUGUUUCUCGCCGUCGUCGCGGAACCCCAGGGAUGCCUCCGUCGCCGCCGAUCCGUGGGAGGCCGCCGCACAACACCACGCACGCAUUCGCCUCCGCCGAUCUCACGAAGGCCGCCGCGGAUCAGGUCCAAAUCUCGGUCUUGGCCUCCUCCUAUCCUCGCGCCGCCCCUCCUCUACCAUUGCAUGGGCAGCCCUCAAGCCACCUCGCUACCACCGCGGCCGGUGUCCUCCACCAUCGGAUGAGCAGCCCUGAAGCCGCCACGUUGCCGCUGCGGCCGAUUACAGUUAGAUCGGACUGCUGUGGAUGGCAGCGGUAUGCACUAUAGACCUUCCCCUCAUGUCGUCACGUUGCCACCAUCCUUGUUGCAAACGGCCGAGUCGAGGUAAGGAGCCUCACAACUGGUUUGUCCUAUUGCUUGCCUUUCAGAUUACAUCUUGUUUCUAUGUCUCCUCUCGCCGCUACGUCAGGUGACACUCAUCUUUGGUGAACAAAUUAGCAUCACCUGCGUGCUUGCUUGUGUUCGUUUCUAGUAGCCGGCAAGAAUCAAUCGAGUCUUCCUCUAUGUGUGCAACCUUGCCAUCAUGUGAUUGAAUCAAGGCAAGGGCAGCCAACAUUAAGGAUGUGCGAGUCUUGCCGGGAUCCGAUCUAUCAACUCAUUCAGCCAGCUAUAUAUGUUGUGUACAUUGUACAUGCAGAAACCACCAGCUGAGUCAAGGCUCCACCGGCCCUGUGCCAACAACUCAAUUAUGGAAGCAGAAGAACGGAUUAUGUGAAUUGAAUAUGUUUUCCCAUGUCUUGGUGGUAUCCAAGAGUGCAUGUCAUUCGUGUUUUUGAAACCAUCUUCCAUCACUUCUGAUAUUUUUGUUUUUCAUAGUUGUAAUUGUUCAGCAUUUGACUGGCAUAUGAAUGGUAUUUGUAAUAUCUUUCUUUUGUCCAUAUUACCAGGAAAUAUGUCGAAACACCAAAUGUAUUCCAUUUGUGGUGGACUAACAAAACAACACAACACAUAAACUGAGGAAUGUAAGUGCAAACAUUUAUUUCUCUUUAAAUUCUUGAGUAUGAUGCCAUUUUUGUUACAAGUGUUGAUUCAGUUCUAACAUUUCGAGGUUACUAAUCCAUUCCAAGUUAUCAUUGCUUAACAGCAAUGUUAUCCAAAGCUCAUGUGACUUGAUUGGUAUCUCCUUCUGUUUUAUGUCAUACCAAUAACUUGCAAUGUUGAAAUUAUGUUUUUUGGCGCCCACAUUUUCUAUAUAACUUGGAAAACUAUUGAAUACGCUAUCAGUAUGACGUCUGAAUAGCACUGCUUUGUCAGAUAUAUAGUCACCUUCAAGUCCAUCCAUAUUUUGUUUGGGUGAUAUAAAUAGCUUUGAAGGAGACAUCUACUAGCAGUUGAAUGAAGCAUCCUUAUAGUAACUCUGUGUGAAAGACUUGAUAUCAAGAAAACUACAAAUCUAGAAGAUGUAGAAGGUAGAACCAUAGAGAGAUGUGCAUGUUUAAUUGACAUAUAUUCAGGAGUACAUUUGUGAAGCUGAGAUAUCUUUAUUUUACAGGACAUGGUUGCUCUUGCUUCAUCUAAACAGUCUGUAUGGAAUUCCAUGGGACCGAGAUUGGUGUAGGAAAUCUUCAAAGCUAUUACAUUGGUGUAGAAAUAGACAUAAAAUGUUUUCCCAAUUUUGCACCUCAGAAGUCGUAAAAUGAGCUUGAGUUAAAAUUAAUCAGGGGAGACAAGUUCUUGUUUACCAUCACAAAUAUGUACUGUAAAUUAGGCAUGACACACUGAUUGUCUUGUUUGGAUUUAAUUUGCAACAAGCUAUAUGUUUGUGUUUCUAUAGUCAUGAAGAGGAAGACAAUGCUUUCCUUUUUGUAAACUAAUAAUAUAAAUGUAAUUUCUUUGCAUUGUUUAUUGACCAUAUGGUCUGUACUUAACCAUCAAAAGUAACUAUUGCCCACCUGCACACCGGGCACAUAUCCUUACUCACCGCCGGCGUAUGGAAGAACUACGGCGUCGGCGUGCUUUACCUGGAGAGGAUAUGCAGCAGUGUGUGGCGUUGUACUCCUACAUAGUUGUGCCUCAGGUAACCUCAAGUUCACUUGGCCUGGUUGCCUAAUCAUGUGAACACAUAAAAACAUUAGGUGAAAGUGUUGGGUUGUCUCUCAACAAGCGCUUUUUUAAUGGAUUUUAGCUAGGCAUGAUAAGUUCAAUGAUGCUCGCAUAAAAGAUAAGGAUUGAAACACAAAAGGAGAGCAUCAUGAAGCAUAUGACUAGCACAUUUAAUUCUAACCCACUUCCUAUGCUAGGGAUUUUGUGAGCAAACAAUUUAUGGGAGCAAAAUAAUCAACUAGUAUAGGAAGGCAAAACAAGUAUAACUUCAAAAAUUUGAACACAUAGAGAGGAAACGUGAUAUUAUUGCAAUUCCUACAAGCAUAUGUUCCUCCCUCAUAAUAAUUUUCAGUAGUAUCAUGAAUGAAUUCAACAAUAUAACUAUCAAAUAAAGCAUUCUUUUCAUGCUGCAUAAGCAUAGAAAUUUUAUUACUCUCCACAUAAGCAAAUUUGUUCUCAUGAAUAGUAGUGGGAGCAAAGUCAACAAAAUAACUAUCAUGUGAGUGAAAAUUAAUAUCAUGAUGACAAGUUUCAUACUGAACUAAAACCACGACGAGUAAAUCGGAGCGGAGGGAGUAGUUAUCAUUAUACUUUAUGCAUAAAUGUCAUCUUCAUAAUCAUCAUAGAUGACAGCUUUUUUAUCAUAGUCAAUUGAAACCUUUUCGAAGUAGUGGAUCCAUCAUUAAAUGAAUUCUUGACCUCUCCAAAUCCACUUUCAUAAUUAUAAUCAUCAUAAAUAGAAGGCAUGCAAUCAUUAUAACAAAUUUGCACAUCAAAUCCUGGGGGAAUAAAAAUAUCAUCUUCAUCAAACAUAGCAUCCCCAAGCUUAUGGCUUUGCAUAUCAUUAGCAUCAUGGAUAUUCAAAGAAUUCAUAAUAAAAACAUUGUAAUCAUACUCAUCAUUUAUACCAAACAUUCUAUUGAAUUCUUCUUCUAUAAAUUGAGCACAAUUUUCCUUUCCAUCAUUUUCACGAAAGACAUUAUAAAGAUGAACAAUAUGAGGCAACCUCAAUUACAUUUUCUGUAGUUUUAUUUUUAUAAACCAAACUAGUGAUAAAAUAAGAAACUAAAAGAUUCAAUUGCAAGAUCUAAAGAUAUACCUUUAAACACUCACCUGCUCGGCAACGGCGCCAGAAAAGAGCUCGAUAUCUACUACACAACUUGUUCUUGUAGACUCGUGUUGGGCCUUCAAGCAUAGAGUUUUGUAGGACAGUGGCAAAUUUCACUCAAAUGGAUGACCUAAGGUUUAUCAAUCCAUGGGAGGCGUAGGAUGAAGAUGAUCUCUCUCAAAUAACCGUGCAACCAAAUAAUAAAAAGUCUUGGGUCCCCAACACACCAAAUACAAUGGUAAUUUGUAUAGGUGCACUAGUUCGGCGAAGAGAUGGUAAUAAAAGCUUAGUAAUGACAGUAGAUAUUGGCUUUUGUAAUAAGAACAAUGAAAACAUCAAGGUUGCAAUUGAUAAAACGGAGUACAAACGGUAUUGCAAUGCUUCAAAAUGAGGCCUGGGUCCGUACUUUCGCCAGUGCAAUCUCUCAACAAUACUAAUGUAACUGGAUCACAUAACUAUCCCUCAACGUGCGAUGAAGAAUCACUCCAAAGUUCUUAUCUAGCGGAGAACAUAAGAAUAAAUUGUUUGUAGGGUACAAAACCACCUCAAAGCUAUUCUUUCCGAUCGAUCUAUACAAGAGUUCAUACUAAAAUAAUACUAAAGCAAAUUCAGAUUCGUAAUACUAAAUCCAACACAAAGAACCUCAAAGAGUGCCCCAAGAUUUCUACCGGAGAAACAAAGACAAGAACGUGCAUAAAUCCCUAUGCAUAGAUUACCCCAAUGUCACCUCGGGAAUCCGCGAGUUGAGUGCCAAAACAUAUAUCAAGUGAAUCAAUAUAAUACCCCAUUGUCACCACAGGUAUCCAUACGCAAGACAUAUAUCAAGUGCUCUCAAAUUCAUAAAAGUAUUCAAUCGGAUAAAAUGAAAUCUCAAAGGGAAAACUCAGUUCAUCACAAGAUAGAGAGGGAAAAACACCAUAUGAUCCGACUAUAUUAACAAAGCCCACGAUACAUCAAGAUCGUGACAUCUCAAGAACAAGAGAGAGAGAGAGAGAGAGAGAGAGAGAGAGAGAGAGAGAGAUUAAACACAUAGCUACUGGUACAAACCCUCGGCCCGGAGGGUGGACUACUCCCUCCUCGUCAUGCUGGCGCCGGGAUGAUGAAGAUGGCCACCGGUAAUGAUCUCCCCCUCCGGCAGGGUGCUGGAACGGGGGUCUAGAUUGGUUUUCAUGGAUACAGAGGCUUGCGGCAGCGGAACUUCUGAUCUAGGGUCUCCGCGAGGGUUUGUGGAAUAUUUGACGAUUUAUAGGGUGAAGAGGGGGUGCGGGAGGCCACCAAGGUGGGCACCCCUAGGUGCUGCUCUGGCCCAUUGGAUGUCUUCUGGUCCAUAAAAAAUCAACAAAAAGUUUUGCGGUGUUUGGACUCCGUUUGAUAUUGAUUUCCUGCGAUGUAAAAAACAAGCAAAAAACAACAACUAGCACUGGGCACUGGGUGAAUAAGUUAGUCCGAAAAAUGAUAUAAAGUUGCUAUAAAAUGAUUGUAAAACAUCCAAAAACGAUAAUAUAACAGUAUGAAUACUUCAUAAAUUAUAGAUACGUUGGAGACGUAUCAAGAUGCAGCUUAUAAAGUUUCAUACUUCCGCUCCAGUACUUCUUAAAAAAAUUCAAAGUGUGCAUAUGUUUAUUGUUCUGUGUUGUAUUCCUGGACUUUGUGUGGUCCGAGCCGCUGAAUUUUUUGGAUUUGGUUUCGCUGUACCUGCAGAAAUUUUGGCAUGUUUAGCACUUUAGUUAUGCUUCUCGAGUAGCAUUGGAAUUGUUCUCAGACUACUUUCUCUUGUGAUAGCUUUAGCGAUGAUGGAAAUUGGAGUGCAGCUUGAUUGUUAACACCUCAUUCUAUGGCAGGCUUGGCAAAAAGGCGGCAGCUGACGAAAGGAGGUCACCACCAAGAUGAGCGAGACCGUUUUGACGGACUCAGGUGUGUGCUCUCGUUGGUGGUUUCAGUUUGGUAAUUCUCGUUACACCUAGCUUCUGUUCUCUCAAUUUCUGGGAAUUUUGUGUGCCAUUGCAUUAUUGAAUACAUGCCAGCAGGAUGGAAAGCAGUGAGCAGCGGCGCAUCAUCCAGAGGCGGCUAGCAUGAGGCUAAACCUGCCUUUCCUCCACGUUGAUGAAUAGCAGGACCUAGGAUAGCUAAGGUGUGCAUGUAGAUAGAGGCGCUCCUGCAAGAGAUGAGGGAGCAGUUGGUGGUCCGGACGGCGAAGAUCAGGUCAACGUCGGCUGCUUUGCUGUGCCAUUGCCACACUUCGGCUGGUACACGCUCGGACGGCCAUGGCGCCGGCGUCACUUCGUCAUCUUCUCUGGAGCCACACCAUUUCUGCGGGAUAAGCGAGUUGGAGGAAGAUGGGAGAGAUGAGUCGCUUACUCAUUGACAGAAAAUCAUUUGGGCGGAACCUCCUUUUCACGAGGGAUGAUUGAUUGUUCCUCCGCCUUCGCUUUUGUGACCUGUGCGUUGCAUGUGAACCACUGUUGUUUAGGUUGUUGGUCAUGUAAACUAUAAGGACAUAUUAAUACAAGGGUCUGUUUAGGACACAUCUAGAUGUGACAUAGUUAUAUCACAUCUAAGUUGAUGUCCAUCUGUUUGUGGUCUUUCUUUUUGUCCUAUUUUUUUUUUUUUUGAGAAUCACCGGGGGAGGAGUUCCUCCACCUGAAUAUAUUACUCAAAGUGGACAAAUGCCAGAGGAGUGAUCCAGUUUAUAAGGAAAACCGAAUCGAAAACCUUAACAAAUUGACCCAUUUAUAAGGAAAACCAGGCCAAAAACCAUACAAGACACAACCAAGCUAGUGGACAUAAGACCAUCACCACGAGAGACACAAGUAGAUGUGGGGUGUCGUCGGGAGAUCACAAUACCAAGACUUUGCAAACAGCCAAACGCAUCGGCAAGCAUACCGGCCCCCAUGGCACAACUCAGGAGCAUCCACAAUCAAUGAGUGUCAUCCCAGACACGAACCUUGACUGGGACUCCGCCACAGGAAAUCGGAGCGAUAGCAAUUUUGAGAGGCAUCUUGCACCGACCUUGAGCAAAGAUGAGCUGAGACAACACUAAGAGCACGACGCUCGCCGCAACACAAUGGGAACCAUGAGAGGGUCUUGAGCAACCAUCCAACUGAGCCGCACGAGAACACCACCACCGUAGACGAAGAACUCCAAUCAACCGAGACCAUACAUGGUGCCUCAAGGCUAUUGGCGCAACCCAAGGGCAACGAGAGACCGAGUCCACACCCGGACGAAGAGUCACACGCAGUUGAGGCUACAUCACAACAGCGGCACCGCCAGCGAAGAAGAAGGGCAUCAAGGGGCUGAGUCUACAUCCGGAUCGCUUCACCGUGCAUACCAGCGCAAGCCGGCCGCGCCACCACCACCGCAUCACACACCACCAUCGACCCCUGCCGGCCGCAUAAACACACCACCAGCAUCUCCGCUGCACCACGACCAACAUUCCAGCAGCAAGCAACACCCACACAACAACCAUAUUGACCCCAAAGAUGACGCCUUCAAGAAGGGCCACGAUGCUGGUUGCGCCGCCAUCAUCCGUACAGGAUGACCUGGACUAGGGGUUUCCCCGGGGGUCUCCACAAGGGGGGUGCAGACAACAAAUACAAUGACGCCUCCAAGGAGGUUAGCGGCGCCCACGGGCGUCGCCGCCGCCGUGUGAUGCCCACGAUUCAAUCGUACACUAAUCAUGCACGCAAACGUGUACGAUCAAGAUCAGGGACUCACGGGAAGAUAUCACAACACAACUCUAAAAACAUAAAUAAGUCAUACAAGCAUCAUAAUACAAGCCAGGGGCCUCGAGGGCUCGAAUACAAGUGCUCGAUCAUAGACGAGUCAGCGGAAGCAACAAUAUCUGAGUACAGACAUAAGUUAAACAAGUUUGCCUUAAGAAGGCUAGCAUAAACUGGGAUACAGAUCGAAAGAGGCGCAGGCCUCCUGCCUGGGAUCCUCCUAAACUACUCCUGGUCGUCGUCAGCAGCCUGCAUGUAGUAGUAGGCACCUCCAGUGUAGUAGUCGUCGUCGACGGUGGCGUCCGGCUCCUGGGCUCCAGCAUCUGGUUGCGACAACCAGAAAGAAAGGAAAGGGGGAAAAGGGGGGAGAAAGCAACCGUGAGUACUCAUCCAAAGUACUCGCAAGCAAGGAGCUACACUACAUAUGCAUGGGUAUAUGUGUAAAGGGCCAUAUCAGUGGACUGAACUGCAGAAUGCCAGAAUAAGAGGGGGAUAGCUAGUCCUAUCGAAGACUACGCUUCUGGCAGCCUCCGUCUUGCAGCAUGUAGAAGAGAGUAGAGUGAAGUCCUCCAAGUAGCAUCUCCAAGUAGCAUCUCCAAGUAGCAUCUCCAGUAGCAUCGCAUAGCAUAAUCCUACCCGGCGAUCCUCCCCUCGUCGCCCUGUGGAAAAGCGAUCACCGGGUUGUCUGUGGAACUUGGAAGGGUGUGUUUUAUUAAGUAUCCGAUUCUAGUUGUCAUAAGGUCAAGUUACAACUCCGGGUCGUCCUUUUACCGAGGGACACGGCUAUUCGAAUAGAUAAACUUCCCUGCAGGGGUGCACCACAUUACCCAACACGCUCGAUCCCAUUUGGCCGGACACACUUUCCUGGGUCAUGCCCGGCCUCGGAAGAUCAACACGUCGCAGCCCCACCUAGGCACAACAGAGAGGUCAGCCCGCCGGUCUAAAUCCUAUGCACGCAGGGGUCUGGGCCCAUCGCCCAUUGCACACCUGCACGUUGCGAGGGCGGCCGGAAACAGACCUAGCAACCUCCAUUACAAAGGAAGUUGCGUUAACGCAGUCCAAUCCGGCGCGCGCCGCUCCGUCGCUGACGUCAAGAAGGCUUCGGCUGAUACCACGACGCCGGGAUACCCAUAACUACUCCCGCAUAGAUGGUUAGUGCGUAUAGACCAAAUGGCCAGACUCAGAUCAAAUACCCAGAUCUCGUUAAGCGUGUUAAGUAUCCGCGAACGCCGAACAGGGCCAGGCCCACCUGUCUCCUAGGUGGUCUCAACCUGCCCUGUCGCUCCGCCACAAAGUAACAGUCGGGGGCCGUCGGGAACCCAGGCCCACCUCUACCGGGAUGGAGCCACCUGUCCUUUCAGCCCCCUCAUCAGAAUCACUUGCGGGUACUCAACGAGAUGACCCGACUUUAGUCACCAUCUGCAUAGUAUGUAUGUAUGUAUAGUGUAUACCCGUGAUCACCUCCCAAGUGACCACAGCCCGAUAGUAUAGCAAGGCAGACUGACAAGAAUGUAGGGCCAAUGAUGAUAAACUAGAAUCCUAUACUAAGUAUUUAGGAUUGCAGGUAAGGUAUCAACAGAUGUAGCAACAAUGUCAGGCUAUGCAUCAGAAUAGGAUUAACGAAAAGCAGUAACAUGCUACACUACUCUAAUGCAAGCAGUAUAGAGGAGAAUAGGCGAUAUCUGGUGAUCAAGGGGGGGGGCUUGCCUGGUUGCUCAGACAAGGAGGAGGGGUCGUCGGUGACAUAGUCGACCACAGGGGCAUCAGCAUCGUCACGGGGUCUACCGGAGAGAAGAGGGGGGAGAAACAGUAAAUACAUAGCAAGCAAGUGCAUAACAGGACAACAAGCAGAGCUAGACGUGUUCUAUCGCGGUAUGAGGUGAUACCGGUGAAGGGGGAAAACAUCCGGGAAAGUAUCCCCGGUGUUCCGUGUUUUCGGACAGAUGAACCGGAGGUGAAAUGUUGCAGGUUCACUAUGCUAGGGACGCGUGGCGGAUGAACGAGCUGCGUAUCCGGAUCCGUCUCAUCGUUCCGAGCAACUUUCAUGUUGAAAAUAAUUUAAUCCGAGUUACGGAUUAAAAGAUAUGAUUUUCUAAAGAUUUUAAUAAUUUCUGGAAUUUAAUUAAUUAUUUAAUUUAAUUCGAAAAUGUAUUUAUGACAUCAGCAUGAUGUCAUGCUGACAUCAGCAGUCAACAGGGUUGACUGGGUCAAACUGACAUGUGGGGUCCGCAUGUCAUAGACUGAACAGGCUAAUCAGGUUUUAAUUAAGUUAACUAGUGAUUAGAUUAAUUUAAUCAGGAUUAAUUAAGUUAAUUAAUUAACGAAUUAAUAUUUUAUUUAUUAUAUAUAUAUAUAUAUAUAAUUUUAUUAAGUCCUCCUUUUUUUGUUCUCAGGGGCGUGGGCCCCGUUUGUCAUUGGCCUAGAGGCCAUAGCGGGCACGAGCGCUAACGGGCAUAGCCCGAACGGGCGCUAACCCGCGGGGGCACACCCGACCAGGCAACAAGGGGCGGCUGGUGGGCGCGGGCGCCAGCACGCCGGCGUUGAGCUCCGGCGGCUGCGACCGGGCGGAGCAUGGGGAGGGCCGCGGCUGCCGACAUGCAGCAGGGCGGCCAGAGGCGGACGACAUGAGCGCGAGGCCACGACGAGAGGGGCGGAGGCUCCUCGGUGCAACACAGGGCGAGCGGGGAGGAGCAACGCGUGCGGGCGCGGCGAACUGGUGCGGGGGCUCGCACCCGACGCCAUGAGAGGCGAGGGUGAGCGCGCCUGGGGGCCUCGAUGGUCGCGAGCGGAGGCGGCCGGGGACGUGCCGGCCACGGCAGACGUGGUGCGCGGGAGCAACGGCCGUCAGGGCGGUGCGUGUGGUGAGCGCGGACGGGGCGAGGAGCAAAGGGUCGGCGCGGCGACNNNNNNNNNNNNNNNNNNNNNNNNNNNNNNNNNNNNNNNNNNNNNNNNNNNNNNNNNNNNNNNNNNNNNNNNNNNNNNNNNNNNNNNNNNNNNNNNNNNNNNNNNNNNNNNNNNNNNNNNNNNNNNNNNNNNNNNNNNNNNNNNNNNNNNNNNNNNNNNNNNNNNNNNNNNNNNNNNNNNNNNNNNNNNNNNNNNNNNNNNNNNNNNNNNNNNNNNNNNNNNNNNNNNNNNNNNNNNNNNNNNNNNNNNNNNNNNNNNNNNNNNNNNNNNNNNNNNNNNNNNNNNNNNNNNNNNNNNNNNNNNNNNNNNNNNNNNNNNNNNNNNNNNNNNNNNNNNNNNNNNNNNNNNNNNNNNNNNNNNNNNNNNNNNNNNNNNNNNNNNNNNNNNNNNNNNNNNNNNNNNNNNNNNNNNNNNNNNNNNNNNNNNNNNNNNNNNNNNNNNNNNNNNNNNNNNNNNNNNNNNNNNNNNNNNNNNNNNNNNNNNNNNNNNNNNNNNNNNNNNNNNNNNNNNNNNNNNNNNNNNNNNNNNNNNNNNNNNNNNNNNNNNNNNNNNNNNNNNNNNNNNNNNNNNNNNNNNNNNNNNNNNNNNNNNNNNNNNNNNNNNNNNNNNNNNNNNNNNNNNNNNNNNGUUAGGGUUUGGGGGAGGGAGUGGAUAAGGAGGGGGUAGUGGAUAAGGAGGGGGGUAGUGGGCCGGCCGGCUGGGCCAAGUGGGCGAAUGGGCCGGCCCGCUGGGUCUGCUGGCCCGGGGGGGGGGUCUUUCUCUCUCCUUUUCUUCUAGUUUUAGUGUUUAGUUUUUCUGCUUUGUUUUUAAUUAUUUUCUUUUCUGUUUUAAAUCACUUUAAAUUAUUUAGACAUUUUAUAAAAAUGUGUUUGCUGCACCAUAAUUACCCUUGUAAUAUUUGGCAACCACCGAGCAUUUUUGUUUCAAGUUCUGAAAACUUUUAUUAUCAACAAUAAUUUUAAAUUCGAAUUUGACGCGGUUGAACUAACAGACAUUUAGCAAAAGUAAUCGGGAUGACAUGGCAUCACUAGCAGAGGAUCACUGUAGCUUAAUUACCCGGGCGUCACAAUUCUCCUCCACUACAAGAAAUCUCGUCCCGAGAUUUAAGAGGGUCUAAGGGGGAAACGUUUGUUUACGAAAUUCUAACGAAUCUUCUCGGUCUUGGUUGCUCCUCUCAAAGUGGUCGAUCCAUUAUAUUGAUGUCUUCAUUUUUCUGCUUCAGGUCAUCAAGAUGAAGUCGACAUCCUUUCCUUGGGGGUUCCAUCGUACUUACGACAGAAUAAGGGGGUUAUUCCGGGAGAACGAACCUCUACAAGGUUGACUAUCUGGUCGAUAACAUCGGGGAAGGUGGCGGAAAGUAACUCUUGAAUUGAAACUUAAGUAAAUAUCGAGAGCAAGUAAUGAGGUUUCAUGGGAAGUUUCGAGUGAGCAGGCAACAGUUCGCUGCCUGAACAGGGCUUGAAAAGGGCUCAAAGCAAUCGGGACUAAGUAUUGCGUCCGGUAACAGAUUUGAUGAUCUCUCGGAAGGUGGCUCGUGAAUUACAUACGAGGCCACACGCGAGGAAGAACCUUGGGAACAGGGGGUGCAGGAGAGUCAAGUUUCGAUCCUGGGAACUAUGGGUUAUGGGCCCACCAUGUGGGUUAAAGGUAGGAAGGGGGGCUGACAUCUUACAUGGUCACAAUAGCAAGGCAUGCCAGAGGGUAGCCUAUUAGUUAUGUCGGCAACAACAUCGAUACCAAGGGUGAGGGACGAAGAGAACCAUUUUCCUGCUCGCUGAACGAGGCGGACCAAUAGGGAAAGUUCCCGUCCAUCGGUGGUUACCGAAAUGUCAUCAACAAUAGUAACAGGGUCUGACUGAUAAGGUAGUACGCCGAGGUGUUUUCGUAAGCAGGAAAAUAUUAGUGCUUAGAUCUUAUAGAUCACUAGAAAGGUUAAACCAAACAAUGGAAAUGAUUAUAUCAUUAUCAGAUUAGAUAGAACAAUGGAAAGGAAAACGUGUUAGAACACAUAUCCCCUGGGUAUAUCCUUCCCACGGACAAGUAAGGCAUGAUAUGCAAGACAGGAUACAAAGCAGAAAACCCUUUAGGUAAGGGGAGAGAAACUUCAUGACAUUACCCAUACAACAGUGUCUGGAUAAUUGAGUAAGAAACAUUUAGCAUUGGGCUCCGAUGGAAUCAUCGGCAAUUCAUCGAGAUUUAACAAAAGAUGGAUUUCCACAAUUAUGUGAACAAGGAGAUAACAUUUGUCAGAUCAAAUGGUAUAAUGAUGUAUGCUCGAGGAAAACAUACACAAUUAAACAUUGGAUGAAAGGUGCACCCGAAUAUGGGCUGGGUUGCACAACCAAUGUCGGAAUGGUGAUUCAAUAAUCAAUAGGCUAAGGAUGAACGGUCAACCAUUAACUUCAAAGCAAGAGGGUUGCUAGAAGGGCAGAAUCCAAACAACACCGUUCACUUGUGGGUACCCCGGUUGGAAUCAACACGAGGACCAAGAAAGAAUGGUGAGGGUGAGAAGUUAUCACAAUACCAAGAACUCUCAAGACGUGGUGAAAUUCUCACGACAUUCUUGACAUAAAAGAAGGUAAUACUCCAAGGUAAAGAAGAACAAAUGCUGGGGAGCAAGGAUCUCAAGGUAUACACAAAACACGAAAAAGUUUGUGUUGAACGGAAGGCAAUAAAGUGGUCGAUGAUAACACAAAUCAUCGAGGGAAGGAUGGUAUUUCCCAUCAUGAAUUCGAUUGGUAUCCUGGAAGGAGUUAAAAUGUUGAUCAUGAUCACGACACAUUUGUCGAGAGAUUUCAUGAAGAUGUAAUCGAUUGGCGAUAACAUCAAGUCAAAGGAUUUAUGAAGCAAAAGGUUAUUGGAACCAUGCGUACGACACAAACUCAAAAUCAAGCUUGUUGUCCAAAGCGAAAUGAUAUGAUGAGGAAGAUCGACGUAAGCUUAGCUCAUUGUCAAAAAUUAUGCUCUGGGAAGAGGACCAGGUAGCACAGUUAAAAUCGGCACGACAAGGAUAUAGCUAAACAUGCUAGGAAUGACGUGAUUGAGUUCAAACUCGUAAGUAAUGAAGGUUACCAAGAGUUGCUUAAUCGCGAUGCGGACUCGAGUCCGUUAUCGGUGUCUUUGAGUGUUAAAUAACUCAGAGCCCGUGAAAAAUUGGAAUCAAUGAGAAUGUAGCACUUGAUGAAGAACUCAUAAGAAGUUAUGCAGUUCCGUGAUAAUCUUGAGAUACCAGGGGGUAAUACUCGACGACAAAUCAAAGUAGAGGUUGGACUGGGGUAUUACUCUGUAGAAGACAAGUGCUUAAACUUGCACGAGAAAUGGUAUUUAAAGGAGAACAUGGUCGGAACCACGAUUGCAUAAGACCAGAUCCCAGAUAUAAGAUGAACUUAUACCAAAGGAAUAAUUAAUUUAAGAGAAGCUUCAAUGAUACGAUCUACAUCAUGUCCAUGGGCAUAAACACAAAGUUCAAGGUCGACUCCCACUUCUCCAAUGCAUAACCUUUCAUUCCCUUCUCACUUUCAAAGAAGUUGUAGUGUUGGAAUUUUAUCUGGCAAAAUACCAGAAGAGUAUGACUCGUGAAAACUUCCGAGUUCACACAUAUUAAGGAAGGCAUAGGUUCAACCCAUCGGGUUAUCUUAUAAACAUAUGCCACCAGCUACAAGAGUAAAUGUCACCAGCUCCAAGCAGAGCAGGGUUGGCCAAAUCAGAGAAUAGGAUUUAUUAAUGGCAUUAGGUAUCAGGGAAAGAACUUCUCGAGGUUUUCGUAUACAACGGACUCUGUCGGAUGAUAAUUCAACAAAUGACCUGAUGGUCCGUAACGGAGCUGAUGUGAGUAUCGCCACACAACCGGCGAAAGAAACAAUACAAAGGCAUUGGAUUAUAGAAGCAACUGACUAUUUCAAAGCACAAUUGCAAAGGAAUUAUGAUUUCUAAUUCAAGGGAUCAAAAGCAACGCUCUGAUUAGGGAUGGAUAACUUGAAUAGCCUUAGGGGUACAAUCAACGAUAAUUUGAUUGGUCGAGAACCAGCUCAUGUUCAAAAAUGACGUCUGAGCCGGAAGGACGAACUCUAAUUGCGACUGACGAUUGUGAACAUCUGCAACAUAUUGAAUCAACGGUCUCAAAAUGAUAGUGCAAAGGAUGUCAAUGAAUAAUGCUAGGCAUUUGGAUUUAACCAUAAUGCAGGCAGACAAGAAUUUCUAGAGCCAUAGGCUGCAAAGGAUUCUCGAAAAAUCGGAUAAUAUUUCGAAGAAUUUUGUGAAACACCUGAACAACUGGGGGAAUGAGCGGAUACUCGAUAAGGGCAAGAAAUUAUCCGUAGGGGUAUUCAUAUGGCAAAGAACUGCAAGGCAGUAGGCACAAAAUAUCCUAGGAACAAUAGAGAGGAUUUCAGGGUAUCUUGUAAUAAUAAGAUCAACUAGGAAUAGAAGUAAGAAUGAGAAGUGUAUGCAAUUUUCAUAGGGGUUGACGGUGGAAGGAAAUCGCAAAUGCGAUGGCACAAAGACUUGAGAGAACAUUGUAGAGUAACUUCGACAUCUUCUAGUGCAGCAGGCGAUCUGAAUUGAGGGGCUCUCCGGGAGAAAGUAUUUUCGAGAACCUAAAGUUAGUUUUGUUUUUGGCAAAAUCAUUUAACCCGAAUAGAAGAGAGAUCAGAGUCCCAGAGUAUAGGUCGAGGAAUAAAAGAUCCUAAUACCACCCAAUGGCGACGUGGGCCCAUGGGCUGCACAGCCAUGUUAGUAAAACAGUUUUCAUCGACUAGACUCAACUUCGGCCAAGGAGUUGGAAAGUGGAUUCCUACAGGCAGUCGGCUCUGAUACCAACUUGUUACGCCCCCGAUUCAAUCAUACAUUAAUCAUGCACGCAAACGUGUACGAUCAAGAUCAGGGACUCACGGGAAGAUAUCACAACACAACUCUAAAAACAUAAAUAAGUCAUACAAGCAUCAUAAUACAAGCCAGGGGCCUCGAGGGCUCGAAUACAAGUGCUCGAUCAUAGACGAGUCAGCGGAAGCAACAAUAUCUGAGUACAGACAUAAGUUAAACAAGUUUUCCUUAAGAAGGCUAGCAUAAACUGGGAUACAGAUCGAAAGAGGCGCAUGCCUCCUGCCUGGGAUCCUCCUAAACUACUCCUGGUCGUCGUCAGCAGCCUGCACGUAGUAGUAGGCACCUCCAGUGUAGUAGUCGUCGUCGACGGUGGCGUCCGGCUCCUGGGCUCCAGCAUCUGGUUGCGACAACCAGAAAGAAAGGAAAGGAGGAAAAGGGGGGAGAAAGCAACCGUGAGUACUCAUCCAAAGUACUCGCAAGCAAGGAGCUACACUACAUAUGCAUGGGUAUAUGUGUAAAGGGCCAUAUCAGUGGACUGAACUGCAGAAUGCCAGAAUAAGAGGGGGAUAGCUAGUCCUAUCGAAGACUACGCUUCUGGCAGCCUUCGUCUUGCAGCAUGUAGAAGAGAGUAGAGUGAAGUCCUCCAAGUAGCAUCUCCAAGUAGCAUCUCCAGUAGCAUCGCAUAGCAUAAUGCUACCCGGCGAUCCUCCCCUCGUCGCCCUGUGGAAAAGCGAUCACCGGGUUGUCUGUGGAACUUGGAAGGGUGUGUUUUAUUAAGUAUCCGGUUCUAGUUGUCAUAAGGUCAAGGUACAACUCCGGGUCGUCCUUUUACCGAGGGACACGGCUAUUCGAAUAGAUAAACUUCCCUGCAGGGGUGCACCACGUAACCCAACAUGCUCGAUCCCAUUUGGCCGGACACACUUUCCUGGGUCAUGCCCGGCUUCGGAAGAUCAACACGUCGCAUCCCCACCUAGGCACAACAGAGAGGUCAGCCCGCCGGUCUAAAUCCUAUGCGCGCAGGGGUCUGGGCCCAUCGCCCAUUGCACACCUGCACGUUGCAAGGGCGGCCGGAAACAGACCUAGCAACCUCCAUUACAAAGGAAGUUGCGUUAACGCAGUCCAAUCCGGCGCGCGCCGCUCCGUCGCUGACGUCAAGAAGGCUUCGGCUGAUACCACGACGCCGGGAUACCCAUAACUACUCCCGCGUAGAUGGUUAGUGCGUAUAGACCAAAUGGCCAGACUCAGAUCAAAUACCCAGAUCUCGUUAAGCGUGUUAAGUAUCCGCGAACGCCGAACAGGGCCAGGCCCACCUGUCUCCUAGGUGGUCUCAACCUGCCCUGUCGCUCCGCCGCAAAGUAACAGUCGGGGGCCGUCGGGAACCCAGGCCCACCUCUACCGGGAUGGAGCCACCUGUCCUUUCAGCCCCCUCAUCAGAAUCACUUGCGGGUACUCAACGAGCUGACCCGACUUUAGUCACCAUCUGUAUAGUAUGUAUGUAUGUAUAGUGUAUACCCGUGAUCACCUCCCAAGUGACCACAGCCCGAUAGUAUAGCAAGGCAGACUGACAAGAAUGUAGGGCCAAUGAUGAUAAACUAGCAUCCUAUACUAAGUAUUUAGGACUGUAGGUAAGGUAUCAACAGAUGUAGCAACAAUGUCGGGCUAUGCAUCAGAAUAGGAUUAACGAAAAGCAGUAACAUGCUACACUACUCUAAUGCAAGCAGUAUAGAGGAGAAUAGCCGAUNNNNNNNNNNNNNNNNNNNNNNNNNNNNNNNNNNNNNNNNNNNNNNNNNNNNNNNNNNNNNNNNNNNNNNNNNNNNNNNNNNNNNNNNNNNNNNNNNNNNNNNNNNNNNNNNNNNNNNNNNNNNNNNNNNNNNNNNNNNNNNNNNNNNNNNNNNNNNNNNNNNNNNNNNNNNNNNNNNNNNNNNNNNNNNNNNNNNNNNNNNNNNNNNNNNNNNNNNNGUCGGUGACGUAGUCGACCACAGGGGCAUCAGCAUCGUCACGGGGUCUACCGGAGAGAAGAGGGGGAGAAACAGUAAAUACAUAGCAAGCAAGUGCAUAACAGGACAACAAGCAGAGCUAGACGUGUUCUAUCGCGGUAUGAGGUGAUACCGGUGAAGGGGGGAAACAUCCGGGAAAGUAUCCCCGGUGUUCCGUGCUUUCGGACAGAUGAACCGGAGGUGAAAUGUUGCAGGUUCACUAUGCUAGGGACGCGUGGCGGAUGAAAGGGCUGCGUAUCCGGAUCCGUCUCGUCGUUCUGAGCAACUUUCAUGUUGAAAAUAAUUUAAUCCGAGUUACGGAUUAAAAGAUAUGAUUUUCUAAAGAUUUUAAUAAUUUCUGGAAUUUAAUUAAUUAUUUAAUUUAAUUCGAAAAUGUAUUUAUGACAUCAGCAUGAUGUCAUGCUGACGUCAGCAGUCAACAGGGUUGACUGGGUCAAACUGACAUGUGGGGUCCGCAUGUCAUAGACUGAACAGGCUAAUCAGGUUUUAAUUAAGUUAACUAGUGAUUAGAUUAAUUUAAUCAGGAUUAUUUAAGUUAAUUAAUUCUUUAAUUAAUUAACUAAUUAAUAUUUUAUUUAUUAUAUAUAUAUAUAUAAUUUUAUUAAAUCCUCCUUUUUUUGUUCUUAGGGGCGUGGGCCCCGUUUGUCAUUGGCCCAGAGGCCAUAGCGGGCACGAGCGCUAACGGGCACAGCCCGAACGGGCGCUAGCCCGCGGGGGCGCACCCGACCAGGCAACAAGGGGCGGCUGGUGGGCGCGGGCGCCAGCACGCCGGCGUUGAGCUCCGGCGGCUGCGACCGGGCGGAGCAUGGGGAGGGCCGCGGCUGCCGACAUGCAGCAGGGCGGCCAGAGGCGGAUGACGUGAGUGCGAGGCCGCGACGAGAGGGGCGGAGGCUCCUCGGUGCGACACAGGGCGAGCGGGGAGGAGCAACGCGUGCGGGCGCGGCGAACUGGUGCUGGGGCUCGCACCCGACGUCAUGAGAGGCGAGGGUGAGCGCGCCUGGGGGCCUCGGUGGUCGCGAGCGGAGGCGGCCGGGGACNNNNNNNNNNCGAAUGGGCCGGCCCGCUGGGUCUGCUGGCCUGGGGGGGGGUCUUUCUCUCUCCUUUUCUUCUAGUUUUAGGUUUUAGUUUUUCUGUUUUGUUUUUAAUUAUUUUCUUUUCUGUUUUAAAUCACUUUAAAUUAUUUAGACAUUUUAUAAAAAUGUGUUUGCUGCACCAUAAUUACCCUUGUAAUAUUUGGCAACCACCGAACAUUUUUGUUUCAAGUUCUGAAAACUUUUAUUAUCAACAAUAAUUUUAAAUUCGAAUUUGACGCGGUUGAACUAACGGACAUUUAGUAAAAGUAAUCGGGAUGACAUGGCAUCACUAGCAGAGGAUCACUGUAGCUUAAUUACCCGGGCGUCACACGCCGGCUCCAGGUGGAGCAAAGCUUUCGCCCAAAGUUGAUCUGACACACUCCCGUCGACCGGUUGAGUGAGGAGGGUAGAUUAUCUGCACAAGCACAAGGACCAUGACUGCCCCGAUGCCGCACAUGGUCAGAAUCAAACCUGGGAGGAAGUAGCGCCGCCAAACCCAUCCACCGGCAGGACCACCCGCACCACGCAGAGGCCACCACCCAGGAAGUCCAGCAGCUCAAACCGGCACCACGCCGGCCGAAGCACACCAUAAGAAUCUCACCAGAACGCCGGCCCGGCCGAGCAGCGCCGUCCAGCAGGAGAAGCAGGUUGGGAGCGGCCGCUCCAGAUCCACCCGCAGCCGACCAGAGCCGCCGGCCCCCACCAUGCACAGCCGCCCUGCCGCCCGCGCGGGCCAGAGCUGCCGCAUCUCGCCGACGGCCCGCGACAACCAGAUUUAGGCCCGAAACCCCGAUCCACCACCAAACGGUGCGCCACCAUGCCACUCGACCGCGAGGAUGAGGGGAGGACGACGCAGCCGCUGCCUGGGGCCACCGCCCCAGCACCCAGCGCCACCGCACCACAGAUGUGGCCAGGCGGCUAGAUCCGCCCCGACGCGUAGCCUCGCGAAGCACGCCGCGCCGUCCAGGGCCGGCCACCGCGCGCGACCGAGCGAGGGAGGCCCGCCGCCGCCAGCUGCCGCGCGGGCUUUGCCCGGCGGUGCGGCCCGACGGCGGCGAGGGGGAGCGGGAGGGAAGUGGGGGGUGGCUGCGGCGGUGUUGGGUUUCGCCCGAGCCGCUCCCCUGGAGAGCGACGCGAGCGUGACUGUGGUAUGUAUAUAGAAAUAAAAUCAUUUUUUUUAUUUCUUGUUGAUGCAUUAUAUAUUUGUUGAAGCUUAGACGUGACAUCCUUAAAAAACAUCUAGAUGUGAAUUAGACAAACCGUUAAUAUAAUAUGACUCCUAAACCCUUUAACACUGUGAAGUACAUCCAGCAACGUGGAAGGGGCGUGUCUAACAUGGCACCUCCCAGCUUUCUAUCAGGUGGCUAGUGCACUAAAUAUAUGUUCAUGCUACACUCUCAUGUCGAUAUUAGACAGAAGUCUCUCAUGUACAAAAUUAGACAGAUGUUGGCGAGAAGUGCAUGGAUGAACCCGGGUACAUAUGAACCCACUUUGAAAAACACAUUUCUAAAUUCUAAAAAAAUCUGGAAAAAAAUUGCACGGGUACGUCUCCAUGUUCUAUGUGCGUGCAUAAAGUUUCAUGAAAAAAUAACUUUUUUUGUGACCUGUGCAAAAAAGACAAAAAAUUAUGUCGUGAAACACUAUUUAAAAGCACUGAAAUUUGUCUUUUUUUGCGGAGGCAAAACAAAAAGAUAUUUUUUGAUAAAACUUUGUGCCGCGUACACACAUUUGCGAACAUAUAUGCGUGAUAUUUUCUUUUGAUUUUUUUGACAUUUUAAAACGUGCUUAAAAUGCAUUUUAUGAAAAGUGGGUGCAUAUGCCCAUGGGUUCAGAUGGUGCCCUCUCGAUGUUGGCGGACCAAACUAGCAAUUCCCAUGGGUCGACAUCGGGGGUCUCAUUGGCACAGUGUCAUCCUUUGGUACAAGAAAGCAUAGGUACCUCAUAAUAUCAGUUAGUAGUAGUAGUUAGCAAGAGAACAGUUAGUGCACUAGAACAAUAUCCAGCUUCCCUUUGGUUGCUGCCCUCGCAACUUCACAGUAUAUGUACACCCCUCGAUCGGUUCUCAGGAGGCAAAUUAAGGUCUGCAUCAUCAUCCAGAUAUGGAGCUGCUCGCAGUCCCCGUCCUGCUGGCGGCCAUGGCCAUGGCCUUGACCUAUCUGGCCUGGACGGCCGCCUCCCGUCGUCGGCGUUCACAGUGCUACCUCCUCGAUUACGUCUGCUACAAACCGCCAGACGACCGCAAGGUGACGACGGAUAUGGGGGUCGCACUGGCCGAGCGUAACAAGCGGCUCGGCGCCCCUGAGUUACGCUACCUCUUCCGCCUAACGUCUCGCGCCGGUCUGAGUGAGCAGACCUACCUCCCUUGUGGCAUCUUGGCAGGCCGCGAGAAGUGCCUCACCCACCAGGACGCGCUCGACGAGAUGGACGCCUUCUUCAUCGACGCCGUCGCCGGCCUCUUUGCCAAUACCGGAUUCGGCCCCCGUGACGUGGACGUGCUCGUGGUCAACGUCAACAUGUUCAACCCGGAGCCUUGCCUUGCCUCGCGGAUCGGGCACCACUACGGAAUGCGCGAGGACGUCGCGGCGUACAACGUCUCCGGCAUGGGCUGCAGCGCCACGCUGGUCUCGUUGGAUAUCGUCCAGAACGUCAUGCGGGCACGGUCGCCGCGCCCCGUGCUUGCGCUUGUGCUGUCGACGGAGGUGCUCUCGCCUGGAAACUACCUGGGCACGGACAGGUCCAUGAUGCUGGGACUAUGCCUUUUCCGCUGCGGCGGGGCAGCGGCGCUGCUCACCAGCAACCCCGCGCUCGGUGGACGCGCCAAGAUGAAGCUACGCCGCCUUGUGCGGGCCAACGUCGCCGCCGCCGACGAUGCGUACUCCGCCAUCUUUCAGCGCGAGGACGCAGACAACAUAACAGGGUUCAGCAUCAACAAGACACUCCCAAAGGCUGCCGUCCGAGCGUUCGCCGCCAACCUGGAACGGGUCGUCCCUUACAUCCUCCCUGUCAGGGAGCUCCUCCGACUUGCCACCGACUUGAUACGUCAGAAGAUGUCUCGCCGCCGGCGAUUCAAGAUCGAUGUCAACUUGAAGACUGGGGUCGACCAUUUCUGCCUCCACUCGGGUGGGGUUGCUGUCAUCGACGCUGUGAAGAAGAACUUCGGGCUCACCGAGAGGGACGUGGAGCCGUCGAGGAUGACGCUGCACCGCUGGGGAAACACGUCGGCCAGCAGCGUGUGGUACGUGCUGGCAUACAUGGAGGCCAAGGAGAGGCUCAAGAGAGGGGACAGAGUGCUUAUGGUGACCUUCGGAUCGGGCUUCAAGUGCAACAGUUGCAUGUGGGAUGUGAAUCGCGAUCUGGCGGACAAGGGUCCGUGGGCCGACUGCAUUGAUGAGUACCCGGUGCAGAGCACAGCCAACCCGUGCUUGGACAAGUAUAGCUGGAUGAUGAAUGACAACACUGAUGACGAUUCCACAUUCCCUCUGUUGUAAAACACGUGGACGGCGCGUACGUCAAUCACGGAUCAGAAGGGCCGCGAAUAAGAGCAUAAGAACUUCUCUUCGUCAGAUUAUAUAUGGGAGUAAAAGUACUUGAAAAACUAGCAUGAUGACACUCACAACUGCGAGGGCAUCAUCUUUAGAGUAUUUAUUGAAUAUGCGUGCGCGUAUAAUAUUUAUGUUUUCAAGAUACUGAGAAUAUAUAUUUCAAAUAUAUAUGGCAGUAUAGCCACCGAAAAUGUUAAAUAAAAUAUGAGAUGGGCAGAAAAUAUUUUGUAUCAUUUUAGUUUGUGGGAUAAUAAUAGCAUACAAGUAAUCCCCCCAAAAAACUGCUAGAUGUGCAGCACCGGCUGCACAACCGCUCAAAAGUCCUGGCUAGUGGCUAGUGAGGAAGCACAUAUUCCACAUACAAAUAUACUAGUAAGGUACACGUGCAUUGUAUCCAUAAGUUUUUGUAACCAAAUUACAAAUGAAUACCACAUUAUAGUAUGUAAAUAUGUAAGUUUUGAGUUAUAUAGGUGUGAUGUGGAUGUUCAUUUAAUUCUUGUAGUAGUUCAUCCCAAUCAAAAUCAAAUUAAUGCUACAAAAUAUCAAACACCAUAGUAUAAUACGAGCACUAGCCAUCAAGGUUCUUGCUAGCCAUAGGAAUUAAACCAAGUUAGUCGUCCGAUCCAGUAGGAAGGAAUCAUGCGUUGAGCUGUCUCUUUCCUCCACUAUGAUUACGUGCUUCUAGUAAAUGAUCCUGUAGCAUGUCCUCUCCGGCCGCUAACCUCUGUCCUCCACUAAUUACGCGUUGAGUUAAUUAAUUGAUCCUUUCCCCGUCAAGGAAGCAUGAUGCAUGACACUGAAUAUUUGCUUCCAGUUUCGUUUCGAAUAUUUGCUUCCGAACCUAUACUAGUAAAAAAAUAUUGUGGGCCAGAAGCAUAUUGUUCCAUCGUCUAGAGAAUUCAUUCAACCUAACAGUGAUUUAGUUCAACUCAAAAAAAAACCAGUGAUUUAGUUCCUUCAAAAAAAAAACAUUUUCCACUUGUUUCAAAAGUAUCAACUUGGUGCUUCCAUCAACUAUAAAAUUGCUUCCAACCAAAUAGUGAUAAAAGUGCAAAGAAAGCAAUCUUUUAGUAUAAAGAAAAAAAUUGCUUCGCAAAGGAAUCAUGUGGAAGCACAACUUGAAUGAUGACGCAUUGUUCGAAAAAAAACUUGUUUUAAAAGCAUCAUUCUCGUGCUUCCAUCAACUACAAAAUUGUUUCCAGCCAAAUACCAAUAAAAUUGCAUGUGAAACGAUCUUUUUUGUAUAAAGAAAAUUUUGCUUGACAAAUAAAUCAUGUGGUAGCACAACAUGAAUGAUGACGCAUUGUUAGAAAAAAACAUAGUUCUGCUUGUUUCAAAAGCAUCAAUCUCGUGCUUCCAUUACCUAUAAAGUUUCUUCCAAUCAAAUAGUAAUAAAAUUGCAAUUGAUACAAUCUUGUUAUAUAAAGAAAAAAUUUACUUCGCAAAUAAAUCAUGCGGAAGCACAAUGAAUGAUGAAAGUAAUCACGUGGAAAUAAUGCUUCCAAACACAAAUCAUGCUUCCUAAUCUAUAGUUCCCCGCUAUGGUCCAUCCAACCGUGUACGAGCUUGACAACCUUCAAUUCUCCCACAAAUCUGCGGGUGUCAACGCCGGUGAGCAUCGACGCCGUUGAGGGGCCAACGAUCUUGACCUUUGGCCACCAAGUGUGUGCCAUGCUGGUUUGCCUCCAUACUCAUCUCACGUUGCGGACCAUGCCUAGUAUUGAUCAUCGUGUUAUGCUCACUGUCAGCAAGGCAUGGUCUUCCGCUGCUGUCGACCCUGCAGAAAUAACAAAAUGAGUUGUUUGAAUUGAAUUCAAACACAACGCCAACAAAACAUUAUGAAGCAUGCAAAUGAAGCAAACUGGACACGGUGUAGGGCUAGAAGCAUAUGUAUGAAAUAUAUGAAGCAACCAUACACGGUGAAGAACUAUAGCUAUGUAUGUAUGAGGCAAAUUGUAUGUCGGGAGGAAGCACACAUAUAAUCAAUAUUUUAAAUAGCACGCUAUUUCGCCGUUAUAACGCGGUUAUAGCAUAUUUGGAAGGGAGACGUUACGUUUUGGCAAAAUCGGACGCUACGGCGCUAAUCGCGUAAUUAGCGCGCUACACACGCUAUAACGUUGUAACGUUGUAACGUUACAACAUGCAGACCAUGCAAAAUUGAAAUAAGCACAGCCCAGCAGGCCUAGCAGGCCAAAACGAACCCACGAGCACUAGCUUUCUCACUCCUUUUAUCAGAUUCUCCCACGAGACCUAACCGGCUAACCCUAGUUCUCACUUCUCAUCCCUUUCUCACUCCUUUUUAUGUGCUGGAUUUGGCCCUUAUGCAUAUAUUGCUUGCUCCUAUGAAAAAUUUAGUUGCUUAAAUACUUUAUUUCUAGAUAUAUUUGAUUUUUUUUGCAAACGCUAUUUUAAAAUAUAGCACGCUAUUAGCGCGCUAUAACUUGUGUAGCAUUUAGAGAAGGGCUUCGCUAUAUUUUGUAGCACGCUAUUUAAAAUAUUGCAUAUAAUACGUACCAAGCAUGGAAAUUUGGAAGGAUAUAUACUCAGUCUCAUACAAUAAAAUAGUAUCUGCAUGGAUGCAACAAAUUCGGCAAAAAAGAACAUCCAAAAGGGACGUGGGCUGAUUCUUAUGGCUUCUGAUACUCCCUGCAUCUGUUUUUUUUUUGCGCAUAACAAAACUUUCAUUACUUAACCAGAGUCAUUACAAUCCUGUUGACAUAAGAUGUCAACCUCAUCAGGGGCACAACGAAGCCAAACAGAAGUUUUGGGCAGUAAACGGCCCAUUUGUGCGAGAGCGUGGCUAGCUUUAUUCUGCUCUCGUUUAAUCACCGCUAUUUCAUGUGGCCGGACAGCUAGGAUCUGCUUGAUGUCGCCAACCAUGGCCGCCACUAGAGCCCUGUUGGUUUCGGUGUCCCUGACCAUGUGAGCCGUCGUCGAGCAGUCCGUCUCCCCUAUCAACCUGUCGAGCUCCGCUCCAUAGCCGGAGUCACUCCCUCCAUGAGCGCCGCCAUCUCUGCCUCGAGGGCGUUCGUACAGUGUGGGAUGAACCGGCAAGAAGCGAAAAUGGCGGCACCUAUAUGAUCACGAAGUAUCAUCCCAGGACCUCCUGUUCCCUCCUAUUACUCCCAUGCACCAUCCACGUUUAGUUUUACCCAGCCAAAUGGAGGUUAGCUCCAGUGCUCACUGCUCAACAGGACGUGAGCAAGUGCUUGGUAUUUGAUGUCGUUCUUUGCCGGACGUGCGGCCACCAUAAGUAAUCACUCCCUUCCCCUUGGCAAUGUCAUCAGAUGGAUUUUGCUGAAUGUACAACAGCGUAUUGAUGUAGCUGGACAGGAAUCUGGUGGAAGCCUCAAGUGGUGGUGCAGGUUUGUGGUGGUAUACUUCAUUACGUACAUACCAGCUCCGCCAAAGUGUCAUCACCACAGGGAGUGUCUCCUCGUUCUUGCAUUGGUCUAGCAGGUGGAUGAUCCACUCUAGCCCAGUGUUGACGACGGUCUCCAGCUUGGGCAUACUCCAUGUACGCGCCACCGCCGUCCAUAGUUGUCGGGCCAACGGGCAACGGCAUAGAGCAUGGUAUGUGUCCUUGCAUUCCAAACACAUAAAGCACAUAUAUUAGACACCUCCAGUGUACGUUUAUGUUUAUUUUCAAGCGUUGCCAGACAGUGCAUCGCAACUCUCCAUGCAAAAACUAGUACCUUAGGGGGAGCAGGGCACCCCCACACUGCUUUCCAGACAGCACGAGUACCGUCCGGUGCCCUGCUCGUGGCGCACGCGGUGGUGCUAGUCCGCUCCUCAAGAGCGGUCUUGUAUGCGCCGCGGACACUGAAAUUGCCCCGCGCGUCCGGCGCCCAUGAUAGGACGUCUUCCAUCCUGCGUGGGCUGGCCUUGAUCGCCAAGAUGCAUUCCACGUCGGGGGCGCUGAAGUGUUGUUCGAGGAGGUCCACCCGCCACCUUCCAUUAGCAUCCAAUAGCUCUGAUACCCGUUUGAGCAGGCAUGUUCGCCGUUGCGUGAUGGGCCUGUAGGAAGUUGGGCGUGGGAUCCACAGGACGCACCAGAUGCGAAUUUGCUCUCCAUUGCCCACGCGCCAUAGGAGCCCGCGUUUGAGUAGCUCGAGACCAUGCUGGAUAGCAUGCCAAGUCGGUGACGCGUUACCUGAAAAAACAGUGUCCUCAAGGGACCCAUUAGGGUAAUAUUUUGCUUUGAGAACCUGGGAGCACAAGGAGUCCGGCCUUGUUAUAAGGCGCCAAGCUUGCCGAGCUAGCAAUGCUUGGUUGAAGAUGCGGAAGUCCCUGAAGCCAAGGCCCCCCUUUCCUUUUGGUUCAAUCAAUUUCUCCCAUGCCUGCCAAUGCGUCUUCCUCUUGCCUUCUUUAGACCCCCACCAAAAGUUUCUGACCAGACGGGUGAAAUCAUCGCACACAGAAUAAGGUAGUUUGAACACUCCCAUUAUGUAAGUGGAGAUAGCUUGCAGGACAUAUUUGAUCAAUGUCUCCUUCCCUGCCUGUGAGAGCCUAUCCCUCCAAGCCAUAAUUCACUUAGUUAAGCUUGCUUGCAGCAUUUGGAAUCUACCUUUAUGCAUGCGCCCAUCCGGGGUAGGUAAACCGAGGUAUUUUCCUUCAUACUCAACAUUGUGUACCUGCAGUACUUGUCUAACUGUUGUUUGUAUCACCAAAGGGCAGUUGUCACCAAACUGAAUAGAGCACUUUUGCGGAUUUAUGAGCUGGCCCGUGGCUACCGCAUAACUUUGAAGGACACCCUUUACAUACUGAGCUUGUUCAAUGCUAGCUUUAAAGAAUAAUACUGUGUCAUCUGCAAACAGGAGAUGCGAUAUUGCCGGCGCCCUAAUACAAAUUUUCACUAGUUGGAAGGCAUGAUCUUGCACUCCAUGUCUCAAUAGAGCAGAUAAUCCAUCAGCCACAAAGAGGAACAAAAAGGGGGAUAAGGGGUCACCUUGCCGAAGCCCUCGUGUCGGUAUAAACUGAUCCAGAAGGGCUCCAUUAAAUUUAACAGGAUAGCUCAUCGUGGUGACACAUGUCAUAAUCCAUUGCACCCACCGGUGAGAGAAACCCAUCCUCUCCAUCGCUUGCUUCAAGAACCCCCAGUCGACCUUCUCAUAGGCCUUUGACAGGUGUAGCUUGUACGCACAGUAGUUAUUUUCUGGAAUUUUCUCAUGCUGAAUAAAAUGGAGGCAUUCGAAGGCAAGUAGUGCAUUAUCUGUGAUUAGCCUACCCGGCACAAAUGCACUCUGAGAAGGUGAUAUGAUCUCAUUAAUAAGUGGCCUGAGCCUGUUCACCAAGCAAUUAGCAACAAUUUUGUAAAUGACAUUACAUAGAAUUAUUGGCCGAAAGUCAGUCUUUUGAACAGGAUCAUCAACCUUAGGAACGAUUACCGUUUCAUUCACACCAUCUAGCAUAACCCCUGUCUGGCAAAAUUCCUGAACAGUCCUGAUAAUUUCGGCCUUCAUAACUAGCCAAUUUUUCUGAAAAAACCUCGCUGGGAAGCCGUCCUUGCCCGGCACCUUCAGGGGUCCCAUCUUGAAUAAACUGUCAGAUAUUUCUUUCUCGCUGAAUUCAGCACACAGACGGUCAUUCAUCUCCGAAGUAACUCUCUCAUCAUACAAGUCCAAGAGAUGGUGUUGUACAAGUGAGUCAUCGCGGGUGAAGAGGUUUUGAAAAUAUGAGCUAACCAUGUUGGCCAUUACCUCAUGCUCCCCGUGGUAGACACCACUAUCAUCAACUAGCCUUUUCACUUUAUUAUUCCUUGCUCUUCAUACUGCUCGCCUAUGAAAAAAGUUUGUGUUAUGGUCUCCCUCAGGAAGCCAGUCAAUACGACUUCGUUGCAUCCAUAGCAUCUCCUCUCGGUACAACAAUUCCUGCGUAUGGUCGGACUCUUUCCAUAUCUCAUUCCGAUUUGCAUUCAUGCUCAUUAGUUCCUCCAGCCUGGUUCUAGAUUUUUCAAGUUCAUUUGUAAUAUUAUCAAAAUUCUUUUUACUCCAUGCAUGUAGCUCAGUCAUGAGCUUAGCAAGGCCUGAACGAAUAUCUCCAAGGCUAAAUUUCUGUCCUGCACUCCUCCAUGCUUCUGCCACACGUUCAGGGACGCUCUCAUCCCUUUCCCAGAAAGUUCCGUACCUUUUAAAAUUAGUACGUACAUGAUUAGUCUCCUCUUUAACACACUGUAGCAUAAGCGGGCAAUGAUCUGAGCAUGGUGACACUUUAUGUACCACUCGUGCCUCCCUAAAUAUAUCCCGCCACCGGUUAUCCGCAACCGCCAGGUCCAGACGUACCCUCACAUUCUUUCUGCCUCUCUGCUUAUUGUCAUAAGUGAACGGUAAGCCAGAGAAUCCAAGAUCCACAAGUUCACAUACCUCUAGUGUUUCUCUGAAUGCAAGCAUCUGGCUCUCAGUGCGAGGUGUCACCGAAAAAUGCUCAAAGGAUCACAUGGCCUCAUUAAAAUCACCCAUAACACACCAAGGGAGAUCAGAUUGUUGUUUAAGGCUUGUCAUGAGAGUCCACAUCAGAUGUAGAUUUUCAGUGCAUGGUUCCCCAUACACACAUGUCAACCGCCACAAAGGAUCAUGCUCAGACAGCCGCACAUAUCUGCCAUUCGAUGAUUGAACUUCAACAUGCAGACUAUCACACCAGAAAAGAGCAAGGCCACCACUCAACCCAUUACUACUGACACCUGAGAAACCUCUAACGCCUAACCUAGUACGAAAUCUUUUUAUUUUUUCUAAACUCUGUCUAGUCUCACAUAAAAACAAAAUUUUUGUCUGUGUUGCCUUCACCAUGCCAACUAAGUCGUGAACUGUCAGUUUGUUGCCCCCCCGACAGUUCCAACUCAUGCAAUUCAUUGCUCCUGACGGAGCACCACACUUGGCUCCGUCAGUUGACCAGCGGCCCUUGGGCUGGUUGCCUCCAUGAUACUAUCCACUCCAGCCGCACCUCCCUGCAACAUCUCCUGUGUGUACAUCUCCUCCAUGACCAGCUUCUGUUUCUUUGGUGUGCCAUCCAGGACAUGCAGUUCAGCAUGUACAAGCAUGAUCACCUUCCAUGGUCGUUCAGGUUCCUCUGUGACACCCACUUCCUUUAGGUACAACUCUGUCAGCACCACUUCCUCAUCAAGGUCCUCUCCUUUCACGAAGUCUUCAGGUCCUGUGAUCAUCGGCCGAUCCGCCGCCGGCCUCGAUCCACCAAUUACCGGCCGGACCAUGCUUUGUCCGCCUCCUGUGAUGGCAUUCGCGGCUGCGGAGCUCUCUGGAAGGGCAGCCUUGGAUCCACCAUUGGCCGGCUUCGGGCGGGUAGCGUCCGCUAUGGGAGCCCCAUGAUCUCCCCCACCGUCUGUUGGUUUCACCUCCACUGCACCCGCCAAAAGAUCACUAAUGACAGCGGCUUCAACGACACCCCAGUAGGAGGUGGAUGAUGGAGUCACGUACCUAGGGUAGGGUCACAGACCUGAUCUAAGUACCCUACCCGAGGACACCCUUAGAAGAGAUCACCUUCCAGUCGACCUACGAGGGACUCACUCGACUGACUUGAAGGACUCGACCACGAAGACUCACUCGACCACCAGAAGGUCAAGAGACACUCUGCUCUGCAACGGUCUGUAAUUAAGUAGACUUUAUGAUAGUAAAGACACUUUAUGUGGGGCGUUACCAGUAACGCCCCGGUCUUAAUGUACCUUAAACCCUUCAUUACGUGGGUUGGCUGGGGACCUGGCGCACUCUAUAUAAGCCACCCCACCCCACAGGCAGAAGGGUUCGGCACCCUGUAACUCAUAUACACGUAAUCCACUCGACCGCCUCCGGGCUCCGAGAUGUAGGGCUUUAACUUCCUCCAAGAAGGGCCUGAACUCGUACAUCUCUUGUGUUUACAACCUCUCCAUAGCUAGGACCUUGCCUCUCCAUACCUACCCCCACUCUACUAUCAGGCUUAGAACCACGACAGUUGGCGCCCACCGUGGGGCUGGUGUUUUAGCGAUUUUGUGGAGAAGUUGCGAUUCUUCCGAGUACUUUCAUCAUGGUGGCUGCUGGAGUUUUGGUCGAGGGUCGAGAGAUCCGUCUCGGUGCUCUCACCUUCGUCGCCGACGACUCCGCCUGGCUCCAGGAGGCUCCACUCGACGUCGAUGCGCUCCCCGUCCGCGGUGCGACGCAUUUUCGUGCAUGUGUCCGCGGCGUUCUGCUGCGGCAACCGUCGACCCCGUAUCGGUCGACUCCCCCAUCGGCCACCCUCCCGGUUCCCGCCAGCGCAAGCGCUCGGGCCGGUCGAGGCUUCAGCGGUGGGUGAGGCACGCGGUGGCUCGCCAGACGGCCACCACCCAAGUUGCGGCAAUCGAGCCCGACGAAUCCCUCUACGGCCUGUUCGAUCUGUCGACUGGCUCCGUAGAGACUGCAUCCGAGUGCGAUAGCAGUGAUCCAGCGGCGGAAAUCCUGAUGGUCGACGGGCCCCGCAGUCCCCCUGGCUUCGCCCGUGAUGGUGGGGCAGGCGACGGAGGCGACCCCGCAUGAGACCACGAAGAGUACCAGCCCGAGCCACUCGACUCUCUGCAAAGAGAGGAACUUCGCCACAGGAACGUGGAUGCCCUGCAUACUCCCAUCGCAGGAGAAACCCCCGAGGCUCGCGCCUUAGAGGAGGCACGUUUGGAGAAUCUUCAGCGAGCACUCGACGAGCGCGCGCGGCAACGAGUUCCCGACGCCAGUCGACUUCAACUCUUCCUGCCGACUCAGGUAUAUCGAACCCCAAUCCAGAAUUUAGCAGCUGCGACCCGUAUAGCAGAGUCCAUCCAGCCCUCUCAGUCGGAAGCUGGCAGAGGCUUGAUGCAGAUCAGGGAUCUGCUCCGGGCAGCAGGAGAUCAGAAUUCAGCCGUGUUGCAGUCAGAAUUCACAGUCGAUCCGUCGCUGCGAAUACGGUUCAGUCGGCUCACAGUCCCAGAUCGCCUCCGCGGCGUGAAGGACGCGAGAAUCGGCGAGACCAAUAUGGAGACUGACACGACCGAGAUGAUAGGCGUCGAGUGCCCACUUCCCCUCCGAGGGGUGGGUCCUACGCUCCUCGUCAGCAAGAUGAUAGACGUCAGCUCAGUGCAGGGCGAAGAGUUCCAGUCGACCCCAGAGAACCAGGCUUCGACGCGUGAUCCAUUAUUGUGCAAGGCUUGGUCGACCGGAACAGAGCCCAUCGAGGUGGACCCGACAGAGAUGCGCCCACGAGCAGUCGAGUGCAUGUUUCUGGUCCGGAAUGUUUCAGCAGAGCUAUCAGAGCCGCAGUGAUCCCUCCCAAUUUCAGGUUGGCAACAGGAGUCAGCAAGUUCACUAGUGAGUCUAAGCCUGAAACUUGGCUUGAGGACUACCGAGUGGCGGUUCAGAUUGGUGGUGGGAAUGACGAGGUGGCCAUGAAGCAUUUACCCCUCAUGUUGGAAGGUUCUGCCAGAGCAUGGUUGACUCAGUUACCUCCUAGCAGCAUUUACACUUGGGAAGAUCUGUCCCGAGUGUUCGUCAGAACAUUUGAAGGAACUUGCAAGCGACCAGCUGGAUUGACGGAGCUGCAAGUCUGCGUGCAGAAGACCAAUGAGACUCUCAGGGAGUAUAUUCAGAGGUGGAUCACUUUGCACCAUACUGUGGAGAAUGUGUCUGAUCAUCAGGCAGUCUGCGCCUUCAAGGAUGGUGUCAAGAACAGAGAAUUGAGUUUGAAAUUUGGUCGAACCGGUGACAUGACCUUGAGUCGGAUGAUGGAAAUUGCUACCAAGUAUGCCAACGGCGAAGAAGAAGACCGACUCCGAAGCGGCAAGCACAAGCCGAGUCAGUCGGAGAAGGGAAACACCAGUCGGAAACAGAAGCGGAAGGCUGAACCGGCAGCUCCUGGAGAGGCUCUGGCCGUGACUCAGGGAAAGUUUAAAGGGAAACCAAAAGGAUCCUGGAACCCUAAGAAGGUAAAGGAUAAAGAAGGGAAUGACGUGAUGGAUAUGCCGUGUCACAUCCACACGAAGAAAGACGAAGAGGGGAAUAUCAUUUACCCAAAGCAUACCACUCGCCAAUGUCGACUCCUGAUCCAGCAGUUUCAAGGAAAACAGUCUAAAGACAAGGAAAAGGAGUCAGGCAAGGCCGAAGACAAGGAGGACAGUGAGGAAGGAUAUCCGCAUAUCAACUCCACUCUGAUGAUCUUUGCAGAUGCGGAAAGCAAGAGUCGACUGAAAGUCAUUAACCGUGAGGUGAACAUGGUUAGCCCAGCAAAAGCAAAUUAUUUGAGAUUGUCCCAAACACCCAUCACAUUCGACCAAUCUGAUCACCCGACUCAUAUUGCCACCCCUGGGAGGCAAGCUUUGGUGGUCGAUCCAGUUGUCGAAGGCACUCGACUGACAAAAGUGCUGAUGGACGGUGGUAGUGGGCUGAAUUUGUUGUAUGCAGACACACUGAAAGGAAUGGGCAUUCCGAUGUCCCAACUGAGCACCAGUAACAUGAGCUUUCAUGGAGUUAUACCAGGGAAGAAAGCCGAGUCACUCGGCCAAAUAGCUCUGGACGUGGUGUUUGGUGAUUCGAAACAUUUUCGCAAAGAGAAGUUGACGUUUGAGGUCGUGGAUUUUCAGAGUGCAUAUCAUGCCAUUUUGGGGAGACCAGCUUAUGCACGGUUCAUGGCUCGACCAUGUUACGUGUACCUCAAAUUGAAGAUGCCCGGCCCCAAAGGAGUGAUCACUGUCACCGGUGAUCGGAAAAAGGCAGAAGAGUGCUUUCAGAAGGGCUCAAAGAUUGCCGAUUCCCAGGUGAUAGCGGUCGAGUUUGAAGAAUACAAGCAAAAUGCAGAUCCGAGUGAUUUGCUGCGAUCCAAGAAACCUGCCACAGAAUCUGCAUUUCAGUCAUCCGGUGAGACGAAGUCUGUUCACAUUCACCCGACCGACCCCGAUGCAGCCCCGACCCACAUCUCCACAACACUCGACCCGAAAUAGGAAGAAGCGCUCAUCCAGUUCCUCCGUGAGAACUGGGACAUUUUUGCAUGGAAGCCCGCUGACAUGCCAGGUGUUCCCAGGGGACUGGCUGAGCAUCGCCUAAGAGUCGACUCAUCAGCUAAACCAGUCAAAGAGCAUCUUCGGCGGUCCGCCGUCCAGAAGAGAAAAGCCAUUGGUGAGGAAGUGGCUCGAUUGUUGGCGGCAGGAUUUAUCCGAGAGAUAUACCACUCCGAGUGGCUCGCUAAUGUCGUCAUGGUCCCUAAGAAGGGCAAAUCACUCCGAAUGUGCAUUGAUUUCAAGCACAUCAAUCGGGCCUGCCCGAAAGAUCAUUUUCCUCUCCCUCGCAUAGAUCAAAUUGUUGACUCGACCGCGAGAUGCGAGAGAUUGUCUUUUCUAGACGCCUACUCCGGGUACCACCAGAUCCGUCUGUACGGACCCGACGAGGUAAAAACAACUUUCAUCACUCCAUUCGGGUGCUUCUGCUAUAUCACCAUGCCAUUCGGCCUCAAGAAUGCCGGAGCCACAUUUAUGCGAAUGAUUCAGAAGUGUCUACUCACUCAAAUCAGUCAGAAUGUGGAAGCGUAUAUGGAUGAUAUCGUCGUCAAGUCACGAAAAGGUUCCGACCUGCUCGCUGACCUCGCCGAAACAUUUGCCAACCUGAGAAGGUAUGAUAUCAAGCUCAAUCGAUCAAAAUGCACAUUCGGAGUUCCUGGUGGCAAGUUACUCGGUUUUCUCGUUUCCGAGCGAGGGAUCGACGCUAAUCCAGAAAAGAUGGACACUAUUCUCCGAAUGAAACGCCCUGUGCGAGUUCACGAUGUCCAGAAGCUUACUGGAUGCUUGGCCGCAUUAAGUCGAUUCAUCUCACGACUCGGUGAAAAGGCAUUGCCUCUUUACCGACUGAUGAAGAAGGCAGACAAGUUCGAGUGGACUCCAGAAGCUGAUGCAGCGUUUGCCGAGCUAAAAGCUCUGCUCUCCACCCAGCCGGUGCUUGCUGCUCUAAUCAGCAAAGAGCCUCUGUUGCUUUAUAUUGCAGCCACAGGACAAGUCGUCAGUACAGUGCUUACGGUCGAGCGGGAAGAAGAAGGAAAAGCUUUCAAAGUUCAGCAUCCAGUGUAUUAUUUGUCUGAAGUCUUGACUCCAUCCAAGCAGAGAUAUCCUCAUUAUCAGAAGCUUGUGUAUGGAAUAUACAUGACCACAAAGAAGGUUGCUCAUUAUUUCUCUGAUCAUUCCAUCACAGUCGUCAGCGACGCUCCACUAUCAGAGAUUUUGCACAACAGAGAUGCAACUGGUCGAGUGGCGAAAUGGGCGAUUGAACUUCUUCCCCUUGAUAUCAAGUUUGAGGCAAAGAAGGCCAUUAAGUCCCAGGCAAUAGCAGAUUUCCUCGCCGAGUGGAUUGAACAACAGCAGCCGACUGAAGUUCACUCGGAGCAUUGGACCAUGUUUUUUGAUGGCUCUAAGAUGUUGAAUGGUUCCGGUGCUGGGGUUGUCCUGGUUUCCCCCAGAGGAGAUAAGCUCAGAUACGUGCUCCAGAUUCACUUUGAUUCCUCCAACAAUGAGGCAGAGUAUGAGGCCCUCUUAUACGGAUUGCGCAUGGCCAGUUCACUCGGCGUCCGUCGCCUGAUGGUCUAUGGCGAUUCAGAUUUAGUGGUCAACCAAGUGAUGAAGGAGUGGGACGUGAGAAGCCCAGCCAUGACUGGAUACUGCAGUGCAGUGAGGAAGCUGGAAAAGAAGUUCGAGGGGUUGGAGCUCCAUCAUAUACCCCGACUGAAAAAUCAAGCAGCUGAUGAUCUAGCAAAGAUAGGUUCCAAGAGAGGAGCCAUUCCGAGUGGUGUGUUCUUGGAGCAUAUACACACUCCGUCAGUCAAAGAAGAUCCUUUCACCGAAGAAGCUCCAUAGCCCAAGAGUGCCACAGAUCCGACUGAGGUUGAAGUCCUAGCAGUAGUCGACUUGGUCAUGGAGGUCUUGGUGGUCAUUCCCGAUUGGACAGUUCCGUAUAUCGCGUAUAUCCUGAGAAAAGAGCUCCCGGAGGAUGAGGAAGAGGCUCGACAGAUCGUCCGUCGAUCUAAAGCCUUUACCGUAAUCAAAGGACACUUGUAUAGAGAAAGCGCGACUGGAGUUGGUCAGAAGUGCAUAACACCAGAAGAAGGUCGAAUCAUCCUUAAUGAUAUCCACUCGGGAACCUGUGGUCAUCAUGCGUCCUCUCGGACCAUCGUGGCCAAAGCAUACCGAGCCGGAUUUUACUGGCCAAAGGCGAAUGAGAUGGCAAAGGAAAUAGUCGAUAAGUGCGAGGGAUGUCAGUUCUACUCUAAUAUGUCGCAUAAGCCUGCAUCAGCUCUGAAGACCAUUCCACUCGUUUGGCCUUUCGCAGUAUGGGGGUUGGACAUGGUCGGUCCUUUGAGAACAGGGCGAAGUGGCUUCACGCAUGUACUGGUGGCAGUCGACAAGUUCACCAAGUGGACUGAGGCUAAACCAAUCAAGAACCUUGAUGCCGGUGCUGCUGUUAGCUUCAUCAGGGAACUGAUAUUCAGAUAUGGAGUCCCGCACAGCAUCAUUACGGAUAAUGGGUCGAACUUCGACUCGGAAGAAUUCAGGGAUUUCUGCAACUCUCAAGGCACGCGAGUAGACUACGCUUCGGUCGCCCAUCCGCAGACGAAUGGACAAGCAGAGCGAGCCAAUGGCCUGAUUCUCAAGGGAUUGAAACCCCGACUGAUGCAUGAUCUCAAGCAUGCAGCUGGAGCUUGGGUCGACGAACUUCCCUCGGUGCUUUGGGGACUGCGGACCACACCUAAUCGGUCGACCGGAAGAACUCCAUUCUUCUUGGUCUACGGAGCUGAAGCAGUCUUGCCGAGUGAUCUUCUCCACAAUGCUCCUCGAGUUGAAAUCUACAACGAAGCAGAAGCUGAACAAGCGCGGCAGGACGCAGUCGACAUUUUAGAGGAAGAAAGGGAGAUGGCUCUGAUCCGGUCGACCAUCUACCAACAAGAUUUGCGUCGUUUCCACGCCAGAAAUGUGAGGGGUCGAGCCUUCCAGGAAGGAGAUUUAGUUCUCCGAGUGGAUCAGAAGAAACAACACAAGCUUGCUCCUUCUUGGGAAGGACCCUUCAUCGUCACCAAAGUUCUCCACAACGGGGCGUACCGUCUUUACAACGUCGAACAUAAUAUCGACGAGCCCCGAGCUUGGAACGCGGAACUACUCCGCCCAUUUUACACUUAAGUUUAUCACUCGGAUGAGUUGCAAUAAAGUACUUCUGUAGUUCAUGUAUCUCAAAAUAAUAGUGUCAUAGUUCCUCCAUAAUUUUUGUCACUUUUUAUUUUAUCCAAUAAAAUUUUCCCCUCAGUGGGUGACUUAGCCACGAAUCCGUUUCGCCUAAGUUUGUAAAAAUCCUACCGAGUGGUGAGCCAGACUCCCACUCGGAGGCUUAGCUGCGAAUCCAUUUCGCCUAAGUUUGUAAAAAUCCUACCGAGUGGUGAGCCAGACUCCCACUCGGAGGCUUAGCUGCGAAUCCGUUUCGCCUAAGAUUAAAUAAAAUCCUACCGAGUGGUAAGCCAGACUUCUACUCGGAGGCUUAGCUGCAGUCCAAGUACUCGCCUAAGUUAUGAAAAUCCUACCGAGUGGUAAGCCAGACUUCCACUCGGGGGCUUAGCUGCAGUCCAAGUACUCGCCUAAGUUAUGAAAAUCCUACCGAGUGGUAAGCCAGACUUCCACUCGGGGGCUUAGCUGCAGCCCAGCGCUCGCCUAAGUUAUCAAAAUCCUACCGAGUGAAGAGCAAACCUCUCACUCGGGGGCUUAGCUGCAGCCCAGUGCUCGCCUAAGAUAUAGAAAUNNNNNNNNNNGUGAAGAGCAAACCUCUCACUCGGGGGCUUAGCUGCAGCCCAGUGCUCGCCUAAGAUAUAAAAAAUCCUACCGAGUGAAGAGCAAACCUCUCACUCGGGGGCUUAGCUGCAGCCCAGUGCUCGCCUAAGAUAUAAAAAUCCUACCAAGUGAAGAGCAAACCUCUCACUCGGGGGCUUAGCUGCAGCCCAGUGCUCGCCUAAGAUAUAGAAAUCCUACCGAGUGAAGAGCAAACCUCUCACUCGGGAGGCUUAGCUGCAGCCCAGCGCUCGCCUAAGUGGAUUAAGGAAUAAGUUGACUGCAGUCAGCGUCUUGCUUUGAACCUGCAAAAGACAUUUCGAGCCAAAAGCAAUCAUAUUCAAACACCAAAUUCAAGUUCAGAUCGAUACCUAAAGGAACCGAAAGUGCUCAGGCGCUAAGCCUGUUAAGGUUUAUCGGUUACAACUCCACUCGGCAUACCAAGGCAAAUUUAAAGCGUCGAGCUUAGAAGAAGUUUUUUACCCCUCCUGUGGAGGGCUGGAAGGUGCAACAAACUCAUCGAGAUCAAUUCCAUCUGCGAUCCGAGUAGCAGCAGCAAGGAAAGUUUCCAUAAAGGACCUGAAGUCGUGUUUCUUAGUGUUGGCCACUCGGAGGGCAGCCAGCUUGUCUUCUCGCGCAUCUUUGCAGUGGACUCGGGCCAGACACAGAGCAACAUCUGCACCACACCGAGCCGAGGACUUUUUCCACUCCUGCACUCGACCAGGGACAGCGUUCAAACGAGCCAUCAGCGACUCGAGGUCGUUCUGGAGUGUCUCCCCGGGCCAGAGCGUUGAGUCGAUGCGAGAUGUGGCGACCUUCAGCCUUGCAAGAUAGUCCACGACAGCUGCAACACGGGACUCCAGUCGGAAAACAUUCAUGGCAACUUCGUCGUUCACCGGAGAAUUGACGGGGUCAAGGUUUGGUUCCAGUCGGCUAGUCUCUUCUUCAAAGUUUUGACAAAAUUCUGCAAGGACGAUCACGGAGUCAAAGCAAUGGUCGAAUGAAAAAAACCACAGUUGAAAGUGAUUGUUGAAGGUUUACCUUCAAGCAUAAGAAACAGCUUCUUGGCAAGACCACUCAGGAAGGCCUCCAGAUCAUUUUUCUUCUCAAGAGCAGCUUUCAGAUUGGUAUUUUCUUGUUCAAGCUUGGUAACUGAAGCUAANNNNNNNNNNACCGAGUGACGAGCAAACCUCUCACUCGGGGGCUUAGCUGCAGUCCAGUGCUUGCCUAAGUUAUCAAAAUCCUACCGAGUGACGAGCAAACCUCUCACUCGGGGGCUUAGCUGCAGUCCAAGUACUCGCCUAAGUUAUGAAAAUCCUACCGAGUGAAGAGCAAACCUCUCACUCGGGGGCUUAGCUGCAGCCCAGCGCUCGCCUAAGUUAUCAAAAUCCUACCGAGUGACGAGCAAACCUCUCACUCGGGGGCUUAGCUGCAGUCCAAGUACUCGCCUAAGUUAUGAAAAUCCUACCGAGUGAAGAGCAGACCUCUCACUCGGGGGCUUAGCUGCAGCCCAGCGCUCGCCUAAGUUAUCAAAAUCCUACCGAGUGAAGAGCAAACCUCUCACUCGGGAGGCUUAGCUGCAGCCCAGCGCUCGCCUAAGUGGAUUAAGGAAUAAAUCGACUACAGUGAGCGUCUUGCUUUGAACCUGCAAAAGACAUUUCGAGCCAAAAGCAAUCAUAUUCAAACACCAAAUUCAAGUUCAGAUCGAUACCUAAAGGAACCGAAAGUGCUCAGGCGCUAAGCCUGUUAAGGUUUAUCGGUUACAACUCCACUCGGCAUAUCGAGGCAAAUUUAAAGCGUCGAUCUAAGAAGAAGUUUUUUACCCCUCCUGUGGAGGGAUGGAAGGUGCAACAAACUCAUCAAGAUCAAUUCCAUCUGCGAUCCGAGUGGCAGCAGCAAGGAAAGUUUCCAUAAAGGACCUGAAGUCGUGUUUCUUGGUGUUGGCCACUCGGAGGGCAGCCAGCUUGUCUUCUCGCGCAUCUUUGCAGUGGACUCGGGCCAGACACAGAGCAACAUCUGCACCACACCGAGUCGAGGACUUUUUCCACUCCUGCACUCGACCAGGGACAGCGUUCAAACGAGCCAUCAGCGACUCGAGGUCGUUCUGGAGUGUCUCCCCGGGCCAGAGCAUUGAGUCGAUGCGAGAUGUGGCGACCUUCAGCCUUGCAAGAUAGUCCACGGCAGCUGCAACAUGGGACUCCAGUCAGAAAACAUUCAUGGCAACUUCGUCGUUCACCGGAGAAUUGACGGGGUCAAGGUUUGGUUCCAGCCGGCUAGUCUCUUCUUCAAAGUUUUGACAAAAUUCUGCAAGGACGAUCACCGAGUCAAAGCAAUGGUCGAAUGAAAAAACCACAGUUGAAAAUGAUUGUUGAAGGUUUACCUUCAAGCAUAAGAAACAGCUUCUUGGCAAGACCACUCAGGAAGACCUCCAGAUCAUUUUUCUUACCAAGAACAGCUUUCAAAGUAGCAUUUUCUUGCUCAAGCUUUGUGACUGAAGCUAACUUCUCGUCAACAAGCUUGAUCUUCUCAGCUAGUUCAAGGUCUUUUUUCCUUUGGGCCUCCCUCACCUUACCUGCAAGUUACAGCAAGAUCAGAUUUUGAAACAAAUGAAGGGAAAAAGCAGUCGUCGAGGUCUCACCAAACAUACCUUCGGUCUCCUCCUUUGCCUUCGUCAGAUUCUCCUGAACCAGCUUCAAAUUCAGCUCGAGCUAAAUGUGCUUAUUUUCCAGUUCAGUGUAGCGAGCCGCAAGGUCACAGGAGUUCUGCGAAGAACCAAUCGACUAAAUGUCAAAGAUAAUUCACUUCCGAGUGGAAAAGGAAAAAUCAUGCGUUUCUAAGACUAUAGCCGAAUACAAGCAUUCGACCGUAGUCUCGGGGACUACACCCAGUGGGUGCACUCAGCGUGCCCCCACUAAUCCUAGUGAAGACAAAGUCGACCAGUCGACCGAUUUGCGAAAUCCAUUCGCCAUAGUCGAAUGACGGAAAGACUGAAAUUAUAAAGCCUAAGGCCGACUGCCAGCAGUCGACCUUAGCCUUGGGGACUACACCCAGUGGGUGCACUCAGCGUGCCCCCACCGGUUUGCGAAAUCCAUUCGCCAUAGUCGAAUGACGGAAAGACUGAAAUUAUAAAGCCUAAGGCCGACUGCCAGCAGUCGACCUUAGCCUUGGGGACUACACCCAGCGGGUGCACUCAGCGUGCCCCCGCUAACACGGAGUUUAAAUCGACACACCCACUGGGUGACUACUAUAAAUUCUGGAAAGAAAAGUUUUUGAUAGCAUAUCCUAACAGAACAAACGGUGGUCGACUGACCUGAACAUUGCUUUGGAGGGCGGAACUGGCGUCGUAAGCUGCCUGGCUCGCAUCCCGGAUGGUCCUCAACUGCUCCAUCAUGAUCCCUGCCUGGCGUAUCGCCUCCUUCACUGCGCCAGCUUGGUCCUCUGGGACGUGGUGCGUCGUGAAGAGGGAGGGCUGCAGAGCACUCGUCAGUGGAUCUGCGAAGGACACAGUGUGUCGAGUGGUGUUCUCCUCCUCCGCGACCAGAGUCUCAGGCACCGUCACAUCCUGGGGCACCCUGCUGGCAGACGCUUUCCUUCUCAUUCUGUGCUUCAGCGGUUCCUCAUCUUCAUCAUCAUCAGGGAGAGUGAUAACAACAUUGGAUGGAGCUACAGAAAAGAAUCAGAAUUAGAGAUCAUGAGUCAGUCGACUAGAAACGGGUUAAGAGUAUAGUACCAGGUUUUGAGGUUGCUGCGUCCUCCAUCUCAUGAUCGUCAGCCCGGGCUGAGGUCUCAGAAGUAGCAGCACUGCAACUCCAAAGAGUCAGUCGACUAACUCCAGCACCAUCCAGAGAUAAAGUUCACACAAAACAAGAAGACUUAAGCAACAUGAUUACCUUGAUAUGGUGGGGAUGAACACCUUCAUCUUCGGCAGGUGCUUGGUCGGCUUUGACGGGGCCGCCCUGGGCUGCUUCGACGCCUUUUCAGUCGGCGCCGGAGAGGUGGUCCGAGGGCGCUUGGUCGACUGGGUAACAGUCGCAACCCCCUCGCCGCGUUCAGUCGCAGGGUCAUGGACAAGUUUCGACCGCCUUUCCGAGCGCGGUGGUGCGACCUCCUCCUCCUCCUCCUCCUCUUCCUCGUCCUCAUCGUCAUCAUCAUCAUCAUCAUCGUCAUCAUCAUCAUCAUCAGCCUCAGCGGCGUCCGAGUCCCACUCCUCCUCCUGGCUCUCGCCCCCGCUCGCUUCUCCCUCCUCGGUCGGAGCCUGUGCUCCAUUGGGCAUCGAGUACAGCUCAGUGAGGGCCUGAUAGACAUCAAGACAAAGAUCAGUCGACUGAUCGGCAGAGAAAACAGAAAUAAAUGCGACGAGAAUACAAUGACAUACCUUGUUUGGAUCACUGUGGCAGUCGAGUGGAGGAAUCCUUCUGGCUCCGCGAGGGUUAUCCUUGUUCCCAGUAACAGCGGCCAUCCACCUUUCCAGAGUGGCAUCGUCGACUGCUUCUGGAUUGACCCGAGUCACAUCCUCAGUCCCGCAGUACAACCACAUGCAAUUGCUCCGGAACUGAAGAGGCUGGAUACGACGCCUAAGAAAAACCUCCAGGAGAUCCAUACCCGUCACUCCCUCCCGAACCAACUGAACUACACGCUCCAUCAGCAUCUUCACGUCAGCUUUCUCCUCCGGAAUCACCUUCAGAGAGGAGGGCUUGUUCACUCGACCCAUGGUGAACUGAGGGAGUCCACUCGACUGCCCCGGCGUCGACUGAUCCUGGCAGUAGAACCAGGUCGACUGCCAGCCUCUGACUGACUCGGGAAAUGUCAUGGCUGGGAAGGUGCUCUUGUUCCUCACCUGGAUCCCCAAACCCCCACACAUUUGGACAACUCGGGUUUUUUCGUCGCCUGGGCUCGCCUUCUUCACGGUCUGAGAGCGACACGUGAAUAUGUGCUUGAACAAACCCCAAUGCGGUCGACAACCCAGGAACCUCUCACACAUGGACACAAACGCGGCAAGAUAGGCGAUAGAAUUCGGAGUGAAGUGGUGGAGUUGCGCUCCAAAGAAGUUCAAGAAAUCACGGAAGAAAAUGCUCGGCGGCAAAGAGAAUCCGCGGUCAACAUGGGUAUCCAGAAGCACGCACUCACCCUCUUCCGGCUGGGGCUGCCACUCUUUCCCCGGAAGCCUCGCAGCUCCAUGAGGGAUCAGGCCCUUGUUGGCCAUGUCGAGGAGAUCCUUCUCCGUGAUGGUCGACUGGAUCCAAUCACCCUGGACCCAGCCUUUCGGCAGGCGAGAUCUAGACGAAGACCCGCCGCGGCUGGUGGAUCUCCCCUUCGCCUUCUCCGUCGCCGACGCCUUCUUCGCGCGUUCUAGCGCCGCCGUCUUCUCCUUGACCAUGGCUACCGGCGAGGCGCGUGAGGAGAAGUUGUGCGGAGGCGAGAGCGAGCGCGUUGGGCAGAGACGAAGGGAGCAGAGAGAGAAUGCUGAGGCACUGUUCAAAAAACCCUCGCUGGGCGCAUUUAUAAGAUCCCUUCCGAGUGGAUGAUAGGUGGGCCCGGUCGAUCUAAUCAUAUCCUGAAAUAGUUGCGCAAGCGUGAUACGUGGCGAAAAAAGCGGCGCGGGGAUCGAGGCGUCUAUGCCCCGUCCCAUCCAAGCGCCGCGGACCGCUCCGCUUCGCGCGCUCCCCCAAAUUCCGUAUCCCGCGGAAUCCGCGAACGGCAGAUCAGUCUGCCAGACGCGGGAUUUCCUGCGAUCCGUCGCUCGGAAAUCAGCGAAGUCCAAAAGAUCACUCGACGAAGAAAAAGAAUGGAUCGAGUCGACUGAAGAAAAGUUGUUCACUAUCAACAGAGAGAAUUUUUUGGUUCAACACAACGCACGACCAGUAUGCGAAAGCUAAUCGGAAACAACAUCAACUCCUUCAUCACUCAAGCCUCAAUCCAUUCGGGGGCUAAUGAUGGAGUCACGUACCUAGGGUAGGGUCACAGACCUGAUCUAAGUACCCUGCCCGAGGACACCCUUAGAAGAGAUCACCUUCCAGUCGACCUACGAGGGACUCACUCGACGGACUUGAAGGACUCGACCACGAAGACUCACUCGACCACCAGAAGGUCAAGAGACACUCUGCUCUGCAACGGUCUGUAAUUAAGUAGACUUUAUGAUAGUAAAGACACUUUAUGUGGGGCGUUACCAGUAACGCCCCGGUCUUAAUGUACCUUAAACCCUUCAUUACGUGGCUUGGCUGGGGACCUGGCGCACUCUAUAUAAGCCACCCCACCCCACAGGCAGAAGGGUUCGGCACCCUGUAACUCAUAUACACGUAAUCCACUCGACCGCCUCCGGGCUCCGAGACGUAGGGCUUUUACUUCCUCCGAGAAGGGCCUGAACUCGUACAUCUCUUGUGUUUACAACCUCUCCAUAGCUAGGACCUGGCCUCUCCAUACCUACCCCCACUCUACUGUCAGGCUUAGAACCACGACAGUGGACUACUCCCGAGAAUUGGAUCUGGCAGCUUGUUUCGAUCAGGGGGAAGCUUUGUUUGAUGGCACGGUGUUACUUUCCACGUAGUUCCAGCAAGAUAUGAAGCCUGAUCGCCUGGGGAAGCCUUGCGUGAGGAAAUAGGAAUCGUAGCACCGACGGACACGAACCCUAGGCAUACGAGAUCGAUCUGGACUCCGAGAUCGACAGGACUGUUGGCGGACGGGGCCGUAGUGCAGGCAAACCUCACACACGGCAAAUGCGGCAAAGGCCAAGGCCUCACCGGACGGGGGAUGUGGCGUAGCCACCGUCGCCAAGUAUCCGCCUAACCCUAGCAUGACUUGGUCGCUAGGCUCCCUAUGCCUCGGACUUCAUUGUUUCUCCCUGCGGAAAACUACGAGGGAUGGUCAAGUUAGUCCUAAUAUCCUCCCUGCAUCUGUUGAUCCUCUGGGCCACACCAGCGGUCACCCCGGUUGGAGAUGGGCACCGCGGCACGAAUGAAAGGGUGGCGCUCCGGCAUGGUGGAUUGGACGGAAGUGGCCGUGUUGCUCGACGACGAUGAGAGGAGAAGGCACAUGCAUACAAGGCCCGGGGAGAAGUGGAUCUAGGAGGUGUGUGGGUUGCGGCUAGUGGAAUUGGGAGGGAUACGGGGAGAUCAAUUAGGGCAAAGUUGUGUGCGGGAUUUGCGGGUAGUUAGAGCAUCUCCACUCGUUCGCCCCCAGUGCACCAGCCGGCGAUUUUUUGGCCAUUCGGUCGGCGCUUUUUUGGCCCUGGGGGCAAACAAGUUCCCAGCCACGCCCCCAGGUUUCGGCCCCAUGACGCGUAUAAUUCAAAUUUGACAUUUCCUGCUACCAAAAUAACGCCACAAGUUCGGCGAUCAAUGGCGGCCACAUAGUUCGGUGAUCACCAUCCCACAAUUCGGCGAUCAAUCAUACUCGAAAUUUCGGCGUUCAAAAGGAAGACCACGUUGGUAGGCAAUGCAUCAAACUGUGAUGUCCUCCUCCGCCGGCGUCGGACUGGUGAGAGUCGGCGUGCUUGGGCUAGUCGGCGUCGGUGCGGCUUCUGUGCUGGGCGUCGUGGAGGCAUCUUCACUCGGGCUUGGCGGCGGUGUGGGGGUCGGCAAGGGAGUUGGCGCGACCCUCGACGGCAUCUGGUUCAAGAUGAGGCCGCGCUCCGCCAGAUACCACGCCUUGACCUGCUCGUCCAGCAUCGACAUCUCCCCCCUCCCCCAUCAAUAAUGCCAGGUCGGUGUUCCUCUUCUUCGUGGCGAUGUUGGUCCUGAGUAGGUCGAGCUUGACGGCGUUGUUCGUCAUCAACGCCGACCAUCAUGCCUCGGAUUUCUUUGCCCUCUGUGCGGCGUGGUUCUUGGCGUAGGCGAUGCAUUGCUCGAUGGAUGCGUGUAGUCGCUCUGUAGCCGGUGUGGCAUCCUUCACCAUCUUGGCUUGCUUGUUGCCGUCAGGGUGCCCAUCCACCAUCCCCGAUGGUGUGUCUGGCUUGUACGUCUCCUUGGCCUUGGCGAGGGUGCGUCGGACAUCCGCCCACUUCUCGCACCUCUCGAUCCGGGAGAACACAUGGAGGUACUUGAACUCUUUCUCGGUGCCGCUGUCCUGGAGGUACUUGGCGAACAUCCGAACCAUCUGCGCAGAAAAGCAGGUGUCGGUGACGCACACGUCGAAAAGAAGCGAGAUCCAACGUCGGUGCAUACCUGACCCUCGACAUUGGCGCUGCUUUCCGGGCAAGCCGCGAUCUCCUCGAUGAUCCCAUGCCAUUUGUUGUAGGGCAUUUCGAUGAUCUCCCAAUGGUUCGACAUGGCCUUCAAGCCGCGCUUCAUGUGGAUGGUGGCGAAGUAGGGAUCGACCAACUUGUUCUCGUCGAACUCUGACUUGAUGUGCUUCGAGUACGUGUCGGCGUUCUGGUUCGUGCCGGUGAUCGGGUCGAGGCAGACAGUCUUCCAUGCUUGGGCGAGGCGCUCAUAUUCUUUGGACGUCCACUUGACGCACGGCUCACCGGACCUGGCCCCCUGCUUCUUCUUUUUUCCCUUUCCUCGCCGACGCAGGUGCCAACUCCUCCUCUUCCUCCUAUUCCUCCUCCUCGCCGUAGUCGAGCUUGUUGUCCCUGUCGCCGCCGAGGUCCAUUGUGUCGUCUUGCACCUGGAACCCAGGGGAGGCGGCGGCGGUGGCCGAGCCGCUCGCGAUGAUCUCGUCCAUGUCGACUUCCGUCGCGUCGGGGUUGCCGAAAUGUGACGACAAGGCUUGCGAGAAGUUGAGGGUGCCACGACACAGAGGCGGCGUCGGGGAGGCGGUCUAAGCCGGCAGCGAGUAGGUGUACAGGGGGUACUGGACACCGGUGAACGCAGGCGAGCAUGUGCGUUGGUCGAGGUUCAGACCGGAGGGCGAGGCGCGCUGGCCAUGCGGAAAGGUGAUGUUGGGGUUGAAUCAGCCGUGCACAUCGCCAUUGGUGUAGCCAAGAGAGGGUGCGCACCCCCAGGGCUGUGGCGAUGAUGAGAAGCUAGUUGGCGACCCGACGCUCUGCUGGCUCCAGGCAGCUUGCGGCUCGUGGCCGUCGGGUGGAUUCAUCAUCCCCACGCGAGCCACCUUUGCCUGCUCCGCCGCCGCCGCCCUGCCCGGGCCCUCUUGGCGUUGAGCCUGUUGCGCCGGUCGGUGGUGAUAGCCUCCCAACGCUGAACCUCUGCCUUCUAGUCGGCGUUCGACUUACCCGAUGAUUUUGCCGGUGGCGCCCUCGGCUUCCUCUGCUUCGGCUGGGUGGCAUCGGCAACGGCAGCGGUGCGAGGGGCCGUAUACUUCUUCGGCGGAAGGCGGGAUGGCGGCCGGAUGGCAGGAAGAGGGAGGAGAAUGGCGGGAGAAGAGGGGUAGAAUGGCAGGGGGUGGAGGGAAAAUGGAGGGGAAAAGCAGGGGUUCGGCAGGAAAAAGUGUCGUCUCUCGCUGACAAAGCAGACUCACGCGCCUUUUUGCUUCUGCCAGUGCCCCCAAGCGUCCCCUGGGGGCUUGGGUUCGGCUCGGGUUCGCCGGCUAUUACUCCGGCCCAAAUCGGCGACAAAUAAGGUCCUGGGACCUGACUGGGCCGUUUUUUGGCACCGACGCUAAAAAAAGAGCCCUAGGGGGCAUGUUGGGGGGGGGGCAAGUGAAGAUGCUCUUAGUACCUGGCCUGAGUUUUUUUAACAUAUGGAGCCCAAUAUGUAACCGUCAGAUGUCAAUUGAAUCGACGGCCAUCUACUAGUCUUGCUCUGGCUUCCUAUCAGCCUACAGAUAGGAAGUGUUUUCCAUAAUACUACACAGAACUCAUCCACUACAGGAAACAACUAAUUUGCCGUUAGGAGGCGCCUUUGCCGUCAGCUUUUCGUCAGGAAGACGACAAAGAAAGAUUUGCCGUCAUCAGCAGACGACAAAGAAACACAAACGGUGAAAUAGACUUUGCCGUCUGCGAAAAAAACACAGAUGGCAAAGAGCUCACUUUACCGUCUGCAAACCAAAACACAGACGGCAAAGUUUUUUUUUCUACAGAUGGCAAAGUGAGCACUUUGCCGUCCGUAGAAAAAAAUGAAGACAGCAAAGUACUUUGUCGUUUGUAAAACAAAUCCAUGACGACAGAGGGAAAGCACAACACGACGGAUCAACUACACAGAUUGAUGACAUGGCAGCGAUCCAACACCGUCCGCUCCUCAUGUGCAUGAUCCACACCACCCAUUACCCACCUGCGUGCACAACCACCCACCACACCACCUGCCACGCACGGACGCAGUCCACAUCCAUCAACGUGUCGUCUCCCUUAUCCUCUCACACACGCACUAGCCACCAACCACCCACGCACACACAUGCCACCAGCCACUAAGGCUGGUCAUAGUGGGGAGUAACUUAGAGUAGUAACAUGCAUAAGUUACUACUCUAUGUUACUACCCUUAUUGUGGGAAGUGUCAUAUGUGUAGUAACAUACACAUGUUCAUUUAUUGUCAUGUAGACCUAUUUUGCAUUGGAAAGCGCUAUGUGAUGGUAGCAUAUUAGGUUAUUCUAUUUCCCUCUCUCCUCAUUAACUACUUGCCACAUCAACAUUUUUGCUUAUGUGGCAUCUAUAUUACUACCUAUGUUACUCCCACUAUGACCAGCCUAACCACCCACGCACACACAUGCCACGAGCCACCAACCACCCAUGCCCACGAUGCGGAUGGCGACCGGCUGGAGGCGAGCGGAGCGGAGGGAGAUUGGCGCCAGGGAGCACGGCGGCCGGCGCGCUGGAGCAUGGCUUGGCGGCGGCACAGGCUAGGGCAGCAGCGGCGGCGUCGGAGCGUGGCUGGGCUGCGGCGGCCGCGGCGGCGCGCGGCGGGGCCGCAGCGCGGGCGAACGUGGCCGGGCGCCGACACGGCGAGCAGGUCCUGGCGGCCGCGGGAUCCUCUUCCCCCAUCCUGCCGCAGACCUCCCCUCCUCUGCGCUCACGCUCGACGGCCUCGUCUACAUCGUCUAUGGAUGGGCUGUGGCCAUGGCAGGGGAAUGGAGCCAUCCACCUCCCUGGCCCCUUGUGCGCUGGCGGCGCGGAUCUCGACCUCCCCGGCGGCGUGGAGUCAACCACCUCCUGGCGGCGCGUGCGUUUGUUCAGUUCGUCAAAUAGAGUAAUUUUUUAGAAGUUGAAAUAGAGUUUGCUUGUUCGUAGAUGAGUGAGUGAUGAUGGAUAUAUACUGUAAAUGGGCUAGUUCUAUCAUGUAAAAUCCAUUCGUUCGCCAUUGAUUCUUAUAUUGGUUGUUGCAAAAUUGCUACGAAAGAUUUUGCGUACGCCUUCGACCAUGUACGGCCUCUACACCUGCACCGUUGGUUCAUAUAUUUUCUUAAAUAAUAUAAAAUUCUUUGCCGUCUGGGAUAUAUGAUACUGAUGGCAAAGACGUAGUCUAGCUGAGGGCAAGGAUGGUUUUCUUUGCUGUCUGGUGUUACUGGGCUUGACGACAAAGACAGAGUUGGCUGACGGCAAAGUUUUUGCCGUCUUUCCGAUGAAAAGUUGACGGCAAAGUAUUCUUUGCCGACUUAUCUUUGCCGUCUGAGUUUGCCGUCUGCUUCCUGACAGCAAAAUCUUUGCCGUCUAGAUUUAGGUCUUUGCCGUCUAGGAUUCACAGACGGCAAAUUACCUGUUUCCUGUAGUGAUAUGAGUAUAUAUGUAGUACAUUUGUCUCUAGGCAUCUUGUAUUGCACCAUUUUAUUUGUUUUUUUACUAGAGGCGUACCUGUUAUACCACACACCAAUAGUAAUUGGUUCAGUUUUUUUUUUCACUUAUGAAGAGAUUGGUCUGGCUACUAGUGGCGUGUCCUUUACAUGGCACACCACUAAUAAGAUGUAGUUAGUGGGUUCCAUUUGCACGUCAUUGGUAUUUUGCGUAAUUACAAGUGGCGUAUGAAACUAUGGUUGUACCACUAAUAACUUUCACCUAUAAGGGAUUUCCAACUAGUGCCUAUCGGAAUCUAUAGAGAUAUUAAGCUCCCUCGAAUUGAAGCGUUGUGGUGUUUCGAGGAUUGUGGGGUCACUAGGGCCCCACACAUUCUAUUUCUUCUUCUUUUUUUAUUUUAAUUUUAUUUCCAUGUAUUAAUUCAUACUCCCUCCGUCCAGUAAAAAGUGUACAUGUAGCUUCAAAAUUUAUCCACAAAAGGGUGUACUUUUAUCUUCCCAAUGCAUUUUAAGGUAGAAAAAAUACCUUUCUCUCAUCACACGGUAAUUAAGACCAAUAGCAAUCUACACAUGGUCUUCUUAAUUUCUACAUGCAUGUAGCUCAUUGGGGGUUAGGUAAUUAAAGAGGAAAGAGAUCGUGGCUUGCACCUUUCCAAUGCAUUUUUUACUUGACUCCAUAAUUUGUCCUAAAAUUUCUAGAUGUACACUCUUCAUCAGACGGAGGGAGUAAGCACUUAAUAUAAUUUGAGUACACUACUGGAAUCAUCUGGCGGACGGCAAAGGCACAGAUCCUGUACGGCAAAGUCCUUUGCCGUCAGCCAGCGGACGACAAACAGUCCGGCUGAACACGUGCCAGCAAAGGCCUUCUUUGCCGUCCGCUUCGCAGAAACGGACGGCAAAGGAUUGUGCCGUCCGCCAUCCGAGGCCAGCAGGCGACAACGACGAUGGACGACAGCGGUGUGGGGUGAGAGCCGUUAGGGGGUUAACGAUGCUCUUUGCCAUUCGCCAGCGGACGGCUAAGAGGCAAAGCUCUUUGUCGUCCACUGACAGAUGGCAAAGAGCUUAGCUAGGGCAGCACUGGGAAACUUUCACAUGGCCAGCUAUGUCGUCUGCCAGCGGACGACAUAGAUGGCCCUGUUUUCCAUGCCUAUUUGGUCACUUUGCCGUCCGCUUGCAGACGGCAAAAUGACCAAAUAGGCAGCCAGUGUUCCCAGUUUGCACAGGUGACUGCUGAUGACCCACAAGUGUAGGGGAUCUAUCGUAGUCCUUUCGAUAAGUAAGAGUGUCAAACCCAACGAGGAGCAGAAGGAAAUGAUAAGCGGUUUUUAGUAAGGUUUUCUUUGCAAGCACUGAAAAUGUAGAUGAUAGAUAGGUUUGUGAUAAGAUAAAUAGUAACGAGUAACAAGUAAAUAAAGUAAACAAAGUGCAGCAAGGUGGCCCAAUCCUUUAAGUAGCAAAGGAUAAGCCUGGACAAUUUCUAAUAAUGAUAAAGGAGCUCCCAAGGACACAUUGGGAAUUAUCGUCAAGCUAGUUUUCAUCAUGUUCAUAUGAUUCGCGUUCGCUACUUUGAUAAUUUGAUAUGUGGGUGGACCGGUACUUGGGUACUGCCCUAACUUGGACAAGCAUCCAACUUAUGAUUAACCCCUAUUGCAAGCGUCCGCAACUACAAAAGAAGUAUUAAGGUAAACCUAACCACAACAUUAAACAUAUGGAUCCAUAUCAGUCCCUAACGAAGCAACACAUAAAUUAGGGUUUAAGCUUCUAUCACUCUAGCAACCCAUCAUCUACUUAUUACUUCCCCAUGCCUUCCUCUAGGCCCAAAUAAUGGUGAAGUGUCAUGUAGUCGACGUUCACAUAACACCACUAGAGGAAAAGACAACAUACAUCUCAUCAAAAUAUCGAACGAAUACCAAAUUCACAUGACUACUAAUAGCAAGACUUCACCCAUGUCCUCAGGAACAACCGUAACUACUCACAACGCAUAUUCAUGUUCAUAAUCAGAGGAGUAAUGAUAUGCAUAAAGGAUCUGAACAUAUGAUCUUCCACCAAGUAAACCAAUUAGCAUCAACUACAAGGAGUAAUCAACGCUACUAGCAACCCACAGGUACCAAUUUGUGGUUUUGAUACAAGAUUGCAUACAAGAGAUGAACUAGAGUUUUGAUAGGAGAUGGUGCUGGUGAAGAUGUUGAUGGAGAUUGACCCUCUCCUGAUGAGAGGAUCGUUGGUGAUGAUUUCCCCCUCCCGGAGGGAAGUGUCCCCGGCAGAACAGCUCCGCUGAAGCCCUAGAUUGAUUCCGCCAAGCACUACAAGAAAUAUGUCAACUUGUGACCACCACUAUUGGUCACUGAAUGGUCACUGUUUUCAAUUUGUGACCUUUUUAUGACCAAAAACAUAAGGUCAAAAGCUGGUCAUUGCUAAAUGACUAUAGCGACCUUUCUUUUGGAAUGUUCGUAGACGUUUAUGACCAAAAUAUGUCUUGUUUUGGUCACUAGCAACCUCCCCAGACUACGUAGGCAUCCAGCCUGGCAAGCUGAUGUGGCUCAAGAAUCAGCCCGGUCCGAUUCGGCGUUUUACAUGGGCCGAGCCCAUUAAUUCAGCCUUUUUACUGUAUAUUUUUUAUGUGAAUUUUCUCUAGCUACAUGGGCCUGGCCCAACAAUUUAGCCUUUUUUUUAUUUUGGGCCAUGGCCUUUUUAGUUUUUCAGUCUAUAUUUUUCAAUCUGGUCCCACAAGUCAGAUGGGUCCCACUUGUCAUAAUCUCCUAUAUUGGUCCCACAUGUCAACAAUGUGAGCAUUGUUUAGAUUACUUUCACAAAUGGGUCCCACUAAUCUGGUUUCCAUUUCACACAUCUUCAAAUCACACAAAUAAUCAAUAUUUUAAAUAGAACGGAACAAAUGUAGAAUUUCUUAGGCCUGGAGCUCCUGUACAUAGUCUAUUACAAUCUGUGCAUAGUCUAUUACAACCCAGAUAUGCCUACUAUUAUAGUACUACAAUAUUUACAGUUUAUUACAGUCAAACAGAACUAAUCUUUGUUGCGUAGGGGUACACGCCGCUUCGAACUUGAAAUUUCCUAGGCCUGGAGCUCCUGUAAAAGGGUGAACACAAAGGCAUUAGAGUACCAUUUUCAUUACUGGAGUAGAUAUUCAAACCUCCAGGUUUAGUGUAUAGACAAUCUAGAAAAUAUAUAUUUAACAAAAUUUCACAAAAAUGCAGAUUUAUCGAUCGAAUGUAUGAUAAAGCAACAGAUUCAAACAACUUCAAAUAGCUAGAGAUGAUGGCGUUCAAGUCUUACCACAAUGACACAAGUGAGAUGAUGCCCGGUUCGCCUUGCUUCUACCAGCAACACAUAUCCUCGAAGGAACCAGCAGCACUACUUGCUCACUUGGCCCAGCUCCUUACUGCGGAGGACGGCUGGGACUCGGAUGUAGAGAUCCCUGCGCACGACAUAUUGUGUCAAUGCUUGCAGGAACAGAAGGACCUCACAUAUAAUAUAAUUUGCAGCAAGUUCAAAAAUAUGUAAUAGAACCGAUAUAGGAGUAGGAAGCAAAAGGUUAACUAGGGAUUCAUGUCUACAAUUUGCUAAAGAGGAAAAUAACAAGCCAGGAUACAUAUUAUAACUGUCAAAAGAAGGACCGAUAUCAAUCAGACCCUUUAAUUCUACCGAACAUGGUUUCAAUUUGUUCUUUGCAUAUUACAUCAGUAGUUCUGUUGCCAGGUUUCAGUCCCUUGCUCUCCCUCUAGCUUGUAGCCAGCCUACCAGUAGUUUAACAACACUAAUAGAUUUGCAUCUAAUGCUGCCACUUAAUUUCAGCACAUGACAAGACAAAAAGCAUGACAAGACAAAUAGCAUGUGUCGGUGUCAAAACCGGCGGAUCUCGGGUAGGGGGUCCCGAUCUGUGCGUCAAGGCUGAUGGUAACAAGAAGUAAGGGACACAGAUGUUUACCCAGGUUCGGACCCUCUUGAUGGAGGUAAAACCCUACUUCCUGCUUGAUUAAUAUUGAUGAUAUGGGUAGUACAAGAGUACAUCUACCACGAGAUCGUAGAGGCUAAACCCUAGGAGCUACCCUAUGAUGGUAUGAAUGCAAUUGUGAUCGGCCUUCUAAGGACCAACCUCUCCGGUUUACAUAGACAUUGGAGAGGGCUAGGGUUUACAUGGAGUCAGUUACAAGGAAGGAAAUAUAAUAUCCGGAUCGCCAAGCUUGCCUUCCACGCCAAGGAAAGUCCCAUCCGGACACGAGCCGAAUUCUUGAGUCUUGUAUCUUCACACUUCAAUAGUCCGGACGUUGUACACAGUCCGGCUGUCCGGAUACCCCCUUAUCCAUGACUCCCUCAGUCCCACCACUUUCAUCCGGGUUUUUUCGACUGGUUUCUUUUCGUCCCCCUCCCACCACCCACCGGUUUAUUUUCAUCUCAACUCUCGCGCAAUGUGAAAAAAUCUAAACGGAUCAAGACAUUCGAUGGUUUCUUUUCGUCCCCCCUCCCACCACCCCACCGGUUUAUUUUCGCCUCAACUCUCGCACAAUGUGAAAAAAUCUAAACGGAUCAAGACUUUCCAUGUUGACACAAGUUAUUUAGUAAUGCCUUUAAUUAUGUGAGAGAAUCAAUCAUGAUCAAUCUCUAAAGAUCAAAUCUAAAUUAAUUAACCUUACCAUAAAUCGCUCAAUCAGAUUAAUUAAUCUUUUACUUCUAAUCUCUCAAGCUCUACUCGAGCACUUGGUAGCCUGGUAUGGUUUAUUAUCAUCUGGUUUAUGCUGAUCCGAUCUGAUGCGAAGCAUCCCUCGACCAUCACCAUGCAUGUCACACCACCACCGCAAGUACGGAGAAGACCGAUGACAAGAGCACACGCACAUGCCACCGAAACCGAGGUUGACUCCUUCCUCUUCAAACUCCAUUCGGUUUCAUUUGAGAGUCGGUUCCUACCUCAAAUAGAAUUGUUGUGCCUUGUUAGGUACCAAGGAGAUGACCGGGAGGAUGCGAGCACGGAGAUUCAAGCAACCAUGGAGAAGGAGGAGAGAACGAGAAGAGAGAAGAAGGAGAGGCUUAGGACACUCCGGGUGCCCGGGCAUUUUGGCCCCGGAGGCCCGGCCCCCCCUGGCGCUGCUCCCAGCCAGCCCCGGGUGCCCGGCCCAAGGCCCCAAGUGCCCGGCCUCACAUGGCCCAGCCGCCGCCCAGGCCACCCCGGGUGCCUGGCCCCGAGGCCCCGGGUGUCGGUGUCAAAACCGGCGGAUCUCGGGUAGGGGGUCCCGAUCUGUGCGUGAAGGCUGACGGUAACAAGAAGGGACAUAGAUGUUUACCCAGGUUCGGGCCCUCUCGAUGGAGGUAAAACCCUACUUCCUGCUUGAUUAAUAUUGAUGAUAUGGGUAGUACAAGAGUAGAUCUACCACGAGAUCGUAGAGGCUAAACCCUAGGAGCUAGCCUAUGAUGGUAUGAAUGUAAUUGUGAUCGGCCUUUUAAGGACCAACCUCUCCAGUUUAUAUAGACACCGAAGAGGGCUAGGGUUUACAUGGAGUCGGUUACAAGAUAGGAAAUAUAAUAUCCGGAUCGCCAAGCUUGCCUUCUACGCCAAGGAAAGUCCCAUCCAGACACGGGCCGAAGUCUUGAGUCUUGUAUCUUCACGCUUCAAUAGUCCGGACGUUGUACAUAGUCCGGCUGUCUAGAUACCCCCUGAGGGAGUCCCGGACUAGGGGGUGUCCGGAUAGCUGGACUAUCAUCAUCGGCCAGACUCCAAGACUAUGAAGAUACAAGAUUGAAGACUUCGUCCCGUGUCCGGAUGGGACUUUCCUUGGCGUGGAAGGCAAGCUUGGUGAUACGGAUAUGUAGAUCUCCUACCAUUGUAACCGAAUUUGUGUAACCCUAGCCCUCUCCGGUGUCUAUAUAAACCAGAUGGCUUUAGUCCAUAGGACGAACAACAAUCAUACCAUAGGCUAGCUUCUAGGGUUUAGCCUCCUUGAUCUCGUGGUAGAUCCACUCUUGUAACACACAUCAUCAAUAUCAAUCAAGCAGGAUGUAGGGUUUUACCUCCAUCAAGAGGGCCCGAACCUGGGUAAAACAUCGUGUCCCUUGUCUCCUGUUACCAUCCGCCUAGACGCACAGUUCGGGACCCCCUACCCGAGAUUCGCCGGUUUUGACACCGACAUUGGUGCUUUCAUUGAGAGUUCCUCUGUGCCGUCGCCAUCAAGGAGGAUGCCUUUUCCCUUCUUUAAAGACGGCACCGUCGUCAAGGGAGCUUUGGCCGCCGGCCAGACUAUCCGGCUAGGCGGUUUCCUUAUGACCGCCUGUUCGGCCACCGCUCCAACAAAGGCCUCUCAGGUCAUUAAAAGCGAUCUUCACGUCAGCUCGGAAUUUGCCGAGUAGCUAGAUCCAAUUGAGCUCUCAUCCGUAAACGAGCUCUUGGAUCGCAUCGCCGCCCUGGGAGUCGCUACCGGCUACGAUCAGAUUGGGCUUAAAACCGAUCUGAGAGAAAUUAACUCUCCCCAGGUUACCCACCACGUUGUUGUGGUAGAAGAACAAUGCGGCGACUCUUCUUCUAUGUUAAAAACUAACUAUGUCUGGAUUCCCGAUCCCUCCAUGCCGGAUUCCCGCGGAGGGUCGGAUGCUAAUCAAGUACUGAACCUAAAGUCAGGCAUCGGACCAGAUUUGUUGGAAAGCAUCCAGCAAAUCAAACUUCCGAAUCCGGAAGCUUCUUGGCCUUUGAGCCUCAGAUCAGGCGGGGUUCCAAACUUAAUUCCACCCGCCCACCCUAACAUAAGCGAUCUAUCUCAAAUACGGCAAGAGCCCGAUGAAACAGUACAUCAUUACUGGGCCAGAUUCCUCCUGGUUAUGAACAGGAUAAAGGAUUGCCGUGAAGAAAGCGCGAUUUCAAUCUUUUGCAACAAUUGCACGGACAAGGGAAUCAUAAACGCCAUCAGUCGUCGCGAGGUUACACGCUUCGCUGACCUAGCGAACAUUGUGCAAAAAUACUGCGCGAUGGAGAGUGCCUGGAAAACCGAAACCAGGUUUUGGGAUAAUCCGGCCCUGAAUACAACCCCAGUCCGAAAUAAAAGGGUGCGUCAUACCCAAGCACCUAGGUUAAAAACCAAAAAGCAAAAACCCCCUAAAGGGUACGGAACCAUACUGGAGGAAUGGCUCAACGGACCCUGCAAAAUCCACACUACGGAGGGCGCCACUCCAACACAUAGCCUUCGAGCAUGUUGGAUACUACGGCAGGUGGCCAAAAGUGGCAAAGGCUUUUUAGCCCCGGGCAACCAGCCCAGCAGUACCAGUACGGUAUUAACAGUCUUCGAGACUUUCGCAUCAAAUAACAUGCGAAAAUGAACAAUCCGCAGCCUUGCCGAAGUCUAUCAAGUAGCAACAACAAAUGCAUGGAGCGACACGGCUAUCACCUUCAAUGCCAGCGAUGAACCUAAAUUCCGAACAGCUAGAGCACCAGCCGCAUUGGUCCUCAGUCCGAUAGUGGACGGCUUUCGUCUUACCAAGGUACUCAUGGAUUGCGGCAGCGGAUUAAACCUCAUUUACGAGGAAACUCUUCAAAAAAUGGAAAUUGACUGGAGCUGCAUUGAGCGAAGCUGCACAACCUUCAGGGGAAUAAUCCCUAAUCGAGAGGUACGCUGCACAGGAAAUAUCACACUAGAUGUAGUGUUCGGCUCGCCGAACAAUUACAGGUCCGAAGAGGUCACGUUCCAAGUGGCCCCAUUCAGUAGCGGAUAUCACGCCUUGUUUGGGCGAGAGGCAUUCACAAUCUUCCAAGCCAUACCCCAUUACAGGUACAUGAAGCUCAAAAUGCCCGGACCCAAUGGAAUAAUCACUCUCGCCAGUGAUCCAGAUACAUCACUCCGCGCUGAAAACAAGACAGCCGCACUAGCCCUAGAGGCAUUAUCCGAAGCCCUAGCGGCAGAGGAACUAACUGCGCCACGGUGGAUAGGGACGAUGUAAUACUCGAUAAGAGGUCCAAGUCCACUUCUUUUAAACCAGCAGAUGAAAUAGUCAAAUUUCAGGUCCAUCCAACGGACCCCACAAAAACGGCCUCCAUUGGGGCGCAAUUAAAUCCUGAUGUAGAAGCCGCACUACGAGAAUUCCUUCGGAACAAUUGGGACAUUUUUGCCUGGCACCCUUCAGACAUGCCAGGAAUCCCACGCAGGCUGGCAGAGCACAGCCUAAAUAUUCUAAAAGGAUUCAAGCCAGUCAAACAAGCUCUUCGGUGAUUUUCCGAACCCAAGAGACAAGCAAUGGGAGAGGAGCUAGCCAAACUCCUAGAAGCCGGAUUCAUCAGAGAUAUAAAACAUUCGGACUGGCUGGCCAACCUAGUAAUGGUACCAAAAAAGGACAAAUCCUGGCGCCUGUGCGUCGAUUUCAAAGACCUUAACAAGGCCUGUCCAAAGGACCCUUUCCCUCUCCCCCGCAUCGACCAAAUCAUCGAUGCUACCGCAGGGCACAAUUCGUUGUGCUUCCUCGACGCAUACUCCGGAUACCAUCAAAUCAAGAUGGCGGAAAAAGACCAGGCCGCAACAGCGUUCAUUACUCCAUACGGGCCAUUCUGCUUCAACACAAUGCCCUUCGGACUCAAAAACGCCGGCGCAACAUAUCAGCGCAUGAUUCAGACAUGUCUGGCUACCCAGAUAGGCAAAACUGUAGAGGCAUACGUAGACGAUGUGGUCGCCAAGACCAAACACGUCGAAACUCCAGUAGACGACUUGAGGGUGACAUUCGACAACCUCCGAGCAUAUGACAUUAAGCUCAACCCGGAAAAAUGUGUCUUCGGAGUACCAGCUGGAAAGCUUUUGGGCUUCAUUGUAUCCGGUAGAGGAAUUGAAGCAAACCCAGCCAAGAUCCGAGCUCUGUCACAAUUGGAUAUUCCAAAAGACCUCAAGCAAAUACAAAACUCACUGGAUGCAUAGCAGCUCUAAGCCGCUUCAUCUCCCGCUUGGGAAAAAAGGCUCUGCCCCUCUAUCGCCUCCUCCGGUGCAUCGAACACUUCAAAUGGACGGAUGCUGCCACAGCCGGACUCGAAGAAAUCAAGGCCAUUCUGGCAACAAAUCCGGUCCUGGCCGCGCCCAACCUGGGCGAACCUAUGUUGUUAUAUAUCACAGCAACACAUCAAGUUGUCAGCGCAGUACUCGUCGUCGAACGAGAAACAGAAGGGCACAGAUUUCCUCUUCAAAAACCAGUGUACUACGUAGCCACUGUCUUAACUCCAUGCAAGUCCCGGUACCCAGAUUAUCAAAAGAUAGCGUACGCGGUGUUCAUGGCAUCUCGGAAGCUGCGACACUACUUUCAAGAGUGUUCCAUAACGGUGGCCUCCGAAGUACCUCUCAACGAUAUUAUAAACAAUCGCGACGCAAUGGGUAGGAUUGCAAAAUGGGACAUUGAGCUCCUACCAUUUGACAUAACCUACAAACCACGGCGAGCUAUAAAAUCGCAAGUCCUGGCUGACUUCGUCGCCGAAUGGACCGAAGCCGAACUCCCUAAAGAGUACGACGCGUACUCCAGUUGGAUCAUGCAUUUCGACGGAUCCAAAAUGUUGGCUGGCUUGGGGGCUGGCGUCGUCUUGACGUCCCCAACUGGAGACACAAUCCAAUACGUACUACAAAUAAUGUACAUGGACUCCAACAACGCAGCCGAAUACGAGGCCCCUCUACAUGGCCUCCGGAUGGCAAUCUCCAUGGGCAUUCAACGCCUAGAGGUGCGCGGGGAUUCAAACCUCGCAAUAUCCCAAGUAAAUGGAGACUUUGACGCCAAAGAUCCAAAAAUGGCAGCUUACCGCAACGCCGUCCUAAAAAUGUCAGCUCGGUUCGAAGGACUCAAAUUCCACCAUAUAGCCCGGGAUAAUAACUAGGCAGCAGACGUGCUAGCACGCAUCGGCGCAAAACGAGACGCCGUCCCUCCAAACAUCUUCCUAGAACGUCUCUUUAAGCCAUCCGUGCUAUGGGAAGAGGAGUCCAAACAUAACAAUCCGGAGCCAGCUGCAUCACCUAACUCAGACCAUUCUGACACAAUCGGCGGCUCAGCCAAUGAAAUAACACCUUCAGCCCACGAAAUAAUGGCAGUAAUCGCCCCGUGGACGGAACCAUUCCUAGCCUACUUAAUCAGGCAGGAACUUCCCGAAGACCAAAAUGAGGCCCGCUGCAUAGUUCGGCGAUCUAAGGCCUACAAGGUCCAUGAGGGAGAACUUUAUAAGAAAAGCACAACCGGAGUCCUUCAAAGGUGUAUCUCCGAAGAGGAAGGGCGAAAUCUCCUGGCUGAAAUUCAUGCCGGACUCGGCGGGCACCACGCUGCAGCCCGGGCCCUUGUAGGCAAGGCCUUCCGUACAGGAUUUUAUUGGCCGACAGCCCGGGCAGAUGCUCAGGACUUAGUCCAACGAUGCGUCGGUUGCCAGCUCUUUGCUAAUCAGAGCCACAUGCCACCCACCGCCCUAAAAACUAUACCCAUUACCUGGCCGUUCGCGGUCUGGGGGCUUGACAUGGUUGGACCCCUUAAAGGGGGAACCCACAAGCACAAGUACUUAUUGGUCAUGGUGGAUAAAUUCACCAAAUGGAUAGAGGCCAAGCCGGUUAAAACGGCAGAAUCCGGACCGGUGUUAGACUUCAUAUCCGGGGUAGUACACCGUUUUGGCGUCCCCCACAGCAUCAUCACUGAUAACGGCACGAAUUUCACGGCCGACGAGGUUAAACUCUGGUGCAAAAACAUGGGCAUCAAGCUCGACUACGCUUCAGUCUAUCACCCCCAAACUAAUGGUCAAGUCGAGCGAGCAAAUGGUCUCAUCAUGAGCGGCAUCAAGCCCAGACUAGUGCGGUCCCUCAAGAAAUCUAACACGCACUGGGUAGAGGAGCUCGACUCCGUACUCUGGGUACUGCGGACCACGCCAAACCGAACUACCGGAUUCACACCAUUUUUUAUGGUCUACGGCGUAGAGGCAGUUCUUCCUUGUGAUAUAAUUCAUGACUCACCUCGCGUGCGCAUGUACGAAGAAAGAGAAGCCGAGUUGGAUCGGCAGGACAGUUUGGACGCCCUAGAGGAGGAGUGGGACGUGGCAAAAGCUCGUUCCGCAUUUUAUCAGCAGCAGGCUCGAAGAUAUCAAAGCAGAGAAAUACGGGCCAAAACUUACAAUGUUGGCAAACUUGUUCUACGCCUGCCGGACAAGAAAAAGGACAAACUUAAGCCUAGGUGGGAAGGUCCCUUCAUCAUCGACCAAGUCCUGACUGGCGGAGCAUACCGUCUACGUAACGCAUCUGACAACCGACUCGAGCCGAACCCAUGGAACGCAGCCCGUCUUCGAAGAUUCUACGCCUAACGCCGGACUCAGAGUUCGUCUCACUCCUCCGUCCACCUUUUUACAUUUUCACUGCCUCUUGUCCCCCUCCUUCUUCCCAUUUUUUUAAAUACUGAGGGAGUCCUGGAUUAGGGGGUGUCCGGACAGCCGGACUCAUAGUCAGCCGGACUCCAAGACUGUGAAGAUACAAGAUUGAAGACUUCGUCCCGUGUCCGGAUGGGACUUUCCUUGGCGUGGAAGGCAAGCUUGGCGAUACGGAUAUGUAGAUCUCCUACCAUUGUAACCGACUCUGUGUAACCCUAGCCCUCUUCGGUGCCUAUAUAAACCGGAGGGCUUUAGUCCGUAGGACGAACAACCAUUACAACAAUCAUACCAUAGGCUAGCUUCUAGGGUUUAGCCUCCUUGAUCUCGUGGUAGAUCCACUCUUGUAACACACAUCUUGAAUAUUAAUCAAGCAGGACGUAGGGUUUUACCUCCAUCAAGAGGGCCCGAACCUGGGUAAAACAUCGUGUCCCUCGUCUCCUGUUACCAUCCGCCUAGACGCACAGUUCGGGACCCCCUACCCGAGAUCCGCCGGUUUUGACACCGACAUUGGUGCUUUCAUUGAGAGUUCCUCUGUGUCGUCACUGAUAGGCUUGAUGGCUUCUUCAAUCAACAACCACGCUGUCUAGGGUGAGACUUUUCUCCCCGGACAGAUCUUCGUGUUCGGCGGCUUCGCACUGCGGGCCAAUUCACUUGGCCAUCUGGAGAAGAUCAAAAGCUACGCCCCUGGCCAUCAGGUUUGGAAGCCUAAACUUCACGGCUGACAUCCGCGGGGACUUGAUCUUCGAUGGAGUUGAGACACAGCCGCGCGUGCCGCACUGUCACGAUGGGCAUGAUCUAGCUCUGCUGUUGGACAGUACCCUGGAGGCCGCACACAAGUCCGCUCUGACCCAUAGUUCGGAGCCGCCCGCACAGAUCGAGGACAAGUGGCUGGACACUGCCUCGGGAGCUGCAACUUCCACAGUGAUGGAGCCGAAUGCUGACCAUGUGCCUUAUGAAGCUCGUGACUCCGAAGCGCCGGACUCCUUGACGGACUCCGAACCUCCUGCGCCCCUGCCAAUCGAAUCCGAUUGGGCGCCAAUCAUGGAGUUCACCGCCGCGGACAUCUUUCAGCACUCACCCUUUGGCGACAUCCUAAAUUCGCUAAAACAUCUCUCGUUAUCAGGAGAACCCUGGCCGGACUACGGUCAGGAUGGCUGGGAUGCAGACGACGAAGAAAUUCAAAACCCACCCACCACCCACUUUGUAGCCACUGUCGAUGAUCUAACCGACAUGCUAGACUUUGACUCCGAAGACAUCGACGGUAUGGACGACGAUGCCGGAGACGAUCAAGAACCAGCGCCUACAGGGCACUGGAAGACCACCUCGUCGUACGAUAUAUACAUGGUGGACACCCCAAAGGAUGGGGACGGCGAAGAAGCAGCGGAGGUGGAUUCUUCUAAGAAACAGCCCAAGCGCCGACGUCAGCGGCGCCGCUCUAAAUCCCGCCACAGUAAGAAUGGAGAGUCCAGCACCGGAGAUAAUAACACCCCAGAGAGUGCCGAAGACAACCCCCCAACAAGAUUCAGCACAGGAGGACGGAGUAGCCAGCCCUCAGGAGAGAGCGACAGACGAGGAGGACGAAAAUUACAUGCCUCCCUCCAAAGAGGCAAGCCUCAAUGACGACGAAUUCGUCGUGCCCGAGGAUCCCGUCGAACAAGAGCGUUUUAAACGCAGGCUAAUGGCCACGGCGAACAGCCUAAAGAAAAAGCAGCAACAGCUUCAAGCUGAUCAAGACCUGCUGGGCGACAAAUGGACCAAGGUCCUUGCGGCCGAAGAGUAUGAACUCGAACGCCCCUCCAAAAGCUACCCAAAACGCAAGUUGCUCCCCCGACUAGAGGAGGAAGCGUACAAACCUUCAUCACCAGCGCACAAUACGGCAGACCGACCACCCCGUGGUCGCGACAGAGAGGCAUCUAGGCCCUCCAUCAGAACCGUACCCCGGCAUCGCUCGAAAAGUACGAAGCCACGGGGGAAUGCACCGGACUUGCGGGAUAUAUUGGAGGACAAGGCAAGACAAUCCAGAUCUAUCUACGGAUCACGUGGGCACCCCACGACCCACGACGACUACCGUCACGCUAGAUACAGCAACUCUGGCCGGGCCGAACACAGCAGACAACACUCUCUUGAGCUACGUCAUGAUAUUGCUCAAUAUAGAGGCGCCGCACACCCACUAUGCUUCACAGACGAAGUAAUGGAUCAUCAAAUCCCUGAAGGGUUUAAACCCGUGAACAUUGAAUCUUAUGAUGGCACAACAGACCCCGCGGUUUGGAUCGAAGAUUAUCUCCUUCGCAUCCAUAUGGCCCGCGGCGACGAUCUCCACGCUAUCAAGUACCUCACACUCAAGCUUAAAGGACCAGCUCGGCAUUGGCUUAAUAGCUUGCCAGCAGAGUCAAUUGGGUGUUGGGAGGACCUGGAAGCCGCAUUCCUCGACAACUUCCAAGGCACAUAUGUGCGACCACCAGAUGCCGAUGACCUAAGCCACAUAAUUCAGCAGCCAGAUGAAUCGGCCAGACAAUUCUGGACACGGUUCUUAACAAAGAAAAAUCAAAUCGUCGACUGUCCGGAUGCAGAGGCCCUCGCAGCCUUCAAACAUAACAUCCGCGACGAGUGGCUGGCCCGGCACCUAGGACAGGAAAAGCCGAAAUCCAUGGCAGCCCUCACAUCACUCAUGACCCGCUUCUGUGCGGGAGAGGACAACUGGCUAGGUCGCAGCAACAACCUCAGCAAAAAUGCUGGCAGUCCGGAUACUAAGGAGCACAAUGGCAGGUCGCGUCGAAACAAAAAUAAACGCCACGUUAACAGCGAUAACAAUGAAGAUACGACAGUCAACGCCGGAUUCAGAGGCUCUAAACCCGGUCAGCGGAAGAAGCCAUUCAAAAGAACCACUCCGGGUCCGUCCAAUUUGGACCGAAUACUCGAUCGCUCUUGCUAGAUAUAUGGCACCCCCGAAAAGCCAGCUAACCACACCAACAGAGAUUGUUGGGUAUUCAAGCAGGCAGGCAAGUUAAUUGCCGAAAACAAUGACAAGGGGCUGCAUAGAGACGAUGAGGAGGAGACCCGGCCGCCGAACAAUAGAGGACUGAAGGGUUUCCCCCCACAAGUGCGGACGGUAAAUAUGAUAUACGCAACCCACAUACCCAAGAGGGAGUGGAAGCGUGCACUUCGGGACAUAUAUGCGAUGGAGCCAGUCGCCCCGAAGUUCAAUCCAUGGUCCUCUUGCCCGAUCACUUUUGAUCGAAGGGACCACCCCACCAGUAUCCGCCAUGGCAGAUUCGCCACAUUGGUUUUAGACCCAAUCGUCGAUGGAUUUCACCUCACUAGAGUCCUCAUGGACGGCGGUAGCAGCCUGAACCUGCUUUAUCAGGAUACAGUGCACAAGAUGGGCAUAGACCCCUCAAGGAUUAAACCUACAAAGACGACCUUCAAAGGCAUCAUACCAGGUGUCGAGGCCAAUUGUACGGGCUCGGUCACACUGGAAGUGGUCUUCGGAUCCCCGGAUAAUUUCCGAAGCGAGGAGUUAAUCUUCGACAUAGUCCCGUUCCGCAGCGGCUAUCACGCCCUGCUCGGACGAACCGCGUUUGCAAAAGUUCAACACGGUGCCGCAUUAUGCAUACCUCAAGCUCAAGAUGCCAGGCCCUCGUGGAGUCAUCACGGUCAAUGGAAACACUGAACGCUCCCUCCGAACGGAGGAACACACAGCGACUCUCGUGGCAGAAGUUCAGAACAGCCUCUUAAGGCAACUUUCGAGUCCGGCCGUUAAAAGACCGAACGGGAUUAAACGCGCCCAGAGUAACAUACACCAAGACCACCUGGCGCGUUCCGAGCACGCGUAGCAAUGCGGCCCCAACCCCAGCCCUUACAUGACUGUAAGACAAGCUCCCUGCGUACAUCAUUACGCUCUGGAGAUACCUUGGGCAUAGGGGGAGGGACACGACCACUACAGGCCCAGAGUGCGGCUCAACCACACCAGGGGCUCCUAAGUGUGUCGAUCUUUUUCUUUCCCUUUUUUUAUUCUUAUCUUAUCCAUAGGACUCCGUUUACAAGAGGCCCUGUCCGGCAGUAGAUCUGUCGAACCCACGAUGCAACAACCAGGGAGGAACCAGGGCUACGACGAACACUCAGGAGGUCUCCAUUACGAGCAUUAAAUCUGUUUAUUACACCAUUCCGCAGCCUAUCCCUGGAGGGGGGCAUGUCUAAUAGUCCAAACCCUUGCUUACCGCACUAUUUGUAUCAUUCUGCACUCAUAGCAGAACUCCUCGAAUAAACAAUGCAUCAUUUUUCGCUUAUAGUUGCAUUCCCUUUAUUUAUAUAUGUAUGUUCUCUUAUGACAUCUUGCAUCCGUACAAUUCAGUACGGCAGAAUACACCAGGAGCUUAUGUUCCCCGCAUUAUGGUGUGAAGUCCGAACACUUUCACAAGUGCGGCACCCCGAACUUAUAGCACUAUAUGCAUCGGCUCCGAAUCAUGUCUUGGGUCAAUAGUUGGGUUUGCCCGGCUCCCAUGUUUGGCACCUUACGUUCCGUUCCGUCGGCUAAGGUAGCACUGGGAGAACCACUGCGAUUGCGCCCCAGUUGAGCUGGGUUAACGCCUCAGUGGAGAAAGCUAAAACUGACCGUCAUGAUAAGGCGAGAGCUGGUCGCUGUUCGAGAGGUCUUUUCGAGUCCUUAAAGACUUACGCCGCUUAGAGCGAGGAACCGGCUAUGUCCGGCCAAGGCGUGGGUAGCGCCCCGAAUUCGUUCUUCCGAACACUAGAGGCUUCGCCGAAAUUUAAAAUUAUAGAAUUCUAUGGCUAAGUGAGAGUGUUCAAGCAUUAUAAGUCCGGUUGCCUUGUUCGUUGUGUUGAGCGCCUCCCUAGAUGGACCCAAAAAUGGGAACAAGAGCGCUCAAGUGUAUCCCGAACACCCCAGCACUCGUGGCAUGGGGGCUGAAGCCGACGACUUGCCAUCUCUCAGAUUUGAUAAACGGCCGCACAGAAGGUAAUAUUUUAAAUCAAACAAGCGUUGCUUAGCGCAUAUGAACAAAGUUUUCAGCGCACAGGAUAACACAUUGCGAGUCUACUAAAAAAUUACAUCUCUGGGGCACUCAUCUGCAAUCUUGCGGGCACCCUUCAGGACAGUCUUAUAGUACAUUUCGGGCAUACGAUACUCCUUGCCCGCCGGCGGCGCGUCCGUCAGAAGCCUCUCAGCAUCCAGCCUGCCCCAGUGCACCUUUGCGCGGGCAAGGGCCCGACGGGCACCUUCAAUGCAGGCGGAGCGCUUGAUGGCCUCCACCCAAGGGCACGCAUCCACGAGCCGCCACACGAGGCCAAAGUAGCUCCCAGGCAUGGCCCCUCCAGGCCAUAGCCGGACUAUAAGGCCCUUCAUGGCCUGCUCGGCUACCUUGUGGAGCUCGACCAGCUGCUUCAGCUGGUCGCUAGGGGGCACCGGAUGUCCGGCCUCAGCAUACUGAGACCAGAAGACCUUCUCCGUUGAGCUCCCCUCCUCGGCCCGGUAGAAUGCGGCGGCAUCGGACACACUGCGAGGCAGAUCUGCAAACGCCCCUAGAGAGCUCCGAAUUCGGGUAAGUAACAGGUAAUUUACAUUCACAUGCUUGCUUUGCAUGAAAAAUGCCUUACCCGCCGCUAUCUUCUUCAUCGCCUCAAUCUCCUGGAGGGACUUAUGGGACUCGGCCUUGGCGGCUUUGGCACUUUCAAGAGCCGAGGCAAGCUCGGACUCUCGAGUCUUUGAGUCGCGCUCCAAACUCUCAUGCUUUUCCAUGAGAGCCUGGAGCUCUUGCCGCACCUCCGCCACCCGCGCCUCCUGCUUCUCUCGCUCCGCCCGUUCUGCGGCCGCAUUGCGUUCGGCCGCGGACACGGCCUCCUUUAGGGUUGCCACCUUGUUCGUGGCCCCUGUAGUACCCAAGUUAUCCUUGUUAUUUCUAUUGCAACCAAAAUCCUUUUCUGUAAGGUACAAAUUUCAAAGUGGUGUUACUCACCUUCUUUGUCCUCGAGCUGCUUCUUGGCAAGGCCGAGCUCUCGCUCGGACCGCUCGAGGUCCUACUUCAAAGCACCGACCUCCGCAGUCAGUGCGGCAGAGGUCAGCAGCGCAGCCUGCAAACCUAUAUUGACAUAAUUUUUAGCACUCCUGCGUAUAUCUUUUUUAGAUCCUCAGUCCGGUUUUUCUUUCCGAACACUGAACCGAGCAUCAGGGGCUUCUGUCUAUGCGGUAUCACAUUACAUAUUUUAAACUUCUUACCUCGAAGCCUGUUAGAAGGCUGCUGCAAGCUUCGGUCAGCCCGCUCUUGGCAAGAUGAACCUUCUGAAUCACCACACUCAUAAUAGUGCGGUGUUCUUCCUCGAUGGAAGCGCCGUUGAGCGCCUCCAACAAGUUGUCCGGCGCCUCCGGUUGGAUGGAGGCCGCCGGUGUCACGGUCUUGCCCUUCUUGUGAAGGGGCCGCCUGCCGGACUCCGGAACCACUGCGGGUUCCGGCAUGGAGUCCGGCGCGAAAUCCGGGAGGUUACCUUGUGGCACCUCCGGAGCCUCCCCCUCCUGGCGGGUCCCCUCCUGGGAUCCCACCUCGACGUCCUCAGCAUCGCGAGGGGUGGAGGCGGUCGGAAUGGAAUCUACAUCCGACGGGGCCAAGGACCCGCUGGAUGAAGCGGGAAGGUCCUCCUCGGCCGGGCUACAGAUAGUAUGCGGCAUUAGAAGGACACUACAUGGCACAAAAAAGAAAUUACAAAUCACUCAGGAAUCCGGAUACUUACGAUCUUGCCAGGGGCUUGGCCCUUGAGGGCUACUCCUCGUCGCCGUCGUUGGCGUUGGCGGAGCUGUCCGGAGGAAGGGUCCUUCCCCUCUUGGACCCUUCGGCUUCCCCCGUUGGGGAAGCCUUCCUCUUCCUCUCCCCCCCCUCCAGGGGAGAGCCUUCUUUCCCCUCCUCGCCUUCGGGGGAGGAGUCCGCCUCGGAGUCAUCGGACACCUGAAAACGGGAACUCUUUCGAGUACCCGUGGCCUCCUUCUUGGCCUUCUUCUCCGGCACCACAUGCGCUGCCGGGACCAGCAGCCCCGCUAGACGGGCGUCUACUGGGUUUUCUGGCAUGGGAGCCGGACAGAUAAUCUGCUCGGCCUUCUUCAUCCAUCCCUGUCAAAGGAAAGGGGAGAUUAAAUCCCGCGUAAGGUUGAACUAUUAAAAACAACUGUCCCGUAAAGGGGUAGAAUCACUUACCUCGUCAGCUGGACGCUGCGAGCGAAAUCCGUGAUCUUCAGUGGCGGAUGCGGGAGCUUCGACGCCCUUGAAGAGCACCUUCCAGGCAUCUUCGUACCUAGUGUCGAAGAGCCUGCUCAAGGUUUGGUAUUGCGCCGGAUUGAACUCCCACAAUUUAAAUGCCCGUUCUUGGCACAGGAGAAUCCGGUGGAUGAGCAUGACUUGGACCAUGUUGACAAGCUUGAGCUUCUUGUUCACCAGCUUCUGGAUACAGGCUUGGAGUUUGGUCAGCUCCUCCGAAUCGCCCCAGGUCAGGCCACUCUCUUUCCAAGAGGUGAGCCACGUGGGGAUUCCAGAUCUAAAUUCGGGGGCCGCUACCCAUUUAGGGUCACGCGGCUCGGUGAUGUAGAACCACCCCGAUUGCCAUCCCUUGAUGGUUUCCACGAAGGCGCCCUCGAGCCAGACGACGUUGGGUAUCUUACCCACCAUGGUGCCUCCGCACUCUGCCUGAUUCCCCUUUACUACCUUCGGCUUGACAUUGAAGGUCUUUAGCCACAAGCCGAAGUGGGGCUGGAUGCAGAGGAAGGCCUCGCACAUGAUGAUAAAUGCCAAGAUGUUGAGGAUGAAGUUUGGCGCCAGAUCGUGGAAAUCUAGGCCGUAGUAGAACAUGAGCCCCCGGACAAAGGGGUGAAGUGGAAAGCCCAGUCCGCGGAGGAAAUGGGGAAGGAAGACCACCCUCUCAUGGGGCCUGGGGGUGGGGAUGAGCUGCCCCUUGUUGGGGAGACGGUGCGCGAUGUCGCUGGAUAGGUAUCCGGCGUCGCGCAGCCUUUCGAUGUGCCCCUCCAUGAUGGAGGAGGCCAUCCACUUGCCUCCCGCUCCGGACAUGACUGGAGAAGGUUGAGACGAGAUGUACGAACUUGGGCGUUGGAGCUCGAGUGCGCGAAGAUGGAUAAGCAAGGGAGGAAGAAGGCGUAGGUAAAAAGGUGGAUCCUUAUCCCCUUAUAUAUGGGCGGACGAAGACUAUGUGUCCCCACCGGCCUGGUAAAACUCGCUUAUCCCCCAAGCGCCACCAUCAAUGGCGCGGUUGGGUUACCCACAUCCGUAUUGAUGGGAAUCCCGGAAUAAGGGGAACACGAUCUCUGCUUCGACAAGACGUGCCAAGGAAACCGCUUCGCUAAACGCGCUGAGGUGGUAUAAUAAAAAACGAUUCAAGUAAAGGCUUGGUAGUGGUGUGACGUCAUGCCACAAAAUACGUUAGUAGAUUGAACUUGUGUACAUAUUAUUCUCUCUAUGGUGGAAUGUGGAAUUUAUUUUGCAGAGCCGGACACUAUCCUGGUGUUCACAAUCUUCUAUGGAUUAUUUGGAGGAAGAACCCGCCUUGCAAUGCCGAACAAUAUGCGCGCCGGACUCAUCGUCAUUGAAGCCUGGUUCAGGGGCUACUGAGGGAGUCCUGGAUUAGGGGGUGUCCGGACAGCCGGACUCAUCGUCAGCCGGACUCCAAGACUAUGAAGAUACAAGAUUGAAGACUUCGUCCCGUGUCCGGAUGGGACUUUCCUUGACGUGGAAGGCAAGCUUGGCGAUACGGAUAUGUAGAUCUCCUACCAUUGUAACCUACUCUGUGUAACCCUAGCCCUCUCCGGUGCCUAUAUAAACCGGAGGGCUUUAGUCUGUAGGACGAACAACCAUUACAACAAUCAUACCAUAGGCUAGCUUCUAGGGUUUAGCCUCCUUGAUCUCGUGGUAGAUCCACUCUUGUAACACACAUCUUCAAUAUUAAACAAGCAGGACGUAGGGUUUUACCUCCAUCAAGAGGGCCCGAACCUGGGUAAAACAUCAUGUCCCUCGUCUCCUGUUACCAUCCGCCUAGACGCACAGUUCGGGACCCCCUACCCGAGAUCCGCCGGUUUUGACACCGACAAAUACCUUCGAUAAGCUGAUGUGCUUCUAGCACUCAUUAUACCUGGGGGCUUCUUUCACGGAAGCUUAUUUAUACGGGCUUUACGCCCAACACAUGUGUUAUACUUCCGCAUGUACCUUUUAUUCACCAUUAUAUGCAUCGAUAUGACUUAAGUUUUGGCCAAGCUGGGUUGCCUGGCUCCUGUGCUUACCCCUACGUUCCCGAUUGUUCGGCUAGGAGGUAAAGGGAGCACCUCUGCGAUUGUUACUGCUGGGUCAGCUGGAUGUGUACCUCAGACUGGGUGAAGCCGAAAGCUAGCGUUCUUAAGAGAAUAUUCGGUCGGUGAUUUGAAAGAUGAUUUAUUACUUACUUAUUUAUCUGCCCCCAGAUGCUUUUUCUGCUAUUUUCGCAGUAUGGACAUGCACUUUAGGGCAUGCCUCCCAGGGAAAGGAACCCUUAACGGAACUAUUCUCCCUGGAAGAUGUUUCUUACUAACCAUGUAAUAUAACAUAGCUAGUUGGGCACUUGUCUAAUAAAGCAAUUAUGACCCCGACACCUUGUCUCCAUGCAUGCCCUGGUUCUUUUAUAACUGUAAGGGUAUUCGGACACACUCCGGACUGUUGGGUCCCGAGGUUGAAGCGAAAAGGUCCGCAAAGACAAACGAUCUACAAUCCGGCUAGAAGGAAUUUUCACAUGUCAUUUUAAAUUACAUCGUCAAACCGACUGAUUGUACUCCUCUUCAAUCCCAUCUAACAGGCUGUCUAAUUUACAGUCCUGUUGGGAAAAUUUGGCGGCCAGCUCUACUUGGCCGUACAUCAAGCUCACAGGGAUCUCCUUCCCAUCAGGCCCCACCGGUCCGACCUCGGCCAUGUGGUUUGGGUCAGCCUUCGGGUACUGCGUCUUCACCAUGGCCCAGGCCUCCCUGGCGCCUUGACGGCAGUCAGAUAUCUUCCACAGACGGAGACGUCGCCGCACUCCCUGAAGCUUCUCAGCAAGCCCUCCAAGGCCCUCGGGUAGGGAGACGGAAGGCCAUAAGGCCUGCACGACGCCACUCAUCGCCUGCCGAACACGCUCGAGCAGUUGAACCAGCUCGGGAAGUUGAUCACCCGUUGAACCAGGCAUUUCCUCCGCAGGGCGACCUGUGAGCACACCUAAAGACACAUUUAUGUCAAUCGACUUCCUUGCCGAAUUCUUCUUUUCAAAGGAAUUUUCUCAAGCACUUACUAUAAAUGCCGCGACGAAGCCGCUGAUUCUCCUUCACAGAGCCAGACAGCUGGGCCCAAACAUCUUUCAGCUUUUCUCCUAGCUGGAUGUGGGCAUCUUGGAGCUUGUUCCUCUCCUGCUGCACCUUCAUAAGCACCCUCUCGCCGGCCUUUAGCUGACCUAGUAGUUGUUGCUUGUCCGGAUCUAGUCCGGCACCCUCUGCAAUAUUCUUGUCAGAUUAACACACACGCCACACUUUGGUAACUACUUAUCUUUUCAAAGCACAUAUUACCAGCAGGGGUAUCUGUAGCUUCCCCUGUGGUGGCUAGUGCGGCCUCAAGUUGGGCCUUGCACUCUUGGAGCUCCUGGGACAGGUGGGAAUUCUUCUCCGUAAGAUCCUGCAUAAUAAAUGAUCCUUAAAUAAGUUAUUUUAACUAUUUUAAGUCUCGGGGGCUACUGGCAUAUAUAGCUAUUAAAAAUUACUUACUCGUAUGUCUUUCACAUACUGCUCCGUGGCUCUGGUUAAGCCAUUUUGAGCGGCACGGAGGUGCGCGUUCCCCGCAUCAAAGGCAUUUAACGCCUCCAGGGAGAAACACGCGUCACAAAGAACUGUCCGGCGACGCUUGUGAUUCAUGGCGCUCUCCACCUCAGACCGAGUGGCGGACAGCCUGUCGGCGUCCUCUGUUGGAGGAGCGUCCGGCUCAUGCCUUGUGUUCGCCUCCCAUUCCGGACCACGCGAUGGAGCAUGGCUGGCGGAGGCUUGAUUGGCAACCUCUCCGGACUCUGUCCGGCGAGCGCUCUUUCUCCUGAAAAAGUUAUGAGCAUUAAUAUACCUCCUAGGGGUCCUUCCCUUAAAAACAGCGGUACGCUGUACCGUUGUGGCAACGUCUCGAUUCGCGUCGCGCUCCUCUUCCGCCUGCUGGGCCGAACUGACCCUUGCUGGUCAACUGCCGUGGGUUCGGCUUCCCGCCUUAAAGGCACAUCCUGCGAUGCACCGUCAGUAUUGGAUGGUUAGAAUUGAGCAUGGAUCAAAUAAUGGUGUCAAGACCUUGGUCGUAGUCACCUGGGAGGCCGGAAACAAACCGGGGUAGUCGGCCGUAAUGGCGACUAGGGUAUUGUCCAUACUGAGUUGGUGGAACACCCUGUCAAUCAGCUCCACCUUUAUGUCCGGAUCCUCUUCGGAGGACGGAUCAAGGGAUCGUUCUGGAUCUUCGGGUUGUGGAGCUGGGUUCGUAUGCCCUCCACGUCCCGGCGCAGAUCCUGCGUCGAAAUCAUAAAGUAAAAUACUUGACUUUGAAAGUAUGGAUCGGGUAGAUAAACGUCCGCUUACCCAGCUCCGAGGGUUACUCAUGGAGAAUCCGUUCAAUGGAUUCGUACGGAGGAAGUACUCCUCCCCCCCCUUGUACAAGCCGGACAGGAUCUUUGCCAGAUCGGCUGCCGAGCCCGGCCCUUUGCGGCCGUGACGGGUGGCGUCAUCUUCCCCGCUGAAAUCCCACAUUGGGUGGCCCCUGUAUUGGAGUGGCUGCACCCCUCGCAUAAUGCAUGUGGAUAUGAUCCCAAUCAUGGUCAAUUCGGAGUGGUCCAAUAACCUAAUCCGGCCCAUCAGAUAAUGAACGCUCCUAUCAUCCUCUUGUUGAGGGCUCCGCGGGCGCCAACUCAGGCGUUUCUUCAAGGGAGCAUUGCUGAACUCCGGGAGGCCGAUCCGAACUGGAUCUGGCAGAGGGGCGUCCUCCAUGUAGAACCAUUCCGAAGGCCAGUCUUCGGACGCCUUCUUCGGGGUUCCGGAUAGAUAUCCGGUCCCGGCGAUGCGCCAUAUUUCGGCUCCGCUCACUUGAUAUGUCGACCCCUCGUGAGAACGGGGGACGAGGCAAAACAAUCUCUUCCACAGCGCAAAAUGGGGCUCGAUGCCCAAGAACAACUCGCAAAGAGCUACGAAGCCCGCGAUGUGCAAAAUGGAGGCAGGCGUGAGGUGGUGAAGCUGGAGCCCGUAGAACUCCUGGAGCCCCCGGAGAAACGGAUGUAUGGGAAAUCUGAGUCCCCUUAUUAGAUAAGGGACGAAGCAUACCCACUCUCCUUUGGAAGGGUUGGGGACGUUCUCCGCCUGCUUUCCACCCCUGAAGGUGGCCAAUCCGUCUCGAACCGGAACCAUGAAGGCUGGGGGAAGAUAUCCCUCGGUUUGGAGCGUCACUAGCUCGCUGUGUGGAACUGAGCAUUUUCCCCAAUCUCCUGGCUUAGGGCUGGGAGUGCGAGAGGAGGAGCCGCGACGACUGUCCAUGAUAGAACGGGUUUUUGCCAGAAGCGCUUCGAUGAGUACUCGCGGAAGGAGGAUGGUGUGAGUUGGAUCUAGAUCCUCGCCGCUCUUAUAGGCGGCUCGUUCGCACGGCAAGGGGGUAAAAUGUAAACAUACCCUGACUUUUCGCAUUCAUACGACACGUGGAAGAAGGCCAUUACUGGGCGUAGAAGCCAAGGAGCGCAACAUUAUUAAGGAAGCCGGACACUAUUCGGCAGGAACAUAAAGUUUGAAGGAGAACCUGCCUUGCAACGCCGAAGACAACAUGCGCGCCGGACUCGUCGUCACUAAAGCCUGGUUCGGGGGCUACUGAGGGAGUCCCGGACUAGGGGGUGUCCGGAUAGCCGGACUAUCAUCAUCGGCCGGACUCCAAGACUAUGAAGAUACAAGAUUGAAGACUUUGUCCCGUGUCCGGAUGGGACUUUCCUUGGCGUGGAAGGCAAGCUUGGCGAUACGGAUAUGUAGAUCUCCUACCAUUGUAACCGACUUUGUGUAACCCUAGCCCUCUCCCGUGUCUAUAUAAACUGGAUGGCUUUAGUCCAUAGGACGAACAACAAUCAUACCAUAGGCUAGCUUCUAGGGUUUAGCCUCCUUGAUAUCGUGGUAGAUCCACUCUUGUAACACACAUCAUCAAUAUCAAUCAAGCAGGACGUAGGGUUUUACCUCCAUCAAGAGGGCCCGAACCUGGGUAAAACAUCGUGUCCCUUGUCUCCUGUUACCAUCCGCCUAGACGCACAGUUCGGGACCCCCUACCCGAGAUCCGCCGGUUUUGACACCGACACCCCCUUAUCCAGGACUCCCUCAGUAUCCCCUGAACCAGGCUUCAAUGAUGAUGAGUCCGGCGCGCAGUAUUGUCUUCGGCAUUGCAAGGCGGGUUCCUCCUCCGAAUACUCUAAAAUGGUUAUCGAACACGUAGACCGUGUCCGGAUCUGCAGGACGGUCUUUGUAUGGUAUAGAUCUAUUUUGCUGGCAAUCUUCGUGCGCCUCGCCCUUGCAUCAUGGCUCGGUCCAAUGUGAACCGUCGUCUCCUACCCCACAACGACUCAUGUUACGAGGCAGUUUUAUUGGCACGUCCCGUCGGGGCAGAGAUCAUGUCCCUCUUAUUACGGGAUUUUCCAUCAAUAUGAGCGUGCGUGACCCCACGACGGCCGUUGGCAUUACCCCGUGUGUUUUUAGAUAAGCCUCAAAUGGUCACACCAGGGACUCUUGAUAUUCACCCUCUUUAUAAAGGAGUCAAGACUUACGCCUCUUUCUUCACCUUCAUCGCGCCUUCCCGCACCUCGAGUUCUAACACCCAAAACCUAAGCUCCACCCCUUCGGAAUCCGCCAGUAUGUCUGGAUCUGACCCUCAAGGCCGGUGGGUCGCCUCCUUGAUCGAGGAGAAGAACAUUGCGAAGCUCAGGGAGGUCGGAUACCUAACCGCAGAUAUCCAGCACAGGCUUCCCGCUUUGGGGAAAGUUAUCCCCACGCCGGAGCCCAAUGAGUGUGUUGUUUUUGUCCCACACUUCCUCCGUGGUUUGGGUUUCACCCUCCAUGCUUUCGUGAGGGGGCUCAUGUUCUAUUAUGGGCUGGAUUUUCAUGAUCUGGCUCCAGAUGCCAUCCUCCAUAUCUCGUCGUUCAUUAUUGUGUGCGAGGCUUUUCUCCAUGUCACGCCACACUUCGGCUUAUGGCUCAAGACCUUCAAUGUGAAGCCGAAGAUGAUCGAGGGGAUACAUGUGGAGUGAGGAGGUGCCGUAAUAAGUAGAAAUGCCGAUGCCCCAUGGCCGGAGGGUUCUUUCCUGGAAGUAUCUGACGUAUGGCAGCGGAGGUGGUUUUAUGCCAAGGCCCCAAGGGGCACAAACUGGGUAGCCGCCCCUGAGUUCCGCUCAGGCCCUCCGUUGCAGUUGGCGUCCUGGACAGACAUAGGAUGUAAUUGGGGACCCGCAGGCGAUGUACCAAUACUGCAGAACCGCAUCCGAGAGCUUCUCGAGAGGGAUAUCAACCUUGUUAGCGUAAUGCAAGUGAUUUUAUCCGGCGGACGUUGUCGUGCCAACGCUGGCCUCUUCGGAUGUGGGAGUUCAAUCCAAAGGGUCCGCGGACUGUGAAGCACUUCUUCGGCUUAAAGCUCGAAGAGAUCUGCAAAUUAUUCUUCGGUCGGAAGGUAACGUGUCCGGACACCACCGAGGAUGCGGGCCUAAGCUGCAACCGCCUAGAUACUCAAGUAAGUGGCCUUGAUACCGGAGACCCUGUUUUGUAUUUGUCAUACUUGUUUAUUCUGAACAUAUCCGCGUCCAGGAAUGGUUCAGCAAGGUGAAGAGAAUCAGGUGUCCGGUACCACUUCCCGAAGGAUCGCCCGCCCCUACUAUGGCCAAGAUGCUCGACCGGGUACUCAGCCGAAUGCCCUCGGGGAAAGACAAUGGGAAGGAUGAUAAAUCCGAACCCCAUGCACUACGCAUCCAAACUGGGGAUAGUCGGGGAGGAGAGGUCGAGGCCGCCUCCCCACGUGGGAAGAAGAGGGCCGCCUCCGAAGAUUUGGAGGCAGAGAUACCCAAAUUAGGGAAAAAGGGAUCCCCAGGGGUCCUUGCCCCAACAGGCACCCUCACCGCAUCAUGCCUGUCGGUGUCAAAACCGGCGGAUCUCGGGUAGGGGGUCCCGAACUAUGCGUAUAGGCGGAUGGUAACAGGAGACAAGGGACACGAUGUUUUACCCAGGUUCGGGCCCUCUUGAUGGAGGUAAAACCCUACGUCCUGCUUAAUUGAUAUUGAUGAUGUGUGUUACAAGAGUGGAUCUACCACGAGAUCAAGGAGGAUAAACCCUAGAAGCUAGCCUAUGGUAUGAUUGUUGUUCGUCCUAUGGACUAAAGCCAUCCGGUUUAUAUAGACACCAGAGAGGGCUAGGGUUACACAAAGUCGGUUACAAUGGUAGGAGAUCUACAUAUUCGUAUCGCCAAGCUUGCCUUCCACGCCAAGGAAAGUCCCAUCCGGACACGGGACGAAGUCUUCAAUCUUGUAUCUUCAUAGUCUUGGAGUCCGGCCGAUGAUGAUAGUCCGGCUAUCCGGACACCCCCUAGUCCGGGACUCCCUCAGUAGCCCCUGAACCAGGCUUCAAUGACGAUGAGUCCGGCGCGCAUGUUGUCUUCGGCAUUGCAAGGCGGGUUCUUCCUCCGAAUAAUUUAUAGAAGAUUGUGAACACCAGGAUAGUGUCCGGCUCUGCAAAAAUAAAUUCCAUGUAGCACCGUAGAGAGAAUAAUAUUACACAAGUUCAAUCUGCUGACGUAUUUUGUGGCGUGACGUCACGCCACUACCAAGCCUUUACUCGAAUCGUUUUUAUUGUUCCACUUUAGCGCGUUUAGCGAAGCGGUUCCCUUGGCACGUCUUGUCGAAGCAGAGAUUGUGUUCCCCUUAUUCCGGGAUUCCCAUCAAUACGGACGUGGGUAACCCAACCACGCCAUUGAUUGUGACGCUUGGGGGAUAAGCGAGUUUUACCAGGCCGGUGGGGACGCAUGUUUGUGUCUGCCCAUAUAAGGGGAUAAAGAUCCAACCCUUUUUCCUGCGCCUUCUUCCUCCUUGGCUUAUCCAACUCCGCGAACUCGAGCUCCAGCGCCCAAGUCCGCACUUCUCACCUCAACCUUCUCCAACUAUGUCCGGAGCGGGAGGCAAGUGGAUGGCCUCCUCCGUCAUGAAGGAGCAGAUCCAGAAGCUGCGCAACGCCAGAUACUUGUCUAGCGACAUCACGCACCGGCUCCCCGACGAGGGAGAGCUCAUUCCGACCCCCAGGCCCCAUGAGAGGGUAGUAUUUCUUCCCCAUUUCCUCCGUGGACUGGGCUUCCCACUUCAUCCCUUUUUCCGGGGACUCAUGUUCUACUACGGCCUAGAUUUCCUUGAUCUGGCCCCAAAUUUUAUCCUCAACAUCUCGGCGUUCAUAUCGUGUGCGAGGCCUUCCUCUGCAUCCAGCCCCACUUCGGCUUGUGGCUCAAGACCUUCAGUGUCAAGCCGAAGGUUGUGAAGGGCAGGCAGGCGGAGUGCGGAGGCGCCAUGGUGGGCAGGAUGUCCCACGUUACGUGGCUGGAGGGCACUUUCGUGGAAACCAUUAAGGGGUGGCAAUCGGAGUGGUUCUACAUCACCGAACCGCGUGACCCUGAUUGGGCUGUGGCCCCCGAAUUCAGAUCUGGCAUCCCUACAUGGCUCACCUCGUGGAAAGAGAGUGGCCGGAUUUGGGGCGAUUCGGAGGAGCUGACCGGACUCCAAGCCUGUAUCCAAAAGCUUGUGGACAAGAAGCUCAAGCUCGUCAAUGUAGUCCAGGUCAUGCUCAUCCGCCGGAUUCUCUCGUGCCAACGACGGGCUUCAACAUGUGGGAGUUUGAUCCGGCGCAGCACCAGACCCUGAGCGGGCUCUUCGAUACUACAUACGAAGAUGUCUGGAAGGUGUUGUUCAAGGGUGCCGAAGAUCGCGGAUUCUGCUCGCAGCGUCCAGCAGACGAGGUAAGUGAUUCUGCCAUUUGUUUUCCAUAGUUUGACUCUAUGCGGGAUCUAAACUCCCUUUUCCUUUGACAGGACUGGCUGGCGAAGGCCGAAUGGACUAUCUGUCCGGCCCCAUUGCCAGAGGACCCAGCGGACGCCCGCCUAAUGGUUCUGCUGGCUCCGGCACCCCACGUGGUGCCGGAGAAGAAGGCCAAAAAGAAGGCCACGGGCACUCAAAAGAGUUCCCAUUUUCAAGUGCUGUCGGAUGAUGAAUCCGAGGCCGACUCCUCCCACCAAGGCGAGGAGGAUAAGAAGAAAGCCUCUCCCCUGACGGGGGGAGGGAAAAAAGGAAGGCCUCCCCAACGAGGGAGGCCGAAGGGUCCAAGAAGGGAAAAACUCUCCCCCCGGACUGCUCCGCCAACGCCAGUGAUGACGACGAGAAUUGGCCUCCAAGGGCCAGGCCCCUGGCGAGAUCGUAAGUAUCUGGAUUUCCGAAUAACUUCAUGGUUUUUCUUUUCGCCACAUAAUGUCUUUCUAAUGCCGCAUACAACCCUGCAGUCCGCCCAAGGAUGAUCUUCCCGCUUCGUCGAGCGGGUCCUUAGGUGCGUCGGAUAUGGAUUCUCUUCCGACUGCCUCCAGCCCCCGUGCUGUGGACGACGCCGAGGUGGGAUCCCAGGAAGGGACCCGCCAGGAGCAGGAGGCCCCGAAGGUGUCGCAGGACAACCUCCCGGACUUUGCACCGGACUCAGCCCCGGAACCCAUAGUGGCUCCGGAGUCCGGCAGGCGACCCCUUCGUAAGAAGGGAAAGACCAUGACGCCGGUGGCCUCCGUCCAACCGGAGGCGCCGGAUAACUUGCUGGAGGCGCUCAAUGGCGCCUCCAUUGAAGAGGAACACUGCACUGUUAUGAGUGCGGUGAUUCAGAAGGUUCAGCUCGCCAAGAGUGGGCUGACCGAAGCCUGCAGUAGCCUUCUAACAGGCUUUGAGGUAAGAAUUUAAAUAUAUAUAAAAUGGUACCGCAUAGACAGUAGCCCCUGAUGCUCGGUUCGGUGUUCAGAAAGAAAAGCCGGACUAAGGAUCUAAAAAGAUAUACGCAGGAGUCAUAAAAAAUAUGUCAAUAUGGGAUUGCAGGCUGUGCUGCUGACCUCCGCCGCACUGACCGCGGAGGUCAAUACUUUGAAGGAAAGCCUCGAGCGGUCCGAGAACGAGCUCGGCCGUGCCAAGAAGCAGCUCGAGGAAAAAGAAGGUGAGUAAUACCUUAUUAAAAUUGUACCUUACAGAAAAGGGUUUGGUUGCAAGAAUAAUUACAAGGAUAACAUGGGUAUUGUAGGGGCCACUAGCGAGGUGGCGACCCUGAAGGAGGCGGUGCCCGCAGCCGAACAUAAUGCGGCCGCGGAACGCUCCGAGUGAGAGAAGCAGGAGGCGCGGGUGGCGGAGGCACAGCAAGAGCUCCAGGCUCUCAUGGAAAAACAUGAGAGUUUGGAGCGUGACUCGGAAGCUCGAAAGUCCGAGCUUGCAACGACUCUUGAGAGUGCCAAAGCCGCUAAGGCCGAAGCCUAUAAGGCCCUCCAAGAAAUCGAGGAAUUGAAGAAAAUAGCGGCGGGUAAGGCAUUUUUCAUGCAAAGUAAGCAUGUGAGUGUUAAUUACCUGUUACUUACCCGCAUUCGGAGCUCUCCAGGAACGUUCGCAGAUCUUCCUCGCAACGUAUCCGAUGCUGCCGCAUUCUACUGGGUUGAGGAGGGGAGCUCGACGGAGAAGGUCUUCUGGUCAUAGUAUGCUGAGGCCAGACAUCCGGUGCCCCUUAGUGACCAGCUGAAGCAGCUGGUCGAGCUCCACAAGGUGGCCGAACAGGCCAUGAAGGGCCUCAUAGUUCGGCUGUGGCCUAAAGAGGCCAUGCCUGGGAGCUACUUCGGCCUGGUGCGGUGGCUGGUGGAUGCGUGCCCGUGGGUUGAAGUCAUCAAGCACUCUGCUUGUAUUGAGGGUGCCCGUCGGGCCCUUGCCCGUGCAAAGGUGCAGUGGGGCAAGAUGGAUGCCCAGAAGCUUGUGACGGACCCGCCACCGCAGGGCAAGGAGUACCGCACGCCCGAGAUGUAUUAUUAGAGUGUCCUGAAGGGUGCCCGCACUAUUGCGGGUGAGUGCUCCAAAGAUGUAAUAUUUGAGUAGGCUCGCAUUUUGUUAUCCUGUGCGCUUGAAGACUUAGUUCAUAUGCGCUAAGAAACGCUUGUUAAUUUAAAAUAUUACCUUCUGUGCGGCUGUUUAUCAAUUCUUAGAGAUGGCAAGUCGUUGGCUUCAGCCCCCACGCCACGAGUGCUGGGGUGUUUGGGAUAAACUUGAGCACUCUUGUUCCCAUUUUUGGGUCCAUCGAGGGAGGCGCUCAACACAGCGAACAAGGCAACCGGACUUAUAAUGCUUGAACACUCUCACUUAGCCAUAGAAUUCUAUAAUUUUAAAUUUCGGCGAAGCCCCUAAUCUUCGGAAGGCCGAAUUUGGGGCGCUAUCCAUGCUUGGGCCGGACAGAAUCCGGCUCCUCGCACUAAGCGGCAUAAGUCUUUAAGGACUCGCAAAAAACCUCUCGAACAGUGACCGGCUCUCGCCUCAUCAUGACGGUCAGUUUUAGCUUUCUCCACUGAGGCGUUAACCCAGCUCAACUGGGGCGCAAUCGCAGUGGUUCUCCCAGUGCUACCUUAGCUGAUAAAACGGAAUGUAAGGUACCAAAACAUGGGAGCCGGGCAAACCCAACUAUUGACCCAAGACAUGAUUCGGAGACGAUGCAUAUAAUGCUAUAAGUUUGGGGUGCCGCACUUGUGAAAGUGUUCGGACUUAUCACACCAUGAUGCGGGAAACAUAAGCCCCUGGUGUAUUUUAACCGUACCAAAGUGUAUGGAUGCAAUAUGUCGUACAUGAGCAUAUGUAUAUAAAAAGAAAUGCAAUUAUAAGCAAAAGGUGCUGCAUUGUUUUAUUCAAGAAUUACUGCUAUGAAUGCAGAACGAUACGAAUAGUGCGAUAAGCAAAGGACAUGACUGUUAAACAUGUCCCCCUUCAGGGGUAGGCUGCGAAGUUGUUUAUAAAACAGAUUUAAUGCUCGUAAUGGAGGCCACCUGGAUAUUCGUUGUAGCCUUUAUCUUUCCCUGGCUGUUGCAUCGUGAGUUCGGCAGGUCUGCUGCCGGACAGGGCCUCUGACGAACGGAGUCCUGUGAGUAAAAAAUAAAAAAGGAAAAAGAACGACACACUUGAGAGCCCCUGGUGUGGUUGAGCCGCAUUCCGGGCCUAUCGUGGUCGUGCCCCUCUCCCCAUGCCCAUGGUAUCUCCAAAGCGUAAUGGUGUACGCGGAGGACCUGUCUUGACGUUUUGCGAGGGCUGGGGUUGGGGCCGCGCUGCUACGCGUGCUCGGAACGUGCUAGGUAGUCAUGUUGUAGGUUACUCCGGGCGCGCUUAGCUGUGUCCGGCCGCUUACCGGCCGGACUCGGGAAUUGCCUUAAGAGGCUGCAUUGCACUUCUGCCGCGAGAGCCGCUGUAUGUUCCUCCGUUCGGAGAGAACGUUCAGUGUUUCCGUUGACCGUGAUGACUCCUCGAGGGCCUGGCAUCUUGAGCUUGAGGUAUGCGUAGUGCAGCACCGCGUUGAAUUUUGCAAACGUGGUAUGUCUGAGCAGGGCAUGAUAGCCGCUGUGGAACGGGACUAUGUCGAAGAUUAACUCCUUGCUUCGGAAGUUAUCCGGGGAUCCGAAGACCACUUCCAGUGUGACUGAGCCUGUGCAAUUGGCUUCUACACCUGGUAUGACGCCUUUAAAGGUCGUCUUGGUAGGUUUAAUCCUUGAGGGGUCUAUGCCCAUUUUGCGCACUGUAUCCUGAUAAAGCAGGUUCAGGCUGCUACCUCCGUCCAUCAGGACUCUGGUUAGGUGAAACCCGUCGACAAUUGGGUCUAAAACCAAUGCGGUGAAUCCGCCAUGGCGGAUGCUGGUGGGGUGGUCCCUUCGGUCAAAAGUGAUCGGGCAGGAGGACCAUGGAUUGAACUUCGGGGCAACUGGCUCCAUUGCGUAUACAUCCCUUAGCGCACGCUUCUGCUCCCGUUUGGGUAUGUGCGUUGUGUAUAUCAUGUUCACCGUCCGCACCUGUGGGGGGAAACCCUUUUGUCCUCUAUUGUUCAGCGGUCGGGUCUCUUCCUCGUCAUCGCUAUGCAGCCCCUUGUCAUUGUUUUCGGCAAUUAACUUGCCUGCAUGCUUGAAUACCCAACAAUCCCUGUUGGUGUGGUUAGCUGGCUUUUCGGGGGUGCCGUGUAUCUGGCACGAGCGGUCGAGUAUUCGGUCCAAAUUGGACGGACCCGGAGUAGUUCUUUUGAAUGGCUUUUUCCGCUGACCGGGUUUAUAGCCUCUGAAUCCGGCAUUGACUACUGUAUCCUCACUAUUGUCGCUGUUGAUGCGGCAUUUAUUUUUGUGACGACGCGACCUGCCAUUGUGGUCCUUGAAGUCUGGACUGCCAGAAUUUUUGCUGAGGUUGUUGCUGUGUGCUAGCCAGCUAUCCUCACCCGCGCAGAAGCGGGUCAUGAGUGAUGUGAGGGCUGCCAUGGAUUUUGGUUUUUCCUGUCCCAGGUGCCGGGCAAGCCACUCGUUGUGGAUAUUAUGCUUGAAGGCCGCGAGGGCCUCCGCAUCCGGACAAUCGACGAUUUUGUUUUUCUUGGUUAAGAACCGUGUCCAGAAUUGUCUGGCCGAUUCGUCUGGCUGCUGAAUUAUGUGGCUUAGGUCAUCAGCGUCUGGUGGUCGCACAUACGUUCCCUGGAAGUUAUCGAGGAAUGCGGCUUCCAGGUCUUCCCAACUCCCAAUUGACUCUGCUAGCAGACUGUUAAGCCAAUGCCGGGCUGGUCCUUUAAGCUUGAGGGGGAGAUAUUUGAUGGCGUGAAGAUCGUCGCCGCGGGCCAUGUGGAUGUGAAGGAGAUAAUCUUCGAUCCAAACCGCGGGGUCUGUUGUGCCAUCGUAAGAUUCGAUAUUCACGGGUUUAAACCCUUCGGGGAUUUGAUGAUCCAUUACUUCAUCUGUGAAGCAUAGUGGGUGUGCGGCGCCUCUGUACUGGGCGAUAUCCCGACGGAGCUCAAAAGAGCUUUGUCUAUUUUGUUCGGCCCGGCCGGAUUUACUGUGUCCGGCGCGACGGUUGUCGUCACGUAUCGUGGGGCGCCCACGCAAUCCAUAGAUCGAUCUUGAUUGUCUUUCCUUAUCCUCCAAUAUAUCUUGCAAGUCCGGAGCAUUCCCUUGUGGCCUUGUGUUUUUCGGGCGAUGACGGGGUACGGUAUUAGUGAAGGGCCUAGAGGUCUCUCUAUCGCGACCACGGGGUGGUCGGUCAGCCGUAUUGUCUCCUGGUGAUGCGGGUUCAUAUGCCUCCUCCUCUAAUCGGGGAGCAGCUUGCGUUUAGGGUAGCUCUUGGAGGGGCGUUCGAGCUCAUGCUCUUUGGCCAUGAGGACGUUUGUCCAUUUGUCGGCUAGCAGAUCUUGAUCAGCUCUAAGCUGUUGCUGCUUCUUCUUGAGGUUGUUCGCCGUGGCCAUAAGCCUGCGUUUAAAACGCUCUUGUUCGAUGGGAUCCUCAGGCACGACGAAUUCAUCAUCGUCGAGGCUUGCCUCGUCUGCGGAGGGAGGCAUAUAAUCCUCAACCUCUUCUUCUGUCGCUCUCUCAUGAGGGCUGGCGUCUCCGUCCUCCUGCGCUGCAUCUUGCUGGAGUGGGUUGUCUUCGGCACUGUCCGGUGUAUUAUUAUCUCCGGUGCCAGAAUCUUUGUUCUUGCUGUGGCGGGAUUUAGAGCGGCGCCGCUGACGCCGGCGCUUGUGCUGCUUCUUGGAGGGGUCAUCCUCCGCUGUUCCUUCGCCAUUCCCAUCCUUUGGGAUAUCCACCAUAUAUAUGUCAUAUGAUGAGGUGGCUUUCCAGUGCCCCGUGGGCGCUGGUUCUUGGUCGUCUCCGGCAUCGUCGUCCAUACCAUCGAUGUCUUCGGAGUCGUAGUCUAGCAUGUCGGUUAGAUCAUCGACGGAGGCUACCAAGUGGGUGGUGGGUGGGCUUUAAAUUUCUUCGUCGUCCGCAUCCUAACCGUCCUGGCCGCAGUCCGACCAGGGCUCUCCUGAUAACGAGAGACACUUUAGCAAACUCAAGAUGUUGCCGAAAGGUGAGUGUUGAAAGAUGUCCGCUGCGGUGAACUCCAUGAUCGACGCCCAAUCGGAUUCGAUUGGAGGGGGCGCGGGAGGUUCGGAGUCCGGCGAGGAGUCCGGCACCUCGGAGUCACGAGCUUUAUAAGGGACAAGGUCCGUGUUUGGCUCUAUCGCUGUAGAGGUUGUAGCCCCCGAGGCGGUGUCUAGCCAUCCGUCCUCGAUCUGCGCAGCCGGCUCCGAAUUGAAGAUCGGAGCGGGUUCGAGUGCGGCCUCCAGGGUACUGUCCGGCUGCAGAGCUAGAUCAUGCUCGCUGUGAUAGUGCGGCAUGCUCGGCUGUGGCUCGAGUCCAUCGAGGAUCAAGUCCCCGCGGAUGUCAGCCGUGAAGUUGAAACUUCGAAAUCUGACCUGAUGGCCAGGGGCGUAGCUUUCGAUCUGCUCCAGUUGGCCAAGCGAGUUGGCCCGCAGUGCGAAGCCGUCGAAUACAAAGAUCUGUCCGGGGAGGAAGGCCUCACCCUGGAUUGUGUCGUUGAUGACGAUCGAAGAAGCCAUCGAGCCUAUCGGUGACGACAUAGAGGAACUCUCAAUGAAAGCACCAAUGUUCGUGUUAAAACCGGCGGAUCUCGUGUAGGGGGUCCCGAACUAUGCGUCUAGGAGGAUGAUAACAGGAGACAAGGGACACGAUGUUUUACCCAGGUUCGGGCCCUCUUGAUGGAGGUAAAACCCUACGUCCUGCUUGAUUGAUAUUGAUGAUGUGUGUCACAAGAGUGGAUCUACCACGAGAUCAAGGAGGCUAAACCCUAGAAGGUAGCCUAUGUUAUGAUUGUUGUUCAUCCUAUGGACUAAAGCCAUCCGAUUUAUAUAGACACCGGAGAGGGCUAGGGUUACACAAAGUCGGUUACAAUGGUAGGAGAUCUACAUAUCCGUAUCGCCAAGCUUGCCUUCCACGCCAAGGAAAGUCCUAUCCGGACACGGGACGAAGUCUUCAAUCUUGUAUCUUCAUAGUCUUGGAGUCCGGCCGAUGAUGAUAGUCCGGCUAUCCGGACACCCCCUAGUCCGGGACUCCCUCAAUGCCCUCGAGCGGGCCAACCCUCCAAUGAGUCGUGAGUCAAUCAUUAACUUAAAGGUAUACCAUAUUUCUCCUAGAUCAAUGACCAGGACUCAACUUUUUGCAAUCCGGCUGGCAACUCUUCUCAACAGGGAUCGUCUUCGGGCGACCUUCCUCCGGAGAUGAUAGAAAGCGAGACCCCACCUGCCUCUCCGGUUCUUGACGCGGGAGACACCGACGUGUCAUCACGGAGGAGCCCGGAUCCGCCAAGGCCGAAAGCCAAUGCGACAGCCGCCCUAAGUCCGGACAUACUGACGGGCUUACUGGAGCAAGCUGCGCUCUCGGUGGAGCACCGCUCAUUAAUGAGCGCGGUGCUCAAGAAGAUUUCAUCCGCUACAAGCGGUUUGAAUGAAGCAUUCACAAGCCUGCUCAGAGGCUUUGAGGUAUGUAAUGGAAAACUCACUAUUUGUUUGGUUGUAAGGCACGCGCUAGGUGUGCUCCAUAUAGAUAGCAGCCCCUGAGACUCUGGUUGCCCGCUCUAGGCGGCAAACGGGGGAUCAUAAACCAAUGAUAGUUCUGUAAACGUGUGCAGGUACCUGUGGGUCCGGCCGCAGGCUCGUCCGUUAAAGUUGCCGAACUAUCGAGGCAAAUUGGGUCGAUUGAUGCCGAUAUUACUCUAAUGAAUGAGCGGCUGGAUACAUCACAAGGUAUGUGCCCUGUCUCCCAUUGGAUAGGAAAACAUUAAGGUGGCAUGUAUUAAUAUAAUUUGUUCGGACUACAGAUGGUGCUGCCGCCGUGGAGGUCCUAAGGGCUGAACUAGCUCUGACCAAGGAACAAGCUCGGGUGAGCAAUGCGGCUGCCCUAAACGCGGCCGAGGAAUUGAGAGCCGAACAGGCUGCUCAUCGCCGAAGCGAGGAAAAGAUAGCCGAAAUAGCUAUCGAGUUAAAACAUGCCGCUGACCGGUAUGAGCUCCUGAAGAAGGAGCAUGAAGGUAAAUCGUCUGACCUGAGCAAGGCGCUGAAUGCUACCAACGAAAUGCGGACCGAGCUCAGGGGUGCGCGGGAGGAGCUUCAACAUGCCGGAAUAAUCACGGCUGGAGGCUCCUAUUUGUUGCGGACGAAGUUCUUCGAUCCGAAGUACGCACCCCUUGAUGGACGCUGGAGCUCGCCGGACGCAUAUGCGGAUCUGGCGAAGAGUACGGCUGUUGCUAUGGAGUUAUUCAAAGAUCAGGGUGAAAAGGGGGUGGAGAAGCUUUUUUGGUCGCAGUUCCAUGCUUCCGCUCGCCCGCUGCCGUUAAGUGAUAAAAUGGCUGCUGUGGCGGAGCUUCACCGGCUGUCCGGGCUUGCGAUGCGGUCUGUAAUAGAUCAUCUUUGGCCGAAGGCGCCUAAUACGGACAGCUAUUUUGGUUUAGUGCAACAGUUCUUUGGGGCCGUGCCCCGGAUCGAUGCCAUGAGGAGGUCAGCAUGCAUAGAGGGUGCGUGGAUGGCCCUUGCAUGCGUUAAAGCGUAUUGGACGGAUAUGGAUGCCAGUAUGAUAGCAUCUCAGGAUCCGGUAGGGGGUCAAUAUCCGGCCGGGCACUACUUGGCGCAGGUCACGGAGGGUGCCCGCCUGAUAGAGGCGCAGUGCCCGAAGGAUCUCCUCUUCGAGUGAUGAUUCAAAUUAUUGUAAAAACAUUUUGAUUAAAAGGUUAUAUUUAUAAUUUGUGUCUGAAAAUAUGAUUGUGUCCCCUGUGCUGCCGUUUAUAUAUAUAUAUAUAUAUAUAUAUAUAUACGGUCUAUUCUGCUAAUAUUAGCAGAAUAACUAUUCUGCACACCACUUCGGCACUUCACGCUCAACAGAAGCGCACUGCAUCAUUUUGACGACGAGCACUGCAAUAGAGACUAGUGAACUUCUCGUCGGAAAAAACUGCACGCGUUACUUUUUCGGUACUGUUUUCGCUCUAAUUUAUUAACCGUUUAUCGGAAUGAGGCGCGUAAUAUACCAUUGAAAAGCUAUGGAUUAGGCGCAACUUCGACAUGUUGAACACUUUUCGAGAUUCCACACGGUCUAAGAGCAGUUUUGAAAAUAUUGCGGCGGAUGACGAGUGAUAGCGAGCGUUUUUUGGCGAUUUCGUCUAAACCGCUCGUCGGAAUGAAGCAAAUGAUACGUCCUUGGAUAGAUAUCGUUGAGGCGCAUCUUUUUCAUAUAUAAAUGUUUCUCUAAUUCGUUAUGGUUUAAGAGCAGUUUCAAAUUUACUAAAUCGCGGAACUUUGUUUUUCAAAUUUUUUGAAAUUUUCGGUACUGUUUUCACUCCAGUUUCCUAACCGUUUGUCGGAACGAGACGUAUGAUACGCCGUUGGAAAGCUACGGACAAGGCGCAACUUUCAUAUGUUGAAAUGGUUUUGAGUUUCCUGACGGUUUUUAGUUAAUUUUGAAAAUCAUGCGGCUGACUUCGAGAGGUGGCGGCUGUUUUUUCGCACAAAUUUUAUGAACGGCUGGUCGGAAUGAUUCAAAUCAUACGCCGUUGGAAAGAUAUCGACGAGACGCAACUUUUUUCAUAUAGAACACUCUCUCUAAUUCUUUACGGUUUAAGAGCAGUUUUAAUUUUAUCGAAAAGCGGACACUCUGUUUUUCGCGACACCCAAGUGGACGUGGGUACUUCAUCCGACUGAAAACCGCACUGCAACGGAUGAAAAACCGCACUGCAUCAUACGGGUAAGAGAACUGCAUGGUUUCUUUUAUUCAAGCGUAAUUUUUUCAAGGACGAGAAAAUAUAGUGCACUUCACAUCCGGUGUAAAUGAACCACACCACUAUCAAGAAGUGAACCACAUUACUUUUUUUCGCUUCUGUAAAUUUUUUUUGGAUGAACAAUAUCAUACGGCCGACCGCACUACUUCAGAAUGAAAACUGCACAGCAUCGAACGAGCUGCAUAAUUUCUUUUGUCGGACAUUUUUUUUCUCAUACGAGUUUUUGUUGUCUUUUUUUCACUUUUUUUAUGAACGAGUGGACCGCAGAGACUAGGGCAAGUGAACCACAUCAUAUAUCAAAGUGAACCUCAUUAUUAUCAUUGUUGUUGCGCUAAAUUUUCACACUUUCAUGUUGGGCGCAAAUGAACGACAUCAAAUCUCAAAAGUGAACCACAUCUGAGGACAAAACACAUUGCAAUUGUUGCUGUAGUCAACUUAAAUUUGAGACACACGAAACAAAUUGCACUUCAUAUAGUAGGGGUAAUGAGCUGCUAAACAAAUAGAGUGAAAUCCUUUUAUUAUCUCUUCAAACAAAUUUAUUGAAGACAUGGGUAUUGCACUGCGGAUGACAGACUAGCGAACUGCACCAAAACACUCUCGAGUUUUUGACAACACACAAAGAUCACCGAACACAACAAAAGAAUUGCAAAAUAAGAUGCAUCGGGGGGCUACCGAACUGCACGCUGCUAGCUUGUUGAAUCACACGUACGCCGCCAAUGAGCUGCACGGCGUCGCCAUCCAUACUGCAUCUAGUCCAACACACAACACAACACACACAACUUGACUCAAAAGAAAAAGAACUGCACUUGCGCACUAACUGAGUCGCGCUGGAUCUAGCCCGAGCGAGUACUACGCGCUUUGCAGCCCGCAGUGGCGCACGACGCUGGCGAGCAAAGUAGGCUGUGGCGGCUGAUCCAGACUCCAGCAGACCAAACUCCACACAAACUACUAAAAUCGCCUAUAAAUAGCACGAAGAACUGCACGGCGUCGGAGCCCGCACUGCAUGCCGUCGGUGUCAGCAUGCUGGCCACAGGGGAUGGGGCGCCCCGCGCCCGCAUGUGGUAGAGCAGCCGUGGAGAGUGCUGGGCGGCACGGUAGGGAGCCUAGCCGACGGAUCCGGUGCUGAUGGCCACGCCUGGAGCCCGAGGCGGAUGGAUUCGAUGGGAUCCGUUGGGCGGUGGCCGGGUCGUCGUUGUUGCAGUCCACCUCGUCGCGCAGCGAUACUUCCCUCCCUGCUAGGUGGAGUCAAGGCCCCCAUUAACAGCACCGGCUGGCCUUUCCUUUGCUCAGUUGCCCGGAGCUGCACUUGCCUCCUGCCGCCGAUGUGGGAGAACAUGGGGGAGGGCCAGAGACAUGGAUCCGGCGUGCUGUUUACUGAUCCGGACGCGAGAUGGGUUUCUAGAUUGGAGAAGCUGUCAGGUUGGGGAGGAAUAGUGGGGCGAAGAUGGGAGAACAGAGCCGUCGGGAUCCCGCGCUGGGUGGUGGCGCCCCAGCCCGGGGUCGGAGGAGGGAGGCGAAGGUGCGGGCGGCUGAAUCGGGAUGCAGGGAGGCCACGGUGGGGUGGCGGGGGCGGAUCCACGCCAGCAGCAGCGCGGGGCAUCUAGGUGCGGCGCGUCCCGAUCCACACUAACAGCCGCACGAGGAGCCUUGGGGUGGCGCCGCCGGAUCCACGCCAGUAGCCGCACGGUGACGUCGGAGCUAGAGCUGGAUCUGGCGGAUCCCAGGAUGGACGAAUCGGGGGAGGUGGGAAAGGUGGUGCUCAGGGCAAUGUGGCACUCGGGUAGGGUGUUCAGGCGGGUUACGGGCACGGCGGCCGGCGACGGUGUGGCUUUGGUGCAUGGUAGAAGGUGGUUGCAGGGGGCGGCACGCCGUUGGGUGGGUGGGUGGGCGGUCGUGGGGAGGAGAAAGCAUGACCAGGGAGGAGAUUUGACGUGGGUGGGUGGAGGUGCUCCUUUUUCUGCUUGUGUUGCGGCUCGGUUGACUCGAUCGGGGUGUUAGCAGAAUAAGGAUUUGGUGUGCAGAAUAAGACUCUAGAGAGUGUUAUCAUAAUAGACCCACCCUAUAUAUAUAUAUAUAUAUAUAUAUAUAGAAUCCGAAAGAUAGCAGUCGUUGGCUUCAGCCCGCACGCAUACAAUGCGGGGGUGUUCGCAAAAAAAUGUGCCCGAUCACUCUUUAUCCAACGUCUUGGUCCGGCAAGGAGGUGAUCGCACUUCGAACUAGGCAACCGGACUAUAUAGCUGUAACACUUUUGCUUGGCCGCGGGAUUCUAAUAUUGGGGCUACUAUGUAGCCCCUGGUACCAUCGCGUGCAUCCGAAUACGGGCGCGUAUGUACCUGGCCAGGAAAUGGCCCUUUGUUAAGGCAGAGGAAUCCUAGAGAUUCCGGUGAGUCGUCGAGUGGUUGAUCACUCUCUCGUUGUAUCAUGAAGGUCAGUUUUUGGCUUUCUCUACUGAGGUGCUCAUCCGGAAUAACCAGGGCACAAUCGCAGUAGUUCUCCUUUGGCCAUCUUAGCCGAUUAUGACGGAACAUAAGGCGGCAAACCCAGGAGCCAGGCAAUCCCAACAUUUGACCAAAGACAUGAUUCAGAGCUGAUGCAUAUAAGGCCAAACUCGUGACGCCGAACACUCCCGAAGGUAUUCAGACUUUCUAACAGAUGAUGAGCUCAAGAAUGCCCAAUAAUUAUAAACCCUGUAUGUCCAGGUGCGUGCAUUAAUCUGUCGUGGCAUAAUGCCAAAAAUGGCAGUAUCCUCUGUGGGUAUGGAACCCGUGGGAUGAUGAAACAACAAGAGGCAAUAGAAAAGGUUUACACAGGGGCUUAAUCUAAAAAGAAACCUGUUGGACGGGGCCCUGCUACACGUAUGCACCUUUUUCUCCGUUGUGCCGCGUCCUGGAAGGGUAUCGUGCGAACGUUGUCUGCGGAAAAAGGGGAUCUCAUAGAAGAGUGCAACGUAAGUGUGCGAUGGAUAGUAGAAAAUGUAAAAUGUUGGCCUGCCAAUAAGGUUGAGCCGAGAGUGUGGGGCUUUAUUAUUGGCCCCUGGUGUCCGCUAUAGGAUUACAUAUACAAUUGCCGUGGUUUCAUGUGGGCUGUCAGACUCGUCUAACCGUGUCCGUGGUCUUAACGACCUGGUAUAAUUUUGUUUUAGAGGCCGCUUAUAGUCUGGCCGCUAGGGCCAUCGCGUAUUCCUCUACGCGCGAAAGGCGCUCCGUUGUUCCGCUAACGGUGAUGACGCCGCGUGGACCGGGCAUCUUGAGUGUAAGGUAUCCAUAAUGCGGCAAUGCUUUGAAGCGGGCAAAGGCCGUUCUUCCCAGCAAUGAUUGAUAGCUGCUUUGGAAGGGUGCCAUCAUGAAGACUAGGUCUUCGCUUCUGGAGUUGCCUAGAGAGCCGAAUGUUACCUCCAGUAUGAUGGAGCCCUUGCUAUAGGCUUCAGCGUCCGGUAUCACCCCUUCAAUGGUGGUGCAAAUCUUGCUGAUUCUGGAUGAGUCUAUCCCCAUCCUGUGGACAGUGUCCUCAUAUAUCAAACUGAGACUUCUGCCACUGUCCAUGAGGACAUGAGUGAGAUGGUAUCCAUUGAUUAUUGGGUCAAGCACCAAGGCAUUUGAUCCUGCGCGCCAAAUGCUAGUUUGGCCAUCUAGGUGAUUGAAGGUGAUCGAACAAGACAUCCAAUAGUUAGGUGUGGGUACGAUGGGCUCUAUAUCACGUGCGUCUUUAUGGGUGCAUUCGUGCCUUCCCAAGGAUGUACGAGUUGUGUGGAUCAUGUUCACUGUUUUAACCUCUGGAGGGAAUGUUUUCUGUCCCCCAGUGUUCGGUUGGCGAGGUUCAUCCUCAUCUUCACUUGGUGUUUCCCUGCCCUUGUGUUCGGCGUUUAGUUUGCCGGCCUUCUUGAAGACCCAGCACUCUCUAUGCGUGUGGUUCGCAGGUUUGUCGGGGGUGCCAUGAAUUUGGCAUAGUCUGUCUAGAACUCUGUUCAGACUGGACGGUCCUUCUUUACUGCCUUUAGGUUGCUUAUUUUGCUGAUUAGGCCGAGAGCCCCUGAAUCCGGCAUUAACCAUUGUGUUAUCCGGGAUCUCUUCCUAGUUUUGGCGUUUAUUUUUAUUACACCAUGGCUUCCCGUUGUCGUCCCUUAUUUCGGAUGUGCUGGGGCCGCUGGUGCCUUUGCGGGCGAGCCAGCUAUCUUCUCCCGCGCAAAAACGGGUCAUAAGGCUUGUUAGGGCAGCCAUUGUCCUUGGUUUUUCUUGGCCGAGGUGUCUGGCGAGCCACUCUUCACGGAUGCUGUGUUUGAAUGCUGCUAAGGCUUCGGCAUCCGGACAGUCAACAAUUUGAUUCUUCUUAGUGAGGAAUCUGUUCCAAAACAUGCGGGCAGACUCUCCGGGUUGUUGUAUUAUGUGACUUAAAUCGUCAGCAUCUGGAGGCCGGACAUAAGUCCCUUGAAAAUUGGCCCUGAAAGCGUCCUCUAGUUCUUCCCAGCUCCCGAUUGAAUUUUCGGGGAGGCUUUUCAACCAGUGUCGAGCUGGUCCCUUUAAUUUGAGGGGAAGGUAUUUGAUGGCGUGGAGGUCAUCCCCACGAGCCAUGUGUAUGUGCAGGAUAAAGUCCUCGAUCCAGACCCCUGGGUCUGUCGUUCCGUCGUAUGCCUCUAUGUUCACAGGUUUAAAGCCCUGUGGGAAUUCAUGGUCCAGCACUUCAUCCGUAAAGCAUAGGGGGUGAGCAGCCCCUCUGUAUCUGGACGCGCUAUGGCAUGCCGUCGGCUGCUGUUGUGUUCGGUGUUUACUCCGAACUGGUGUUUGGUGGUCAUAAUUGUUUUGACGACCACAGUCCCUCGCCGGGGUGUCUCCUUUAGAUCCGUAGAUGGACCUAGCUGCGCCAGCUUUCUUCUCCAGGUGCUCACGUAGAUCGUGGGUGUCUCCGGCAGCUGAAUUAUUGCAGCUAUGAGGUGGUACUCCUGGUUUCCUAUUCGUGUUGUUCUUCAGUGGAACGGCUUCGUCGUCGAAUUCUGGCAGUAGCUUGCGUUUUGGGUAGCUCUUUGUAUGGCGAUCGUUGCCAUAUCUUUCUUCAGUGUCUAGCACUUUAUUCCAUCCGUGAUUGAUCAUUUCCUGUGCGGCUUUAAGCCGUUGCUUCUGCUUCUUCAGGCUUCUCGCUGUGGCCAUAAGCUUUCUAUGGAGGUUCUCUCGUUCCACGCGUUCUUCCGGGACGAUGAAUGCGUCGUCAUCCGGACUGUCUUCUUGUCCUGAGCCGGAUUGGUGAACUCGUCCCUCUGGAUCGUUUUCUUCGGGCGUAUGACCCGGACUAUGUUCGGCAUGACCUAGUUCGUCCUGCUCCAUCGCUAGUUCUGUUUGGUCGUUAUUGCCAUCGGGGUUGACCGGAGUAUCCAUUCUUCUGGCGCUCUUGCUGAUAUUGUUACUGUUGCCGGAUUUGGAACGGCAUCUGCGCCGUCGCUUUGGUUUUUUCCCAGGGAUGUUAUCUUCUGUAUUGCCACCGUUGCCUUCCUUGGGCGUAUCCACCAUGUAUAUGUUGUGUGGCGAGGCGCGAAUCCAGCACCUCGUAGAUUCUGAGUCCUCUCCUGCAUCGUCGUCCAUACCGUCGAUGCCUUCGGAGUUGAAGUCCAGCACAUCAGUUAAAUCAUCAACCGUGGCUAUGAAGUGGGUGGUGGGUGGGCAACGAAUGUCUUCAUCACCUGCUUCCCACUUGAGCCGGACAUAGUUCGGCCCGAGAUUCUCUGUCAAAGAGAGAGUUUUGAAUGAGUUUAGUAUGUCGCCGAAGGGCGAGUGCUGAAAGAUGUUCGCCGCGGUGAACUUCAUCACCGGAGCCCAACCGAGAUCGGCGGGCCCGGGGACGUAUGGAAUGGAGCCUACAACCGGACACGGGUACAGGGGCCCGGGGUCACCGGUUUCAUCAAAAGUGAGGCCUGUGUUCGGCUCCAUCGCCGAUGUGGGUACAGCCUGCGGGAAGGGGUCCAGCCCUCUGUCUUUAGGCAACACAACCUAUCCCGGAUUUAGGUCUGGGGCUUCUGCUCGGAUGAUAUCCCAAGCAACGUCUGACAGCAGGUCUAAGCCAUGCUCAUCAUGACUGUUCGGCGCUUCUGGCGUUGGCUCGAAUCUGUGGUUCAGGUUUCCGAACCCGAUUUGAGGGCCAGGGGCAUAGCUAUCAAUCUGCUCCGAGUGGCCAAGUGAAUUGGCCCGCAGCGCGAAGCCGCCGAACAGGAAGAUCUGUCCGGGGAGGAAAGUCUCACCCUGGGUGGCGUCGUUAAUGACGAUCGAAGGAGCCAUCGAGCCUGACGGCGACGUCACAGAGGCACUCUCAAUGAAAGCACCAAUGUCGGUGUCAAAACCGGCGGAUCUUGGGUAGGGGGUCCCGAUCUGUGCGUCAAGGCUGAUGGUAACAAGAAGUAAGGGACACAGAUGUUUACCCAGGUUCGGGCCCUCUCGAUGGAGGUAAAACCCUACUUCCUACUUGAUUAAUAUUGAUGAUAUGGGUAGUAAAAGAGUAGAUCUACCACGAGAUCGUAGAGGCUAAACCCUAGGAGCUAGCCUAUGAUGGUAUGAAUGUAAUUGUGAUCAGCCUUCUAAGGACCAACCUCUCCGGUUUAUAUAGACACUGGAGAGGGCUAGGGUUUACAUGGAGUCGGUUACAAGCAAGGAAAUAUAAUAUCCGGAUCGCGAAGAUUGCCUUCCACACCAAGGAAAGUCCCAUACGGACAUGGGCCGAAGUCUUGAGUCUUGUAUUCACGCUUCAAUAGUCCGGACGUUGUACACAGUCCGGCUGUCCAGAUACCCCCUUAUCCAGGACUCCCUCAGCAUGACAAGACAAAUAGCAUCUUCAGUUCAGCAACAGGUUGUACAGACAGUAUGAGAAGCACCAGAAAGUAAAAACAGUGAUCAAAAGCCAAAUUAGUUGCUUGACAUAAUCUGGGAAAGUUAAACAGAUCAAAAUGUGAAGCUAACAUAUGAAGCCGGCAACAGAUCAAAUUACAGUAGUUGCAGCUACACCCAAACUAGAGCAGUUACAGAAUCAUCACAUAUGUAGUUGACAAGAGGAAGAAGCGAAAGAUCGAGGAAAUUGUCUCACCAGCAGCAACAGCGGGCAACGGGCGAAGUUGAGUAGGGUUAGCGGCAGGAGCUGCUCACGAAAGUGGUUGGGGAAGACAGCCGGCAGCAUCAGGUCCGUCGCAUCAUGUGAAUCCAUCCAUUAGCAGAAAUCAUAAUUAAAUCAUCAUCGUUGAGAUGGCAGAAUGGGCGUGCAAAUAAAUUAUUUAUAGGAUAUACAAAGCAACUACAUGUUGACAUAAUUGGAUUGUAUGCAUGGCGGAUUUGUAAUACGAAGUGUGAGUGCUGCUAGUAAAUAAAGAAAUUAUCUAGUUAGGACAGAAAGCACAUCUUAAGAAAUUUGAGGCCCUGUUCAGAGCUGGGAAACAGAUGCUCCCCAGCUCCUCGUAUUUUUAGGAGCUCCAGUGACUCCAAACAGGGCCUGAAUAUCAUCUUACUGUUAUAACUGUGUGUUUGUAAACCACAGGGCAGGCACCUAUCAUUUUGCACAUACACACACCAACAGAAACAAAACAAGCAGAUUGGAAGGCUUGCUGCACAUCCUGUGCAGGGGCAUCACCGUAAACAAAAUUGUAGACUAACUAGGUUGGUGCUAUUCUGUAGCAAACAAAAUAGUUAGAUCCAUACAAAGUAAAGUAAUUAGGCAACCUUGAGGAACCCAAAACCAUGGCUGCUAGAUCGAAUGAAACAAGGAGGGGAGAGGGGGCGGAGGGGAGUUGGGGUCACCUUCACCUUGGGUGGCUGGACGACGGCGUCGUGGAUUUUGAGCUCCAGGUGGAAGAAGCACUUAACGACGACGACCGUUGUGGCUGGGUGCUCCCCUCCUGCUCCUCUUCCUCGAGGAGGACAAGGCCAGCAACUACAAGAAAUAAUAAACAUGUUAAAAGGACAAUACUUUUUAAUAUAAGAUGUAAUAAUAACAUGUUUCCAUUGAACUGACUAUUGAUAAAACUGAAGGGGAAGAAGACUUGUUGUCAUCCAGAUGAUUAAAAUGGAAUAAUACAUUUCAGAGGACACGUGAGCAAUCAUGAAAACUAUUACAUGUUUCUCCUGGUGUAUUGAGAAUGGAGAAGCGCUUAAUUCAGAGAAACUUAUAGAAACCUAUAGCAAUGGUUUCUGGUCAAUGGAUAUAUAGGAACAUUAGAGAGCAUCAAAUUUCAAAAUCAACACCAUAUGUAUUACACUGACUCGUAUAAUACUACUUGUUCAUGUACUUGUACUAGUGCAGGAUUACUCAUUGUCCUACUACUGCCUAUUCCAGUUUCUUUCAAGUUGGGAAAUAACUGAAACUACUCAUCAUUCAUGAACAUACAUCUGUAAUAUUAAUCUAUGAAAUUACCGUAGGAAGAACUACUGUAAUGGACCAUUCAUCAACAUACAUCUAUAAUCUUAAUCUUUUGAUCUUGUGUUGGAAAGAAAGAACUACUGCAGAUUCAUAGUACAACGAAGGAACUGUUGUUGAACUGAAAAUACUGCAGAACCAACACCAAACAGCUAUUGCAGACAACACUGACAAAGAAGGAGAUCGGGGUUGCCCUCGCACUGCGCUAGUGUGUAGACCGGGGUUCAGCAAUAGGAAACAACUGAAUAUGACAUAAGGAUGCAACAAAACUAACAUGACAGGGUAACAUGGCAUUCAGCUACCCCAGACCAUCUAGAGCCAAAAAUCCGGGGCAUUUCCCACUCCCAAAUCGAUGCAUCCUCCAACUUAAAAGGAUGCAAACACUUGACGGUAACUCCAUCCUAGCUAUGUAAUUCAAGUUCAGCAACAGAAAACAAAACCGCUAGAUAUGACAGUAGGAUGCAACAAAAUUAACAUGACACGGCACGGGGACGAAAUAAACAAGUUCUAACUGAGAUGCACAAAUAAGUCUACUGCCUCAACCCAUCUGAACCCCGAAUCCUAGUACCAGCAAUUCAAUCGAGUAGAGAGGAGGAGAGGACGAGCUCACCCGCAGCAAGAGUAAGAUCCAUGGCUGAUGCAUCCCGAGCAGCAGCCAUGGUCGAGCACUCCCUCCCUAGGCGCCAUCCAUCCUUGUUGUCCAGUCUAUCUACAAUCCAUCCUUCCUCCUGCAUACCUACAAUCGAAGAACAGAGCAGAGUUAGAGAGAGAGAGAGGAGGAGAGAAAGAGGAGGGGAUGGAGUCACUAGAGGAGAGCUCGAGUACCCCAUGGCCACCGGGCAGAAUAGCACCAUCCAGGGGCUAAGCCACGUAUGAGGGCGCGACAGAUGCCGGGGAGGAGCCGCCAAAGUCGCCGGAGCCGUGCUGACGAUGGAGGCGCUGCCGCUCGCGAAACCCUAGCCACGGGGCGGGCUACGGGUGAGCGUUUGAGGCUGGGGGAGGCAAAUCCCGCCGGGGUGAAGACCCAGCGGAGAGAGACGAGCUCGUGUUGUGCCGCGCGGUGGAGAGAGCCACCGGAGAUCGCCAGAAUCGUUCGACAUCUCUAGCAGCGCAGAUGUGUCCCAGGAGAGAGGGGUCGCUGGAGAGGGCUCUGCUUGAGGUGGGAGGUAAGCACAGAGGAGAGGAGGUGGGGGAUCCGCUUGAGGUGCAAGGUACAGAGGCGCGGUUUGGGAGGGACGGCGGGUGGGUGGCGGUGGCGAUGCGGGAGACGAGGGGAGAUGUGGGAGACGAGGGGAGAUGGGGACGAGGGGUGCGAUAGGGGGGAUCUGAGCUAGGGUUUGGGCUGCGGGUAGGGUAUCUCUCUUUAUUUUUCUUUUGUUUUUUCUGUAAAUAGAUGAAUGUAUGGUUGUGGGAUGGAGACAUUGAUGGAUGGAUGGGCGCCAUGUCAUCGAUCCGUGGGAAGAGUUCUGUUUGGUUCAGAAAAUCAGUGAUUUAAAAUUGUUUCCAAGUGCUAAAGUUAGAGUUAUUUUGUGAAGCAGCUAUCAACAAUAUUUUGCAAAAGGGCAUCACACAAAUUUUCACUCAAGUUAGACCACAUUUUAUGGAUGAGCACCAAUUUGUAUGCAUUUAUGAUCUUUCUAGCUAUUUUUAAUCAUUUUUCGAGUGCCCGGAAUGAGGUUUUUUUGUGAAGAACCUACCAAAUAAUUAUUGCAAAAUUGGACCAAAUCAUUUUUCUAAAAUACUAGUCCAUAUUUAAUGCACAAUUGACCAAAUGGUUGGGUGUAAAAAGUUUUUAUGCUCGGCUUCUUCACGGUUGGUGUUAUGAUCUUCUUGCCGAUGAUGCCCUUCAGGAUACGGUUCUCCUCCUUGAGCUUAUUGACUUGUUGUUUGAAAUCCAUAAUUUCUUUACGGAGCUUGCCCGUAACGGCCAAAGCUCCUUUUACCCAAGGAUGUUGCAUAGCUUCUGGAGAACAAGUGAAACUCUUUUUCAUAUUUUCAUAAGAAAGAAAUCUAGAGUUGGAAGGGAUGACCGAAGUAGGGACAACCAGGCUAGGUAGUUCCCUCAUAGUGAAUUCUGCUCGGAGACGAGAGGUAACUUCUUGAUCCUCCUCCAUGGCAUCUAUUCUUUUCAAAUCAGCCUCCAUCUCAUCCUCCGUUGAUGGUCCAAAGUGAUAGGCAUUGCUAUUUGCUUCGGGACCCUGCGUUGGGUGAGACACCCGACUCUCCCCGACUUAUUCCUAAGAAGGCAUCUUGCUUUAUUCUGCAAAAGGAACAACUCGAAACAAAAACAGAGGAUAUUUGCGUGAUAAAGUGGUCAAAACUUCGGGAGUAUAUAUAAUGAAUUUUUACCGACCAAAAUACGUAACGUGCAAGAAAACGUAGUCCGGGAGGCACACGAGGUGCCCACGAGACAGGGGGGCGCGCCCUCCACUCUCGUGGGAGCCUCGUGUCCCUUUCGGACUACUUCUUUCUUCCUUAAAUUCUUAAAUAAUCCAGAACUGAUAAAAAUUGCCAUUAGAGUUGUUUUGGAGUCGGUUUACUUACCGUACCACAUACCUAUACCUUUUCGGAGUCUGGAACAUUCUGGAAAGUGUCCCUUAUGUAUUCCUCAGGGGUUACAGUUUCAAUAAUAUUAGUUUCAACAUUGAUGGGAUUACCUGAAAUAUAAUGUUUAAUUCUUUGACCGUUUACCACCCUCGGAUUUGUGCCUUCGAAGUUGUUGAUUUUUAUAUCACCAGAACAAUAGACCUCCUCGAUAACGUAGGGACCUUCCCAUUUUGAGAGAAGUUUUCCUGCAAAAAAUCUUAAAUGAGAGUUGAAUAAUAACACAUAAUCUCCUACGUUAAACUCACGCUUUUGUAUCCUCUUAUCAUGCCAGCGUUUGACUUUUUCUUUGAAAAGCUUGGCAUUCUCAUAGGCUUGGUUUCUCCAUUCAUCAGGUGAGCUAAUAUCAAACAACCUCUUCUCACCGGCAAGUUUGAAGUCAUAAUUGAUCUCUUUGAUAGCCUAAUAUGCCUUAUGUUCAAGUUCAAGAGGUAAAUGACACGCUUUUCCAUAAACCAUCUUAUAUGGAGACAUACCCAUAGGAUUUUUGUAUGCAGUUCUAUAGGCCCAUAAUGCAUCAUCAAGUUUUUUGGACCAAUUCUUUCUACAUCUAUUCACAGUCUUUUGCAAAAUUAAUUUGAGCUCUCUAUUGCUCAACUCUACUUGACCACUAGACUGCAGAUGAUAAGGAGAUGCUAUUCUAUGAUUGACAUCAUACUUAGCAAGCAUCUUACGGAAAGCACCAUGAAUAAAAUGUGAACCACCAUCAGUCAUAAGAUAUCUAGGGACUCCAAACCUUGAAAAAAUAACUUCUUUAGGCAUUUUAAUAGAAGUGUUAUGAUCAGCACUACUAGUUGGAAUAGCUUCUACCCACUUAGUAACGUAAUCAACAACAACUAAAAUAUGUGUAUAACCAUUAGAGGCAGGAAAAGGUCCCAUAUAAUCAAAGCCCCAAACAUCAAAAGGUUCAAUAACAAGGGAAUAAUUCAUAGGCAUUUCUUGACGUCUACUAAUGUUACCUAUUCUUUGACAUUCAUCACAAGAUAAGACAAACUUACGAGCUUCUUUGAAGAGAGUAGGCCAAUAAACAGCAGAUUGUAGUACCUUGUGUGCAGUUCUAUCUCCAGCGUGGUGUCCUCCAUAAGAUUCAGAGUGACACUUACAUAGAAUCUAUUCCUGUUCAUGCUCAGGCACACAACAUCAAAUAACACCAUCUACUCCUUCUUUAUAAAGGUGUGGAUCAUCCCAGAAGUAAUGUCUUAAAGCAUAAAAGAACUUUUUCUUUUGCUGGUAUGUGAAACUACACGGUAUAUAUUUAGUAACAAUGUAAUUAGCAUAAUCAGCAUACAAAGGAGCAGUACGAGAAGCAUUGACGACCGCUAAUUGUUCAUCAGGAAAGCUAUCAUUAAUAGGUAGUGGGUCAUCAAGAACAUUCUCUAACCUAGACAAGUUGUCUGCAACGGGGUUCUCAGCUCCCUUUCUAUCAAUAAUAUGCAAGUCAAAUUCUUAGAGCAAGAGAACCCAUCUAAUGAGUCUAGGUUAGCAUCUUUCUUUUCCAUAAGAUAUUUAAUAGCAGCAUGAUCAGUGUGAAUAGUAACUUUGGAAUCAAUAAUAUAAGGUCUAAACUUAUCACAUGCAAACACAACUGCUAAGAACUCUUUUUCAUUACUAGCAUAAUUUCUCUGGGCAGUAUCAAGAAUCUUACUAGCAUACUGGAUAACAUUCAAUUUCUUAUCGACUCUUUGCCCUAAAACAACACCUAUAGCAUAAUCACUAGCAUCGCACAUAAUUUCAAAAGGUAAAUUCCAAUCAGGCGGCUGAACAAUAGGUGCAGCGAUCAAAGCUUUCUUAAGUACUUCAAAUGCUUCUACACAAUCAUCGUCAAAGACAAAAGGAAUAUCUUUUUGCAAUAAAUUAGUCUGAGGCCUAGAAAUUUUAGAAAAGUCCUUAAUGAACCUCCUAUAAAAACCGGCGUGACCAAGGAAACUUCUUAUACCUUUUAUGUCCUUGGGACAUGUCAUCUUUUCAAUAGCAUCAACUUUGGCUUUACCAACUUCAAUACCUCUCUCGGAGAUCUUGUGCCCCAAGACAAUGCCUUCAUUAACCAUAAAGUGACACUUUUCCCAAUUCAAGACGAGAUUAGUGUCUUCGCAUCUCUACAAAACUCGAUCAAGGUUGCUCAAACAAUCAUCAAAAGAGGAUCCAUAGACUGAGAAGUCACCCAUGAAUACCUCACAAAUCUUUUCACAAAAAUCAGAGAAUAUAGCCAUCAUGCAUCUUUGAAAGGUAGCAGGUGCAUUACAUAAACCAAAAGGCAUACGUCUAUAAGCAAAAGUACCAGAAGGGCAAGUAAAAGUAGUUUUAGAUUGAUCCUUCGCUGACACAGGUAUUUGAGAGAAGCCCAGAAUAACCAUCUAGGAAGCAGAAAUGUGUGUGUUUGUAUAGUCUUUCUAGCAUUUGAUCAAUAAAAGUUAAAGGGUAAUGAUCUUUCUUAGUAGCUUUAUUUAACUUACGGAAAUCAAUUACCAUCCUAUAACCUGUAAUAAUUCUUUGCGGGACCAAUUCAUCUUUAUCAUUAGGAACAACGGUAAUACCUUACUUUUUAGGGACACAAUGGACAGGGCUUACCCAUUCGCUAUCAGCAACGUGAUAAAUAAUACCUGCCUCAAGGAGCUUUAGUAUCUCCUUUCUUACCACUUCUUUCAUCUUGGGAUUUAAUCGUCUUUGACGAUCUCUAACUGGUUUGGCAUCUUUCUCCACUGAAAUUUUGUGUUGGCAUAAUGUGGGACUAAUGCCCUUAAGAUCAUCCAAAGUAUAUCCAAUAGCUGCUUGGUGCUUCUUCAUAGUUUUCAAUAAUCUUUCUUCUUCUUUCUCUGAAAGGUUAGCACUAAUAAUAACAUGAUAUAUUUCUUUUUCAUCAAGAUAAGCAUACUUAAGAUUAUCAGUUAAGGGUUUAAGUUCAAACACGGGAUCACCCUUGGGUGGAGGGGGAUCCCCAAGAAUUUCAACAGGAAGGUUAUGUUUCACCAUAGGUUCCUGUUUAAGGAACACUUCAUCUAUUUCCUCCCUUUCCUUCAUAAACAUGUCUUUUUCAUGGUCUAGCAAAUAUUGUUCUAACGAAUCAGUUGGAGGAACAUCAAUGGAAGCAAGACCAAUAAUUUCAUCCUUACUGGUGGUUCCCUAUCACGAGGUUGUCUACUAAACUUAGCAAAAUUAAACUCACGAGACAUACCAUCUAUGCCAACAGUGAGAAUAUUCUUUUCACAAUUAAUCUUAGCACUAUCAAUAUUCAAGAAGGGUCUACCAAAAAUAAUGGGACAAAAAUCAUCUUGUGGGGAACCAAGAACAAGAAAAUCAGCAGGGUAUGUAACCUUCCCACACAAAACUUCAACAUCUCUAACAAUCCCAAAGGGUUUAAUGGUAUCCCUAUUAGCAAGCUUAAUAGUAACAUCAAUGUCUUCUAAUUUAAUGGGUGCAAUGUCAUGCAUAAUUUCUUGAUAUAAAGUAUAAGGUAUUGCACUAGCACUAGCACCCAUAUCACAUAAGCCAUGAUAACAAUGAUCUCCUAUUUUAACAGAAAUAACAGGCAUGCCUACGACAGGUCUACGUGUCUUAAUAUCAGGUCUAGCAAUAUUGCCAGUCUCGCCAUAGAAAGAAAUAACAUGCCCAUCUAAAUCCUCAUCCAAGAGAUCUUUAACCAUAGCAAUAUAGGUUCAACAUUAAUUUUCUCAGGAGGUGUAUAAGUCCUAGUAUUACUCUUACGAACAAUAGUCGAAGCUUUAGCAUGAUCUUUUAUACUAAUAGGAAAAGGAGGUUUUUCAACAUAAGCAGUAGGAACAAUAGGAUCACUAUAGGUAAUAGUCUUUUCUUCGACUGUAAUAGGUGCAACUACUUUCAGUUCAACGGGAGGAUUAUAUUUAAACCACUUUUCUUUAGGGAGAUCAACGUGAGUAGCAAAAGAUUCACAGAAAGAAGCUACUAUCUCAGAGUCAAGUCCAUACUUAGCGCUAAAUCCACGAAAAGCAUCGGUAUCCAUAAAAAGAUUUAACACAAUCGAACUUAGGUGUCAUACCUGACUCCUUACCAUCGUCGGAACCCCAAUCUUCAGAGUUGCAUUUAAUUCUUUCCAAUAAGUCCCAUUUGAAAUCAAUAGUCUUCAGCAUAUAAGAACCAGCACAGGAAGUAUCGAGCAGGUUGCGAUUAUCAAGAGAAAGCCGAGCAUAAAAAUUCUGAAUAAUCAUUUCCCGAGAGAGCUCAUGAUUGGGGCAUGAAUAUAACAUUGACUUAAGCCUCCCCCAAGCUUGAGCGAUGCUUUCUCGUUCGCGAGGCAAGAAAUUAUAUAUGUAAUUACGAUCACAAUGAACAAGAUGCAUAGGAUAGAACUUCUGGUGAAAUUCCAACUUCAAUCGCUUAUAAUUCCAAGAUCUCGUGUCAUCACGUAGCCUAUACCAUGUCAAUGCAUCUCCCUUAAAAGAUAAAGGGAGGGCCUUCCUUUUGACAACAUCAUCGGGAAUACCUGCAAGCUUAAAUAAUCCACAAACUUCAUCCACAAAGAUAAGGUGUAAAUCGGGAUGCAAUGUUCCAUCUCCUGCAAAUGGAUUAGCUAGCAGUAUCUCUAUCAUACCCGAAGGAAUCUCAAAGUAAAUAUUUUCAUAAAGUUCAGUAGGUUGAGGAGAAACUCUUUGCUCUUCUGGUUGGGGUGAAGAUACCCCAAACAAGCCCCUCAAAGGAUUAGUUUCCAAGGUGACAAGUAACAGAAAAUUUCAGCACACUAUAUAAAUGUUUCCUUACCAAGUUCCACUCACCAAAAGCGCUACACUCCCCGGCAACGGCGCCAGAAAAGAGUCUUGAUGACCCACAAGUGUUGGGGAUCUAUCGUAGUCGUUUCGAUAAGUAAGAGUGUCAAACCCAACGAGCAGCAGAAGGAAAUGAUAAGCGGUUUUCAGUAAGGUUUUCUCUGCAAGCACUGAAAUUGUAGAUGAUAGAUAGUUUUGUGAUAAGAUAAAUAGUAACGAGUAACAAGUAAAUAAAGUAAACAAAGUGCAGCAAGGUGGACCAAUCCUUUAAGUAGCAAAGGAUAAGCCUGGACAAUUUCUAAUAAUGAUAAAGGAGCUCCCGAGGACACAUUGGGAAUUAGCGUCAAGCUAGUUUUCAUCACGUUCAUAUGAUUCGCAUUCGGUACUUUGAUAAUUUGAUAUGUGGGUGGACAGGUACUUGGGUACUUCCCUAACUUGGACAAGCAUCCCACUUAUGAUUAACCCCUAUUGCAAGCGUCCGCAACUACAAAAGAAGUAUUAAGGUAAACCUAACCACAACAUUAAACAUAUGGAUCCAUAUCAGUCCCUAACGAAGCAACGCAUAAACUAGGGUUUAAGCUUCUAUCACUCUAGCAACCCAUCAUCUACUUAUUACUUCCCCAUGCCUUCCUCUAGGCCCAAAUAAUGGUGAAGUGUCAUGUAGUCGACGUUCACAUAACACCACUAGAGGAAAAGACAACAUACAUCUCAUCAAAAUAUCGAACGAAUACCAAAUUCACAUGACUACUAAUAGCAAGACUUCACCCAUGUCCUCAGGAACAAACGUAACUGCUCACAAAGCAUAUUCAUGUUCAUAAUCAGAGGAGUAAUAAUAUGCAUAAAGGAUCUGAACAUAUGAUCUUCCACCAAGUAAACCAAUUAGCAUCAACUACAAGGAGUAAUCAACACGACUAGCAACCCACAGGUACCAAUUUGUGGUUUUGAUACAAUAUUGGAUACAAGAGAUGAACUAGGGUUUUGAGAGGAGAUUGUGCUGGUGAAGAUGUUGAUGGAGAUUGACCCCCUCUCGAUGAGAGGAUCGUUGGUGAUGACGUUGGUGAUGAUUUCCCCCUCCCGGAGGGAAGUGUCGCCGGCAGAACAGCUCCGCCGGAGCCCUAGCUAGAUUGAUUCCGCCAAGGUUCCGCCUCGUGGCGGCGGAGUUUCGUCCCCUAAGCUUGCCCACGAUUUUUUCCAGGGUAAAAGUGAUGAUAUAGAAGAAGAUGGACACCGGAGGCCCACCUGGGGGCUCAGGAGAUAGGGGGGCGCGCCCUAUAGGGGGGGCGCGCCCUAUAGGGGGGGCGCCCCUGUCUUCUGGACAGGGUGUGGGUCCCCUGGUGUAUUUCUUUCGCUAAAAAAUUCUUAUUAAUUCCAAAAAGUUGUUUCGUGGAGUCUCAGGACUUUUGGAGCUGUGCAGGAUAGGUUUCCAAUGUUUGGUCCUUUUCCAGCCAGAAUUCCAGCUGCCGGCAUUCCCCCUCUUCAUGGUAAACCUUGUAAAAUAAGAGGGAAUAGCCAUAAGUAUUGAGAUAUAAUGUGUAAUAACAUCCCAUAAUGCAAUAAAUAUUGAUAUAAAAGCAUGGUGCAAAAUGGACGUAUCAACUGCCACGUGUCCUCUUUGCCGUCUGCUAGCGGACGGCAAAGCUCUUUGCCUUUGGCUAGCAGACGACAAAGAGGCUAUACAUCCCCUGUUUUUAUUUAAAUCCAAUUAAUUAGACAUGGUUUCAAACACAAAUAUACAUGCAUACAUAUCCAACAGCAUGUCCAACAACAUAUUUGAUCAAAUCCAACAACAUAGUUCAACAAAGUCCAACAUAUCCAUAUAUACAUAACCGCAAACAAGUUUCCAACAACAUAUACAUAUAGACAUACAUAUCAAAACAAGUUUUCAUAAACAACAAGGAAGCACCAGAAGAAUAGUACACUCCAUGAAUCCAAGCCUUCAUGUAAAGCAAAUCUGCAAAUUGGGAAAGAUGAAAGUCAGAAGAAGAAGAAGAAGAAGAAGACUAGUUAGAAGAAGAAGAAGAAGACUAGUUAGAAGAAGAAGAAGAAGAAGAAGAAGAAGAAGAGGAAGAAGAAGAAGCAGCAGCAGCAGCAACAGCAGAAGAAGAAGAAGAAGAAGAAGAAGAAGAAGAAGAAUUUUUCUUCUCUUUCUUUUUCUCCUCUCCUCUUCAUUAUCUUCUUCUUCUAAGUAAGGUAAGUAAAAAUGCCACUUUAUUGCUAAGCUAGGUAAAAAUGCUAAGUGUAGGUCAUUUUAGAGAUAAGCUAGGUAAAUAGGUCAUUUUCGAGCUUAGUAAGGUUAUUAUGUCAUUUUCGGGGAAAAUAAGCUAAGUAUAUAUCAUUUUGGACGUAACAAAGAUUAUCAUGCCAUUUUGACCUAAGUAUGCUAAGUAUGUCAUAAAUGAACUGAAUAAGCUAAGUAUAGCUCAUUUUUUUUAUCUAACUUAGGUAAUUAUGCCAUUUAGUAGGAAAAUAAGCUAAGUAUCCAUUUGUAAAGCAAAACAUUAGAGAAAACUUACCCUCAUCACAACAAAUAUGAUGAAGAUCGUAACUAAGGUAACAAUUGAUCCAACGACAUAAUGAUACCAAGCCUCAUUAUCAUUGGCAUAUUUUCUAAUCUUCUUAAGCUUCAGGAGCAUUGCAUCCAUCUUCAAGCGCAUUGCAUUCAUCUUCAUCUUGUGAUCAUCGAUGACAUCGGCAACAUACAACUCCAAUGUCAUCUUCUCUUCUUCAAUUCUUUAAAUUUUUUCUUUCAAAUACUCAUUUUCUUUUUCAACUAAAAUUAACUUCUCGACUGAUAUGUCUCCAACGUAUCUAUAAUUUAUGAAGUAUUCAUGCUAUUAUAUUAUCCAUUGUAGAUGUUUUAUAUGCAUUUACAUGCUAUUUUAUAUGAUUUUUGGGACUAACCUAUUAACCUAGAGCCCAAUGUCAGUUUCUGUUUUCUCCUUGUUUUUGAGUUCUACAGAAAAUGGAUACCAAACAGAGUCCAAUUGACGUGCCAAUUUUUGAUGAUCUUUUGUGGACCAGAAGAAGCCCCUGGAGUGCAAGAGUUGGGCCAGAAGAGUCCUAGGCUACCCAUGAGGGUGGGGGGCCACGCCCACCCCCCUCAUGGACAGCCUAGAGACCCCCCUGAUGUGAAAUCAACGCCAACCUCUCCUAUAAUAUAGAAACCUUUGGGAAAUAACCUAGAUCGGAAGUUCCGCCAUCGCAAGCCUCUAUAUCCACGAGAAAUCAAUCUAGGCCCUCUCUGGCACCCUGCCGAAGGGGGCCAUCAUCACCGGAGGCCAUGGAGGAGGAUCCUGGAGGGGCCAUCAUUGCCAUGAAGGCCAAGGACCAGCGGGAGAACCUCUCCCCAUCCAGGGGGGAGGCCAUGGAGGAGGAAGCACAAGGGGGAGGACCUCUUCUCCUCUCUCUCUCGGUGGCGCCAGAGUGCCAUCGGAAGGGGAAUCAUCGCCACGGUGAUCGUCUUCAUCAACAUCACCAUCCUCAUCUCUUUUACACGGUCCUCUCUCCCGCACCACGCUGUAAUCCCCACUUGAACAUGGUGCUUUGUGCCACAUAUUAUGAUCUAAUGAUGUGUUGCCAUCCUAUGAUGUUUUGACUAGAUAUCUUUUGUCUUUGGGUUUAUUGAUGAUCUAGAUUGGUACGAGUUGUAUGUUUUGUUGGAAAUAUGCCCUAGAGGCAAUAAUAAAAGUAUUAUUAUAUUUCAUUAUUCAUGAUAAUUGUCUUUUAUUCAUGCUAUAACUGUAUUAUCCGGAAAUCGUAAUACACGUGUGAAUACAUAGACCACAAUAUGUCCCUAGUGAGCCUCUAGUUGACUAGCCCGUUGUGAUCAACAGAUAGUCAUGGUUUCCUGGCUAUGGACAUUGGAUGUCGUUGAUAACGGGAUCACAUCAUUAGGAGAAUGAUGUGAUGGACAAGACCCAAUCCUAAGCAUAGCAUAAGAUCGUGUAGUUCGUUUGCUAGAGCUUUUUCAAUGUCAAGUAUCUCUUCCUUAGACCAUGAGAUCGUGUAACUCCCGGAUACCGUAAGAGUGCUUUGGGUGUACCAAACGUCACAACGUAACUGGGUGACUAUAAAGGUGCACUAUAGGUAUCUCCGAAAGUGUCUGUUGGGUUGACACGGAUCGAGACUGGGAUUUGUCACUCCGUAUGACGGAGAGGUAUCUCUGGGCCCACUCGGUAAUGCAUCAUCAUAAUGAGCUCAAUGUGUCCAAGUGGUUGGUCACGGGAUCAUGCAUUACGGUACGAGUAAAGUGACUUGCCUGUAACGAGACUGAACAAGGUAUUGGGAUACCGACGAUCGAGUCUCGGGCAAGUAACGUACCGAUCACUACUAGGAAAAGGGCUAUAGAUGGAAAUGACACUAAUAGCGCACCAGACAUGUGGUGCGCCAUUAUUAUAUACUAAUGGCGCACCACCUCCUGAUGCGCCAUUAGUGUUGAAACUACUAAUGGCGCACCCUGCCCACGGUGCGCCAUUAGUAGCAAUUUUUUUUUGAACUAGUGCGCCUGUCCAAACAUACUAAUGGCGCAUCCACUGGUGGUGUGCCAUUACUAGUUGUAACUAGUAAUGGCGCACCAGCCAGGAGGUGCGCCACUAAUGUUAAUUUUUUUAUUAAUUUUUUCUUCCUUUUUUUGCAAAAGUACUAAUGGCGCACCACCAGGGGGUGCGCCAUUAGUAACCUGGAUUACUAAUGGCGCAUUUGUUGCUGGUGCGCCAUUAGUAAGUGGGCAGCAACAAGAUAUUUUGGACAGCCUCUCCUCCCACACUCACUUUCUCCCCACUUCAUUCUCUCCACCGCCUCCUCCUUGUCUCGGGUGCCUCCUCUUUUUCACCUCAUUUCCACCAUAGAUUCAUUCAAAUUAAGUGGUUAAGUUACCUUGUUUUGCUAGGUAAGUAAGGGGGAAGCUAUAUUUAUGUUGUUCUCCCUACAACAAUGUGCACAUGCACUUUUUCUGGCCUAGCUAGAUCUAUGUAUGUUCGUGGUGUUGCAUAUGUUUGUGGUGUUGCAUAUGUGUUUGUGUUUGGAGGUGUACCGGUAUUUGAAAUGCGAUAGUUGCCAAUAUUUUGCCGGAAUGUUGAUUCAUUUCCGUUUCGGCGAGAAUUUUGGCAUUAAGCAUUCUUUUUGGUCCUAUUUUUAGGGAAAGUCAUGCCAAAUUUUUUCUUGGUUCUAAAAUAUUGUUUUGCUCUACCCCGCAGGCGACCAUGGUCCGCACGAUGACCGAAGGCAUCGUGAAUAGGUUUUUGAGGUCUGCGAAGGACGAGAUGCUUCAAAAGAACGAGACGGAGAUAAGAUGUCCGUGUCGAAGAUGCAAGCUGAAUAGCCUUAUUGCGGACCCGGAUUCCGGGCAGGUGCGGGACCACCUGCUCUUGCGUGGUUUCAUGGAUGGCUAUCGGUGGCAAGGUGAUGAAGAUGACUACGAAGUCGUCCAUGGGGGCCGGGCAAGAAAUGAGGAAGGGCAGCAAGACAACCACCGCGGCUCGGGGGGGCGAGAAGACGACGAAUCCCCAGGAGAUGAUCACGACGGUGAUGCUGUACACAGUCAUCAUGUAGAAGAUGCAGAACAUGAUGAUGAUGCCGGCGGAGCAGACGACGCUGGACCAUCGAUGGGCUGGGUGCAGGACCCUCAUAUUCAAGAGCUGCUUCUCAAGCAGACGGAUAACGCAAGAGCUGCCGCCCGAGAGAAAGCCAAGAUGGAUCAACUUGAGUUAGACGCGGUUACUCCAUUGUAUGAAGGAUGCAGGCCCGAGGAUACCCGCCUGAAAGUAACGCUCAUGGCUUUGGAGAUGAAGGUAAAACACAAAAUGACCGACGCAUGCUUCGACGAGAACAUGUCAUUCUGGCACGAACGUCUUCCCAAGGGGAACAAGUGCCCGACCAGUUUGGAGGAGGCGAAGAAAAUCGUGUGUCCUCUGGAUUUACCGCACGUGAAAUACCAUGUGUGCAUGAACAAUUGCAUCAUUUAUCAGGACGAGCACGCGGAGUCUACCAUAUGUCCGGUGUGCGGUGUCACUCGAUACAAGAAGAGGAAGAAAGCUCCUCGAAAAGUGGUGUGGUACUUUCCGAUCACUCCUCGUCUGCAGCGGUAUUUCACGGACCCUAAGGUAGCAAAGCUCCUGCGUUGGCACGCGGAUAGGGAGGAGAAGAAGCGAGAAGAUGACGCAAAUGAUCCGGAGAUAGAUAAAAAAGACAAGAUGCUGAGUCACCCUAAGGAUGCGAGCCAGUGGCAAGCGUUGAACUUCGAAUACCCAGAAUUUGGGAACGAUCCAAGGAACAUCAUGCUGGGCGCGAGCACCGAUGGAGUCAAUCCGUUUGGCAGCCAGAGAAGCACACAUAGCACCUGGCCUGUGUUCGUGUGGAUGUACAACCUUCCCCCCUGGUUGUGCAUGAAGAGGAAGUACAUUCACAUGAGUAUGCUAAUUGAAGGGCCGAAACAACCAGGAAACGACAUCAAUCUGUAUCUGGGGCUGCUGAAAGAGGAGAUUGACACACUGUGGAAAACGCCAGCCAAUACGUGGGACGCCGCAGAGAAAGAAUAUUUCCCUAUGAGAGCCGCACUGCUCAUGACGGUGCACGACUAUCUCGGUUACGGAUAUCUUGCGGGGCAGGUAGUCCACGGAUUUUCUGGAUGCGUAAGGUGCAUGGAUGACACAACGUAUCGCCAGCUAGAUAGAGAUCCCGGGUCUUCGAAAACCGUGUUCAUGGGACAUCGAAGGUGGCUUCGCGACGAUGACCCAUGGAGGAAACGCAAGGAUCUGUUCGAUGGUGAAACUGAACCCCGAAAACUCCCGUGUACGAGGAGCGGCGAGGAAAUAGACAAGCUGUUGAAAAAUUGGAAAGACUGCCCACUGCCGGGAAAGAAGCAAAAGGCGCCAGAGCCGCUGCUGAAGGUAUGGAAAACGAGGUCUGUUUUCUGGGACUUGCCAUACUGGAAGAUCCACCGUGUGCCUCACAGCCUUGAUGUCAUGCAUAUCACGAAGAACGUGUGCGAGAGUCUGCUUGGUACCCUGCUCAACAUGCCAGAGAGGACCAAAGAUGGACCGAAAGCAAGGGCAGACUUGAAAUCAAUGGGCAUCAGGCAGGAGCUUCACGCUAUAUAUGAUGAUGAUGAUGAUGAUGAUGAUGAGGCGAAGCAGGACACAGAAAGUCGUCGCAAAGGCAAAAAGGCCAAGAAGACCGGAAAUGACUACCCUCCCGCGUGCUUCACUCUAAGUCAGGAGGAGAUCGAGCAGUUUUUCACCUGCCUCCUAGGAGUAAAACUUCCUUACGGUUACGCGGGGAAGAUAAGCAGAUACCUAGACCCAGCGAAGCAGAAGUUCAGCGGGAUGAAGUCUCACGACUGUCACGUGCUGAUGACGCAGAUACUUCCAGUUGCAAUCCGUGGGAUCAUGGACGCGCACGUCCGUGAAACGCUAUUUGGCCUAUGCAACCUCUUCGACGUCAUCUCUCGGAAGUCGAUUGGCGUGAGGCAACUCAGAAGGCUACAGGAAGAGAUCGUGGUGAUACUAUGCGAGCUUGAGAUGUACUUCCCGCCCGCAUUCUUCGACGUUAUGGUGCAUCUGCUGGUCCAUAUAGUGGAGGAUAUCAUCCAACUCGGGCCGACAUUCCUGCACAGCAUGAUGCCGUUCGAAAGGAUGAAUGGUGUCAUCAAAGGAUACGUUCGCAACAUGUCACGUCCAGAGGGAAGCAUAGCCAGGGGCUUUCUGACCGAAGAGUGCAUCUCCUACUGCACGAAUUAUCUAGGCAUCGAGAACCCCGUUGGUCUGCCCGUCAACAGGCACCUCGGCAGGCUCGCUGGAUGGGGUCACCGUGAGGGUCGCCGCGAAAUGCAUGUCGACUUCGAGGGUCGACUCGCCGACUUUGAAAGAGCAAACCUAGUCGCGCUACAACACAUAGACGUGGUCGAUCCUUGGGUGGUAGAGCACAAAACCUUUAUUAAGAAGACGUACAAUGACCGAGGCCAACAGAGGACAGACGGAGAUAUACUCAAAGAGCACAACUCAUGUUGCACGCGUUGGUUCAAGCAGAAGCUUCUGUCGUACCCUUUACAUGAGGAUUCUUCCGCGGAAGAACAACUCAUAUUCGCCUUGUCACAGGGCACCGAGCACAACCUGAUGACCUAUGAGGCGUACGAUAUCAACGGCUACACAUUCUACACCGAGGCCAAGGGCAUGAAGAGCGAUGGUUAUCAGAACUCCGGGGUAACGAUGGAAUCCUACACCGGUAACGACAAGGACAGAUACUACGGAAGGAUCGAGGAGAUCUGGGAGCUGAGCUACGCUGGAGAGAAGGUCCCGAUGUUCCAUGUUAGAUGGCCAAGAACGUCAUAAAAGAAGACCGGUAUUUCACCACCAUGGUUAUACCCGAAGCCAAAUCCAAGACCGCAGGCACAAACGUCACAGCGAAAAAUGAGCCAUGGGUACUGGCUUUCCAAGUGGACCAAUGCUUCUUCAUUACCGACCCGCCAAAGCCCAGUCGUGUUGUCGUGAGGAGAGGCAAAAGGAAGAUCAUCGGAAUGGAUGGAGUAGCCAAUGAGCAAGACUUCGACAAGUACGGCGACCCGAGGAUCGAACAUGACGACGAUGAUCAAGUAGCAGCAUACACCACAAGAAGAAGCAGGACCACCCUACCUAAAGGACGUCCGUUCCACAGAAGAACUCCAUUUGCGAAAAAGAAGGGCAAGAAGAUUGUGAACAGAUAGCUAGCUAAGAUCGAUUGUAUUUAAAUCGUAGACUUCAUUUCUCGAUUGUAUUUCAUGGGUACUUUUGAACUAUCAUGAAUAUUUUUAAAUUUCAUGGACACUCGAUCUCGAUCCCCCUCCAUCUCGAUCGCUAUCCUUCCUCGCCAGAUCCGGUCCCCCUCGCCGCCGAGCACCCCCCCAGUCCACCGGCCGCCGCCGCCGACCCCCCGCACCCUCGAUUCCCCUACUCAACCGCCGCCGCCGACCCCCCGCACCCCGCGCACCNNNNNNNNNNNNNNNNNNNNNNNNNNNNNNNNNNNNNNNNNNNNNNNNNNNNNNNNNNNNNNNNNNNNNNNNNNNNNNNNNNNNNNNNNNNNNNNNNNNNNNNNNNNNNNNNNNNNNNNNNNNNNNNNNNNNNNNNNNNNNNNNNNNNNNNNNNNNNNNNNNNNNNNNNNNNNNNNNNNNNNNNNNNNNNNNNNNNNNNNNNNNNNNNNNNNNNNNNNNNNNNNNNNNNNNNNNNNNNNNNNNNNNNNNNNNNNNNNNNNNNNNNNNNNNNNNNNNNNNNNNNNNNNNNNNNNNNNNNNNNNNNNNNNNNNNNNNNNNNNNNNNNNNNNNNNNNNNNNNNNNNNNNNNNNNNNNNNNNNNNNNNNNNNNNNNNNNNNNNNNNNNNNNNNNNNNNNNNNNNNNNNNNNNNNNNNNNNNNNNNNNNNNNNNNNNNNNNNNNNNNNNNNNNNNNNNNNNNNNNNNNNNNNNNNNNNNNNNNNNNNNNNNNNNNNNNNNNNNNNNNNNNNNNNNNNNNNNNNNNNNNNNNNNNNNNNNNNNNNNNNNNNNNNNNNNNNNNNNNNNNNNNNNNNNNNNNNNNNNNNNNNNNNNNNNNNNNNNNNNNNNNNNNNNNNNNNNNNNNNNNNNNNNNNNNNNNNNNNNNNNNNNNNNNNNNNNNNNNNNNNNNNNNNNNNNNNNNNNNNNNNNNNNNNNNNNNNNNNNNNNNNNNNNNNNNNNNNNNNNNNNNNNNNNNNNNNNNNNNNNNNNNNNNNNNNNNNNNNNNNNNNNNNNNNNNNNNNNNNNNNNNNNNNNNNGCCGCCCCGACGCCGCCCCGACGCCGCCUCGACCCCUCCCCGAGGCCGCUGCCCCGCCACCUCGACGCAGCCCCGCCGCCUCGACGUGACCCCGCUGCCCGGACGCCGCCCCGUCCACACCACCGUCGCCCUCUCCCCGGCAUCCUUAUCCUCUCUGACUGCCUCCUCCACCCCGGCCCGCUCCUCCAAGGUAAGCUACCGCCCGACCCCUAUCCCCUUCCCUCCUCCCAUCCCAUCUCCAUAUGAGCAUGAUAAUUUGCACUCAGCUUCAGCAGUAAUUUGACUAAUUUCCUCUUCCCUAUCAUCAUGGUUAUUGUAGUAAAUAAUCAGGGCAAAUAUCAGAGAGAAAUUUGCGAACUUCAGAAUCUAGGAAUUGUAAUACAAAUUCAAAUAGUCUCUAGAACUUUCAUGCGUUCAAAAAUAUGAAUUACAGUAAUUAUGAUUUGUAUUUUCCAGGCAGUUUUGUUAAUUGGUCAUUCAUGAUUCAUCAUGAAGAAUAUGCGAUUAUGUGCUGAAACUAAGUUUGCAUCAUGUGUUAAGUGAAUUCUGUUCUAUUUGGGGUCUCCCACCAGCUAUGUGAAAAGUUGGAGAUUGCUUUCUUGUUUUUUUUUGGUGUGGAAUUCUGAUUUGUGAAAAGAAAAACCGAACGAUGCUAAUUAAUUUUCGGUUGCAACGAAUGUGCUGGAAGAAAAAGCAGUCUUCUGGCAAGGUUAAGAUGCUUGAUUGACUGAGUUGAUGAUUCAAUUAAACAAGGUACAAUAUGUAGCAAGUAACUGUUUGAACACUAUAGAUUGCCAGAAGACUGCUUUUUCUAUCAAUCAAGCAUCUUAACCUUGCCAGAAGACUGCUACUGCUUUUUCUUAUCGUCCUGGCAGCAACUGGCUGGUUGUUGUUCAAAACUUAUUAGUCCGUCUGGUGCUUCUGAACUCAUUAGUCGGUGGCAUGUGGUACCAUAAAAAAUACUAGAAGGAAAGGAAAACAGAAUAUAAGAGAAUGAUUGCUGGAGUGGUAAUGUUCACCAGCAGACAAAAAAAAAGGGAAAAGUAAAAAACAGGAAGCAUACAUGCACAAUGAACCAGUGAUGCCUUGCUUCCACCAGAAGGAAAGUGAAGGAGAAAAAUGAACACGAUGAUCAUCAAGUCAACUGGUUAUUGGUCGAUAGUAUAGACAACUAGCUACACUGUGUGAUGAAACUAAACAAGCCUGCCUGGCCACCCGUCCAUCCUACAUGAGGGCAAUUAUGCCAGAACCAUGGAACUAUUUAAUUUUUUAUAUAACUCAUAAAACAAAAAAAUGGCUCCAUUGGGGUUUGGUGCUUCCCCAUGGCCAGGACAAGAUAACUUUAUCAUUGUGCUAUGAGAUUAAACAGGGGGAGGGAUGCUAACGCUCCUUUUGCUUGGCAGUAUAAAGUACUAGUAAGUAUAGAUAAGAGGUUGGUUUUUUGAGGAAUCAACAGUUAACGGGUGAGGCUCAGGCUGCAAUGAUGGCUGCAGUAUAAAGUAAUAUUCUUGUUUCGGUGUACAUAUGUAGGACACAAACAAUUAAGGUGUCUAUUUUGAUUUAGUGCCUUUGCCUCCACUGCCUUUAUCUGGAUUGAAGCUUGCUUGUGUUUACUUCUGAUUACAAGAUCUCCAUACUCGGAGAUUUCUUUAUAUAUGUUGUAGUAUAAAUAUAUUGUUUUGUCAUUCUGUAAUUGUUAGUGGAAUUUACACUGUAAAUGUUAGUGGGUUUACAGUGUACUUCUAGUGGAUUUUUGCUCUAUAUUUGCUAGUGGCAUUUUUACUGAAACUAAAUUGAAAAUGGGACUCUGUGCACCAAGUGCAUGCAUGCUGCUGCUACUGCUGUACUACUUGUCAAGUGAUGCUGCUGCUGCUAUCUGCGAGUUGCUGCUGCUAGUUGUGAUUUUGUCAAGUGAUGCUGCUGCUACUUGUGAUCUUCUAAAAUGACCCCUUUCUCCUGAAACGUUGAUUAAUUUCCGUUUCGGUUGAGAAAUGGGGCACUCCAAGGUCAAGAAAAUUAGCAAAGGUCAUGCCCAAUUUUCUUGACCUAGAAGGUGCCCGAUUCUCAACCGAAAUAAAAAUUAAUUUGCUUUAGUGGUUGGAUUAGUUUAGUAUUUUUUCACACACACAGACACCCUUGCUUGCCAUGUGUGUGAGAGAGAUAGUGAGAGGAGACAAGAAGAAGGGGGUUAGGAAGAUGUUGCCUGCUCAUCAAAGCUAACCAUCUCCCCCUUUUCACCCCUUUUCCUUUGUAUUUUGUGGGUUGCAAGGAAGCUACUGUCUUAGCUAGCUUAGCUUGUGCACAAAUCCCAGUGUUACAAUCUAGAAAAUUAGCCUGCAAAGAUGAGGUCCCAUGCUGGCUGUACCACUGCAUCAUGCAACAGUGCCUUCAAGAUCCAAGGCAAUAUCACAAACAUCAUAGGCACUUUGACCAAACUCACAACCUUGUAUCUUUGCAGCAACCAACUUUCUAGACACACCCCUCAAGAACUAGGUUACCCUGAGAACGUGGACUUGGACCUUAGCAACAACACACUAACAGGUUCUAUCCCAAAACACCUAGGCAAUAUCACAAACAUCUCUCAAUUGUUCCUUGACAAUAACCAACUUUUUGGCGACAUUCCUCGAGAAUUAGGUUAUUUGGUCAACUUAGAGAUCUUGUUCCUUGACAAUAACCAACUUUUUGACCAAACUUUGUUUCUAUUUAGAGAGAAACAUGGCCCACAACAAUGAGGCCGGGGGUUCGGGCGGCAAGGCAUUCUGGGAGCUAUCCCAGGAGAUGGAGGAACAACCUCACUUGUAUGAGGCCGCCGCCUUCCCCACCGAUCCUGAGACCACAGAUGGUGCCGCCGAGGAUGACCACACUGAUGCCACCACUGAUGGUGCCGCCGAGGAUGCCACCACUGAUGAUGGCGGCGCACGCACAGAUGGCAGCCAACCGAAGAGGCGACGGAAGGACCGGCGCCCGAUCGUGCUCCGCACCCUCAAGGAGGAAGUUACUGAAGUGGACUCCAACGGGAAUCCAACGGCGCCCGAACGAAUAGUCAAGGGGUACUCGCUUCAGCUCGGGUGCAUUGUUCGGAGCACCGUCUCGAUCAACACCGAGAACCUGAGGCAUCCUGACCGAGGGAAUUUGCGCAACCUCCUCUUCACGAAGCUGCACGAACGAUACAAGUUCCCCGCUGAAUUUGAAAACACAAGCCUCAAAGGGAAUAAAGUGAACAAUGCUGCCCUCACGAAGAUGAGCAAGGCCCUGUCUACUUGGAAAAGCAAUGUGAAGAGAAUGAUCGAGAAAGGUGAGAGUUAUCAGAAGAUCAAGGAGAAAAAUCCUUCAAUCACCGAAGAUGACCACAACGACUUCAAGAUCAAUUGCUCGAGCACCGCAAGCUCCCAAUCAAGUGAGUGGGGGAAACAAAUGCGGGAGCUGAACAUAGGGGAACACACACUCGGUCCCGGCGGUUACAGAGUGGCGGAGCCUAUAUGGGACAAGGAGGAGGCGGACCGUGCCGAGCAAGGCCUACCGCCCCUCUUCGAUAAAUACGGUGACAAGCAGACCAGGAACUUUGUCAGGGCCCGGUACAAGAAGGACCCGAAAACAAAGGAGCUUACCAAGGAUCCGAAGACCAGGCAGCUUGAGCUUGUUCUGGUAAGGAAUACACCCCCGCGUAAUUAGCUCCAUAUGGUUGCAUUCUAAUUAAUGAAGCCAAAUUUCUAAAUGGUUCACAUUCCUUCCGCAGGCGACUGAAAGCAGUAGCGCGGGGUCGACUAAGAGCAACCCUUGGGACACCACUCUAAAUAGGGGGUUGAAUGUAAUGAAGAACAAGGAUAAGCUCAGUAAGCCGAUGUCAGCUGGUCGUGUGGCCGACAAAGGCUUGUCAACAAAAUGGGGGUCAUACUAUUCCACUGGUGUGCGGAAGGAGAAAAAGACCAGCUCGAAAAGCCAGGCACGAGAGGUUCAAGAACUCAAGGCACAGGUGGCGCGGAUUCCGCAGAUUGUCCAAGAGCAAGUGGAACAACGACUCGGAGCGACGAUCACCGCCCUUGUGCCUAACUUGAUCUCGGGGUUGAGUGCGUGGAUUGCGGGCGGCCAACAGGGGCCGCCCCCGAUUCCUAGCUUCACGGCCAGCAACUCGCAUAAUGCGAUGGCGGGGCCAUUGGUGCCUCCGGCGGAGGCGACAUUGGUGUCUCCGACGCCGGCACGGGAGCUUAAUGCACCCGGGUGUACGCCGGCCGGCACCUCUGCAGCAAGCGGCACCUCCUCAACUGCACGCCCGCCGUUGGUGGUGCAUCGACAUUAGCCGAGCUCGACGCCAUCAUCACGGUAACUAAUUAAGCCUCUCUCGGCCGAGGACUUCAUCUCCUUGCCUUUGACGGGGCAUCCCUGACGCCCUACAUGUUUUCGCAGGGCGCCGCUGACGUUCCGUGCACUCUCCUCCACUUCGUGAACAACGAGUUGGUCGAUGUCGCCAAGGGCAAAAUGUUCAACCGGGCAACCCCUUGUUCCACGGUACCUAGAUGCCACCCAACUUGUUUAGGGUUCAACUGGUUCGGGUGCUGCCAGGCUGCGACGACUUGUUACCUCUGAUUCGACCCGUCGGGGCCGACGAUAAAGACGUGAUGACCCUCAGCGCCUGCCUGAGCUAGCCCCUGCUUUGGCCGAAGAGCCAGAUUCGUUUGGGGGCGGUGGACACCACCCCAAAGACAACACCGCCAGUCGUGCCGGCGCCAAGUCGGCCCCAUGGCAAGACCGCCGUAACGGUGCCGGACAUCCCAAUGCCACUGGAUCCAAACAUGCAUAUGGCACAGGAUCAGAACGACGACGACGACGAAGAUGAUACAUUUGGCAACGUCGAUCAGUAUUUUGCCGAACAUGGGUACGAUGGCGACUUCAUGGGGCCUCCUUCUCAAGAACCAAACCCAACAAAAGACGUGUGCGAUCUAGCUGGUACCGCGGAGAAGCCAAGUUGCAACAGGCGCCGUCUGACGUUCAGCUCUCAGGAGACGCCUCCAGCUGCCGACUUCACCGAGCCUCAGAUAGGCGAGGUGCGAAAUAUUAUCAGCCCCAACACACUCAAGAAGGCGGUCUGUGAGCAGAACUCGGUCCCAUUACAGGAGAAGAAGAAGGCACGCAAAAGAAAGACUAAGAAGGGUGCGAGCCAGCCGGCACCAAGUACGAUCCGUGCUCAGGACGGGCCACCUUCACCGCAGGAUAUCUCGAGGAGGGUGCAUGUGGCGGGUAGGGCGAUGCUACUGACAAAUAUGCUCAAUGCUGCAACCGGUGCUAUGCGGAGUCUGCAUGACAGUGUUCUUUCUUUGGAGAAGCGGCGUCUCAGGGAGAAGGAUGUGGCAUACCCAGUUUUCGCGGCCAAGGUGUCAGAGGGCAAGGGCUUUGUGGAUAACUCCAUCGGGCGUACAAUCGUCCUGUGUUUUGAUGACAUCCAUGCUAUGUUGAACCUUCAUCCGCUGCACUACACCUUCGUUCGGCUAUUUUCGCUGAGUAUGGAGAUGCAGAUCAUUCGCGACAAGACCCCGGACAUCGUGAUAGUCGACCCCUUCUACAUGCGUGCCAAGAUCUUGGGCAGCGCUGGGGACCGGCAAGUCGCGAGUUCUUACCUCGAAGGCGGCAUUCUGGCAAACCAAGAUAAGGAUAACUUCCUCGUGCCUUACUUUCCCGAGUAAGUCCUCCCCUCAACCGGCCCGUAACAUAUGAAUUCUUACAUUUUGAUCGUUUUUCUUUUAACAUUCCGUGUUUUCUGCAGUGACACACGUUGCGCUCAUCCUCCUAAGCCCCAAAUAUUCCAUGGCCACGUAUUUCGACCCGGACCGUCAGUCGAACGUAGACUACACAAAUGUCAAGAAGGUUCUUGAUGAUGUUCUCCCCGGCUACGCCAAAUCUGGAGGCACCUUCACCAGGCCUAUUCGUAAGUACGGCAAGCACGUGUUCUCCCACAAUACGACGUUCUGCUGCGUCAAGCAGCCGCCUGGCGGUCAGAAGGGUGCCUACUACGCCAUCCAUCACAUGCGGGCGAUCGUACGGGACCAUCAUCAACUUCUGCUACCGAGUAAAGUCAAAGAUUGGGCCGCGAGCGUGUCGGCAAUCCAGGACACGGACCUCCGACAAGAAUUCUUUCGCAUCCAGUCGGAGUUUGCAGAAAUCAUCCAUCAAGAUGUCCUUCAUACCUCGGGGCAGUUCUACCUCAGAAAUCAACCAUCCAACAGUGACAUCGACACAAUGCUACAAAUCCAGGCUGACAACGACCGUUAUUUCAUGACUCCCACGAUAGACGGCGGCUUCAUCCAUGCUCCGGUCCCUUGAGUCGAGUCGAAAGCAGUGAUGCUGUGUCUAGUUCUGAAACAUCGAUUGGCUCAUGUUGUAAUUAAACUUUAAUGAACUUGUAGUAUGUCUCUUUGGUUUCGAGAGUCGUUCAACUUAGAUGUAAUCGAUGCUAUUAAUGUCUUGCUUUUCUCUUCCGAUCAUUCUGUUGCAUAAUUAUAUAUUGCUUAUGUAUUGUCUGUGAAUUGGUACUACCGUUUCGUUUGGCUAGUGCAUAGCGAUGCCGACAUAUGUCGUGUACAAGGGUAAGGUUCCCAGCGUCCACGAUGACUGGGAGGAGUGUCGGAGACAGGUUCACCGAUUCAGCGGUAACAGUUACAAAGGGUACACCACUAGGGCCGAGGCCGAAUCUAGAUACGCCCGCUAUCUAGCGGGAGAGGGGAGGGAGCGUUGGAGGAACCGGAUGAAGACGAGUUUCAUCGUGAUGAUGCUCAUCGUGAUGACCGCAACUCUCUUCUAUGUGAUGGUAGUUUAGAUGAUCGAUAUCGACUUGUAAUGUGAAGACAAACUCGCUACUCGCGGUCUGAGACUUGUAAUAUAAUGUUCUAUCUUUGUUCGGUCUUUUCAAUUCGGAGACUAAUAUGAUGAAUUGUAUUCGGAGACUAAUAUGAUGAAUUGUAUUCUUCUAUUGUAUUCGAUGAAUCUGUUGUUGAUGUGUGCUGUCUAUAUUUUGUCAAAUUAUACAUUUUGUAACCUGUGCAAAAAACAGAAAAUAAAAAAAUAAAAAAAACCUAAUAUUCAUACUAAUGGCGCAUCACAUGACAGUGCGCCAUUAGUAUGACGAGGCAUACUAAUGGCGCAUCACUGGUAAGUGCGCCAUUAAUAUGCCAUGGUUACUAAUGGUGCAUCCAGUGGUGGUGCGCCAUUAGUAUGCCAAAGCACCUGGAUAUACAUGGCCCCUGGGAGGCAUACUAAUGGCGCACCCUGGCCUAUACUAAUGGCGCACCCGCGGUGCGCCGUUAGUAUACCACAUACUAAUGGCGCACCAGGUGGUGCGCCAUUAGUAAAAAUUACUAAUGGCGUGCUGUUAAUGGCGCACCACAGAUGCGCCAUUAAUGGCCAUACUAGGUGCACCAUUAGUAGGGGUUUUUCUAGUAGUGGAUUGACAAAGGGAAUUGUAUACGGGAUUGUUUAAUCCUCGACAUCGUGGUUCAUCCGAUGAAAUCAUCGAGGAGCAUGUGGGAGCCAACAUGGGUAUCCAGAUCCCGCUGUUGGUUAUUGCCCGAGAGUCGUCUCGGUCAUGUCUGCGUGUCUCCCGAACCCGUAGGGUCUACACACUUAAGGUUCGGUGACGCUAGGGUUGUAUGAAUAUGAGUAUGCAGCAAACCGAAUGUUGUUCGAAGUCCCGGAUGAGAUCCCGGACGUCACGAGGAGUUUCGGAAUGGUCAGGAGGUAAAGAAUUAUAUAUAGGAAGUGGUAUUUCGGCCAUCAGGAAAGUUUCGGGGUCACCCGGUAAUGUACCGGGACCACCGGAAGGGUCCCGGGGGUCCACCGGGUGGGGCCACCCAUCCCGGAGGGCCCCAUGGGCUGAAGUGGGAGGGGAGCCAGCCCAUAGUGGGCUGGUGCGCCCCCCUAGGCCCACCCCCUGCGCCUAGGGUUGAAACCCUAGGGUGGGGGGGGGGGGCGCACCACAUGCCUUGGGGGGCACUCCUCCACCCUUGGCCGCCGCCCCCUUGGGAGAUUCAAUCUCCCAGGGCCGGCGCCCCCCCAAGGGGCCUAUAUAAAGGAGGGCAGGGGGAGGGCAGCCGUACCCUUGUGCUUGGCGCCUCCCUCCCCCUGCUACACCUCGUCCUCCUCCCGUAGUCGCUUGGCGAAGCCCUGCUGGAGUUCUGUUGCAACCACCACCACGCCGUCGUGCUGCUGGAUCAUCAUCAACCUCUCCUUCCCCCUUGCUGGAUCAAGAAGGAGGAGACGUCUCCCGUCCCAUACGUGUGUUGAACGCGGAGGUGCUGUCCGUUCAGCACUUGGUCAUCGGUGAUCCGAAUCACGGCGAGUACGACUCCAUCAUCACCAUCCCCUUGAACGCUUCCGCACUCGAUCUACAAGUGGUAUGUAGAUGCAAUCUCUCUCCCAUGACUCGUUGCUUAGAUGAACUCAUAGAUGGAUCUUGGUGAAACCGUAGGAAAAUUUUUAAUUUUCUGCAACGUUCCCCAACAGUGGUAUCAGAGCUAGGUCUAUGCGUAGUUCUCUAUUGCACGAGUAGAACACAAUUUUGUUGUGGGCGUAGAUCUUAUCAACUUGCUUGCCGCUACUAGUCUUAUCUUGCUUCAGCGGUAUUGUGGGAUGAAGCGGCCCGGACCAACCUUACACGUACUCUUACGUGAGACCAGUUCCACCGACUGACAUGCACUAGUUGCAUAAGGUGGCUGGCGGGUGUCUGUCUCUCCCACUUUAGUUGGAGCGGAUUCGAUGAAAAGGGUCCUUAUGAACGGUAAAUAGAAGUUGACAAAAUCACGUUGUGGUUAUUCGUAGGUAAGAAAGCGUUCUUGCUAGAACCCAAUUGCGGCCACGUAAAAGAUGCAACAACAAUUAGAGGACGUCUAACUUGUUUUUGCAGCAAUUGUCAUGUGAUGUGAUAUGGCCAGAAGUUGUGAUGAAUGAUGAAUGACACAUUGUGAUGUAUGAGAUCAUGUUCUUGUAAUAGGAAUCACGACUUGCAUGUCGAUGAGUAUGACAACCGGCAGGAGCCAUAGGAGUUGUCUUUAUUUUUUGUAUGACCUGCGUGUCAUUGAAGAACGCCAUGUAACUUACUUUACUUUAUUGCUAAACACGUUAGCCAUAGAAGUAGAAGUAGUCGUUGGCGUGACAACUUCAUGAAGACACGAUGAUGGAGAUCAUGGUGUCAUGCCGGUGACAAGAUGAUCAUGGAGCCCCGAAGAUGGAGAUCAAUGGAGCUAUAUGAUAUUGGCCAUAUCAUGUCACUACUAUAUAAUUGCAUGUGAUGUUUAUUAUGUUUAUGCAUCUUGUUUACUUAGAACGACGGUAGUAAAUAAGAUGAUCCCUUACACAAUUUCAAAGAAGUGUUCUCCCCUAACUGUGCACCGUUGCUAAAGUUCGUCGCUUCUAAGCACCACGUGAUGAUCGGGUGUGAUGGAUUCUUACGUUCACAUACAACGGGUGUAAGACAGAUUUACACACGCAAAACACUUAGGGUUAACUUGACGAGCCUAGCAUGUACAUACAUGGCCUCGGAACACUGAUACCGAAAGGUCGAACACGAGUCGUAUGGAAGAUACGAUCAACAUGAGAAUGUUAACCGAUGAUGACUAGUCCGUCUCACGUGAUGAUCAGACACGGCCUAGUCGACUCGGAUCGUGUAACACUUAGAUGACUAGAGGGAUGUCUAAUAUGAGUGGGAGUUCAUUAUAAUACUUUGAUUAUAUGAACUUAAUUAUCAUGAACUUAGUCUAAAAACCUUUGCAAAUAUGUCUUGUAGAUCAAAUGGCCAACGCUCAUGUCAACAUGAACUUCAACGCAUUCCUAGAGAAAACCAAGCUGAAAGAUGAUGGCAGCAACUAUACGGACUGGGUCCGGAACCUGAGGAUCAUCCUCAUAGCUGCCAGGAAACAAUAUGUCCUAGAAGGACCGCUAGGUGACGCUCCCGUCCCAGAGAACCAAGACAUUAUGAAUGCUUGGCAGACUCGUGCUGAUGAUUACUCCCUCGUUCAGUGCGGCAUGCUUUACAGCUUAGAACCGGGGCUCCAAAAGCGUUUUGAGCAUCACGGAGCAUAUGAGAUGUUCGAGGAGCUGAGACUAGUUUUUCAAGCUCACGCCCGGGUCGAGAGAUAUGACGUCUCCGACAAGUUCUAUAGUUGUAAGAUGGAGGAAAAUAGUUCUGUCAGUGAGCACAUACUCAAGAUGUCUGGGUUGCACAACCGUAUGACCCAGCUGAAUAUUAACCUCCCUGAUGAGGCGGUCAUUGACAGAAUCCUUCAGUCGCUCCCACCAAGCUACAAGAGCUUUGUGAUGAACUACAAUAUGCAGGGAAUGGAAAAGACCAUUCCUGAAGUAUUUUCUAUGCUGAAGUCAGCAGAGGCUGAAAUCAAGAAAGAACAUCAAGUGUUGAUGGUCAAUAAGACCACUAAGUUCAAGAAGGGCAAGGGCAAUAAGAACUUCAAGAAGGACGGCAAGGAUGUUGCCGCGCCCGGUAAGCCAGUUACCGGGAAGAAGUCAAAGAAUGGACCCAGGCCUGAAACUGAGUGCUUUUAUUGCAAGGGGAAGGGUCACUGGAAGCGGAACUGCCCCAAAUACUUAGCGGAUAAGAAGGCCGGCAACACCAAAGGUAUAUUUGAUAUACAUGUAAUUGAUGUGUAUCUUACCAGUACUCGUAGUAACUCCUGGGUAUUUGAUACCGGUGCCGUUGCUCAUAUUUGUAACUCACAACAGGAGCUGCGGAAUAAGCGGAGACUGGCGAAGGACGAGGUGACGAUGCGCGUCGGGAAUGGUUCCAGAGUCGAUGUGAUCGCCGUCGGCACGCUACCUCUACAUUUACCUACGGGAUUAGUUUUGAACCUUAAUAAUUGUUAUUUGGUGCCAAGUUUGAGCAUGAACAUUGUAUUUGGAUCUCGUUUGAUACGAGAUGGCUACUCAUUUAAAUCCGAGAAUAAUGGUUGUUCUAUUUAUAUGAGAGACAUGUUUUAUGGUCAUGCUCCGAUGGUCAAUGAUUUAUUCUUAAUGAAUCUCGAGCAUAAUGUUACACAUAUUCAUAGCGUGAAUACCAAAAGAUGUAAAGUUGAUAACGAUAGUCCCACAUACUUGUGGCACUGCCGCCUUGGUCACAUUGGUGUCAAGCGCAUGAAGAAGCUCCAUGCUGAUGGACUUUUGGAGUCUCUAGAUUAUGAAUCAUUUGACACAUGCGAACCAUGCCUCAUGGGCAAGAUGACCAAGACUCCGUUCUCCGGAACAAUGGAGCGAGCAACCAACUUGUUGGAAAUCAUACAUACCGAUGUGUGCGGUCCAAUGAGCAUUGAGGCUCGCGGAGGAUAUCGUUUAUGUUAUCACUCUCACUGAUGACUUGAGUAGAUAUGGGUAUGUCUACUUAAUGAAACACAAGUCUGAAACCUUUGAAAAGUUCAAGGAAUUUCAGAAUGAGGUAGAGAAUCAACGUGACCGAAAGAUAAAGUUCCUACGAUCAAAUCGUGGAGGAGAAUACUUAAGUCAUGAAUUUGGUAUACACUUAAGGAAAUGUGGAAUCGUUUCACAACUCACGCCGCCUGGAACACCUCAGCCUAACGGUGUGUCCGAACGUCGUAAUCGCACUCUAUUAGAUAUGGUGCGGUCUAUGAUGUCUCUUACCGAUUUACCGCUAUCAUUUUGGGGAUACGCUCUAGAGACAGCUACAUUCACUUUAAAUAGGGCACCGUCUAAAUCCGUUGAGACGACACCGUACGAAUUAUGGUUUGGGAAGAAACCUAAGUUGUCGUUUCUAAAAGUUUGGGGAUGCGAUGCUUAUGUCAAGAAACUUCAACCUGAAAAGCUCGAACCCAAGUCGGAAAAAUGCGUCUUCAUAGGAUACCCUCAGGAAACCGUUGGGUAUACCUUCUACUUAAGAUCCGAGGGCAAGAUCUUUGUUGCCAAGAACGGAUGCUUUCUGGAAAAAGAGUUUCUCUCAAAAGAAGUAAGUGGGAGGAAAGUAGAACUCGAUGAAGUACUACCUCUUGAACGGGAUAGUAGUGCAGCUCAGGAAAAUGUUCCUGUGAUGCCUACACCAAGUGAAGAGGAAAAUAAUGAUGAUGAUCAAGGUACUUCGGAUCAAGUUGCUACUGAACUUCGUAGGUCCACAAGGACACGUUCCGCACCAGAGUGGUACGGCAACCCCGUCCUGGAAAUCAUGUUGUUAGACAACGGUGAACCUUCGAACUAUGAAGAAGCGAUGGCGGGCCCAGAUUCCAACAAAUGGCUUGAAGCCAUGAAAUCCGAGAUAGAAUCCAUGCAUGAAAACAAAGUAUGGACUUUGACAGACUUGCCCGAUGAUCGGCGAGCGAUAGAAAACAAAUGGAUCUUUAAGAAGAAGACGAACGCGGAUGGUAAUAUUACCGUCUAUAAAGCUCGACUUGUUGCUAAGGGUUAUCGACAAGUUCAAGGGAUUGACUACGACGAGACAUUCUCUCCCGUAGCAAAGCUGAAGCCCGUCCGAAUCAUGUUAGCAAUUGCCGCAUACUAUGAUUAUGAGAUAUGGCAAAUGGACGUCAAAACGGCUUUCCUUAACGGGCAUCUUAAGGAAGAACUGUAUAUGAUGCAGCCGGAAGGUUUUGUCGAUCCUAAGAACGCUAACAAAGUAUGCAAGCUCCAGCGAUCCAUUUAUGGGCUGGUGCAAGCAUCUCGGAGUUGGAAUAUUCGCUUUGAUGAGAUGAUCAAAGCGUUUGGGUUUAUGCAGACUUAUGGAGAAGCCUGCAUUUACAAGAAAGUGAGUGGGAGCUCUGUAGCAUUUCUCAUAUUAUAUGUAGAUGACAUACUCUUGAUGGGAAAUGAUAUAGAACUUUUGGACAGCAUUAAGGCCUACUUGAAUAAGUGUUUUUCAAUGAAGGACCUUGGAGAAGCUGCUUAUAUAUUAGGCAUUAAGAUCUAUAGAGAUAGAUCGAGACGCCUCAUAGGUCUUUCACAAAGCACAUACCUUGAUAAGAUUUUGAAGAAGUUCAAAAUGGAUCAGUCCAAGAAGGGAUUCUUGCCUGUAUUGCAAGGUGUGAGAUUGAGCUCGGCUCAAUGCCCGACCACGGCAAAAGAUAAAGAAGAGAUGAGUGUCAUCCCCUAUGCUUCAGCCAUAGGAUCUAUUAUGUAUGCCAUGCUAUGUACCAGACCUGAUGUAAACCUUGCCGUAAGUUUGGUAGGAAGGUACCAAAGUAAUCCCGGCAAGGAACACCGGACAGCGGUCAAGAAUAUCCUAAAGUACCUGAAAAGGAAAAAGGACAUGUUUCUCGUUUAUGGAGGUGACGAAGAGCUUGUCAUAAAGGGUUACGUCGACGCUAGCUUCGACACAGAUCUGGAUGACUCUAAGUCACAAACUGGAUACGUGUAUAUGUUGAAUGGUGGAGCAGUAAGCUGGUGCAGCUGCAAGCAGAGCGUAGUGGCGGGAUCUACAUGUGAAGCAGAGUACAUGGCAGUCUCGAAGGCAGCGCAUGAAGCUAUUUGGGUGAAGGAGUUCAUCACCGACCUAGGAGCCGAUCAAACUCUUCUAUGACAACACUGGAGCUAUUGCACUUGCCAAGGAGCCCAGGUUUCACAAGAAGACCAGGCACAUCAAGCAUCGUUUCAACUCCAUCCGUGAAAAUGUUCAAGAUGGAGACAUAGAUAUUUGCAAAGUACAUACGGAUCUGAAUGUCGCAGAUCUGUUGACUAAACCUCUCUCGCGAGCAAAACAUGAUCAACACCAGAACUCUAUGGGUGUUCGAUUCAUCACAAUGUAACUAGAUUAGUGACUCUAGUGCAAGUGGGAGACUGUUGGAAAUAUGCCCUAGAGGCAAUAAUAAAAGUAUUAUUAUAUUUCAUUGUUCAUGAUAAUUGUCUUUUAUUCAUGCUAUAACUGUAUUAUCCGGAAAUCGUAAUACACGUGUGAAUAAAUAGACCACAAUAUGUCCCUAGUGAGCCUCUAGUUGACUAGCCCGUUGUGAUCAACAGAUAGUCAUGGUUUCCUGGCUAUGGACAUUGGAUGUCGUUGAUAACGGGAUCACAUCAUUAGGAGAAUGAUGUGAUGGCCAAGACCCAAUCCUAAGCAUAGCACAAGAUCGUGUAGUUCGUUUGCUAGAGCUUUUUCAAUGUCAAGUAUCUCUUCCUUAGACCAUGAGAUCGUGUAACUCCCAGAUACCGUAAGAGUGCUUUGGGUGUACCAAACGUCGCAACGUAACCGGGUGACUAUAAAGGUGCACUACAGGUAUCUCCGAAAGUGUCUGUUGGGUUGACACGGAUCGAGACUGGGAUUUGUCACUCCGUAUGACGGAGAGGUAUCUCUGGGCCCACUCGGUAAUGCAUCAUCAUAAUGAGCUCAAUGUGUCCAAGUGGUUGGUCACGGGAUCAUGCAUUACGGUACGAGUAAAGUGACUUGCCGGUAACGAGACUGAACAAGGUAUUGGGAUACCGACGAUCGAGUCUCGGGCAAGUAACAUACCGAUUGACAAAGGGAAUUGUAUACGGGAUUGUUUAAUCCUCGACAUCGUGGUUCAUCCGAUGAAAUCAUCGAGGAGCAUGUGGGAGCCAACAUGGGUAUCCAGAUCCCGCUGUUGGUUAUUGCCCGAGAGUCGUCUCGGUCAUGUUUGCGUGUCUCCCGAACCCGUAGGGUCUACACACUUAAGGUUCGGUGACGCUAGGGUUGUAUGAAUAUGAGUAUGCAGCAUACCAAAUGUUGUUCGGAGUCCCGGAUGAGAUCCCGGACUUCACGAGGAGUUUCGUAAUGGUCCGGAGGUAAAGAAUUAUAUAUAGGAAGUGGUAUUUCGGCCAUCGGGAAAGUUUCGGGGUCACCCGGUAAUGUACCGGGACCACCGGAAGGGUCCCGGGGGUCCACCGGGUGGGGCCACCCAUCCCAGAGGGCCCCAUGGGCUGAAGUGGGAGGGGAGCCAGCCCAUAGUGGGCUGGUGCGCCCCCCUAGGCCCACCCCCUGCGCCUAGGGUUGAAACCCUAGGGUGGAGGGGCGCACCACAUGCCUUGGGGGGGCACUCCUCCCCCCUUAGCCGCCGCCACCUUGGGAGAUUCAAUCUCCCAGGGCCGGCGCCCCCCAAGGGGCCUAUAUAAAGGACGGCAGGGGGGAGGGCAGCCGUACCCUUGUGCUUGGCGCCUCCCUCCCCCUGCUACACCUCGUCCUCCUCCCGUAGUCACUUGGCGAAGCCCUGCUGGAGUUCUGCUGCAACCACCAACACGCCGUCGUGCUGCUGGAUCAUCAUCAACCUCUCCUUCCCCCUUGCUGGAUCAAGAAGGAGGUGACGUCUCCCGUCCCGUACGUGUGUUGAACGCGGAGGUGCUGUCCGUUCAGCACUUGGUCAUCGGUGAUCCGAAUCACGGCGAGUACGACUCCAUCAUCACCAUCCCCUUGAACGCUUCCGCACUCGAUCUACAAGUGGUAUGUAGAUGCAAUCUCUCUCCCAUGACUCGUUGCUUAGAUGAACUCAUAGAUGGAUCUUGGUGAAACCGUAGGAAAUUUUUUAAUUUUCUGCAACGUUCCCCAACAUGUUUUAUUUUAGUGCUUUCCUAUUGUGCCCUCUGUGUCGCGCAAGCGUGAAGGAUUCCCGCUGUAGGGUGUUGCAAUGCGUUGAUGAUUCGCUUAUAGUGGGUUGCUUGAGUGACAGAAGCAUAAAACCCAGUAAGGGGGUUGUGGUGUAUGGGAUAAAUGGGACUUGAUGCUUUAAUGCUAUGGUUGGGUUUUACCUUAAUGAUCUCUAGUAGUUGCGGAUGCUUGCUAGAGUUCCAAUCAUAAGUGCAUAUGAGCCAAGAAGAUAAAGUAUGUUAGCUUAUGCCUCUCCCUCAUAUGAAAUUGCAAUGACAACUACCGGUCUUGUUAACAAUUUCCUAGGAUAAUUCCGCACACGAUCCAUCAUUAUUCCACACUCGCUAUUUAUAAUAUUUAGUAAUAUAUUCUAACUCUAUGAUAAUAGUACCUACUUUUAUAUUUAGCUCUCUGAUAUCAUGCAAAGUUAUCCUCUUCAUACCCACAAUGUAGUUUUAUUUUUCGUAUCUAGUUGGAAGCAAACGUUUGGUGUACGUAGAGUCGUAUUAGUGGCAGAUAGGACUUGAGAGAAUAUUGAUCUUACCUUUAGCUCCUUGUGGGUUCGACACUCCAUACUUAUCACCUCCACCUUUGGAAAUUGCUACGAUGAUUCCCUGCACUUGGGGAUUAUCAAGCUCUUUUCUGGCACCGUUGUCAGGGAGCAAUAGCGUGGGGUUGAUAUUCUCGUGUGUGCUUGUUUGCUUUGUUCACUAAGUAGAUUUUGUUUUUCCUUUUUGUUUCUAUUUACUUGUGGGUGAAACAUACAAAAAAAAUUAAAGAAUGAAAAUGCAAAAAAUAUUACUUGCCUCUCAUGCCUAAAAAAAGUUUUUCAAAAAGAGAAGUGAUUGGAAAGUUAUGCAUUGAAGAAGUGAGGUCGACCUUGAGCACUUGUGUUCAUGCUCACGGAAACAAUGUAGAAAUUUUCAUUGAAGUUUCUCUGUAAAUAAUUAUCCCCUUGUAUAUAUCCAUUGUAUUAUAAAAAUAAUGUGCCAAACUUUGGUUUUAGGAUGAUUAGAUUGCUUGUUUACUAUGUGCAGAACAAAAAUAGAAACUUUGGCUGUAGUGCGUGAUUUCACAUUUUUUACUGGAAGGUCAAAUGGGUCUAAAACUUUUUGAAUAUUACUUCCGUACAAAUUUUUCAAAUUUUCAUAUUUAUUUCAUAAUUUUUGGAGUUACAGAGGUUUACUAAACUUUCAGAUUACUACAAACUGUCCUGUUUUCGACAGAUUCUGUUUUUCGCGUGAUGUUGGCUUAUUUUGAUGAAUCUAUGGCUAGUAUCGGGGGGUAUGAACCAUAAAGAAGUUGGAAUACAUUAGGUUUAACAACAAUAUAAAUAAAGAAUGAGUUAAAUUACAGUACCUUAAAGUGGUAGUUUGCUUUAUUACAAUAACGGAUAUCACAAAGUUUUUGUUUAAGUUUUUGUGAAUGAAGUGUUCGAAGAACGAGGAGUUACCGAUGUGACAAGAAUAAAGAGAGGCAAGAAUUCAAGCUUGGGGAUACCUAAGGCACCCCAAGUAAAUAUUUCAAAGGAUACUCAAGCAUCUAAGCUUGGGGAUGCCCCGGUUAGCAUCCCAUCUUUCUUCUGCAACAAAUUUCGGUAUACCUUGGUUUUUGUUUUGUUCACAUGAUUUGUGUCCUUUGUGUUUUUGUUUCUUUAAGAACCAUGGUAGUAUGUGAUAUCCCUUCAUUGAUUUAUAGAAUACUUCAUGUGCUUCACUUAUAUCCUUUAAGUAUGAUUUUAUGGAAUUGCUCUUUGUGCUUCACUUAAAUCGUUUGAGUAUGGUUUUAUAGAAUGCCUCGUGUGCUUCACUUACAUAUUUUGAGCUUGGAUAUUGGUUAGUCUAUAUUAAUUGUAGAAUGCUCAAUGAACUUCACUUAUAUCUUUUGGAGUAUGAAUAAUACUAUCAUCUAAAGUGGGUUUGGAAGAGUGUCAACUUUAGUAAUUAGUGAUCCCACUAUUCCGAAUGAGAAGAAUGCUUUAUGUGAUGGUUAUAUUGUUGAAUUCAUUCAUGAUGCUACUAAAAAUUAUUAUGAGGAAGGAAUUUAUUCAUCGACAUGGACGAUGCCUAUCCCGCAUCCUCGUCGUCGAGUCGGCGGAGGACGACACCUGCUUGACCAGAUCGGCCAUGUCCGGGACUGGGCUCCGCCGGGGUGGUACCUUAAAGUGGUAGUUUGCUUUAUUACAAUAACGGAUCUCACAAUGUUUUUGUUUAAGUUUUUGUGAAUGAAGUGUUCAAAGAACGAGGAGUUACCGAUGUGACAAGAAUAAAGAGAGGCAAGAAUUCAAGCUUGGGGAUGCCUAAGGCACCCCAAGUAAAUAUUUCAAAGGAUACUCAAGCAUUUAAGCUUGGGGAUGCCCCAGUUGGCAUCCCAUCUUUCCUCUGCAACAAAUUUCGGUAUACCUCGGUUUUUGUUUUGUUCACAUGAUUUGUGUCCUUUGUGUUUUUGUUUCUUUAAGAACCAUGGUAGUAUGUGAUAUCCCUUCAUUGAUUUAUAGAAUACUUCAUGUGCUUCACUUAUAUCCUUUAAGUAUGAUUUUAUAGAAUUGCUCUUUGUGCUUCACUUAAAUCGUUUGAGUAUGGUUUUAUAGAAUGCCUUGUGUGCUUCACUUACAUAUUUUGAGCUUGGAUAUUGGUUAGUCUAUAUUAAUUGUAGAAUGCUCAAUGAACUUCACUUAUAUCUUUUGGAGUAUGAAUAAUACUAUCAUCUAAAGUGGGUUUGGAAGAGUGUCAACUUUAGGAAUUAGUGAUCCCACUAUUCCGAAUGAGAAGAAUGCUUUAUGUGAUGGUUAUAUUGUUGAAUUCAUUCAUGAUGCUACUAAAAAUUAUUAUGAGGGAGGAAUUUAUUCAUUGAUGUGGACGAUGCCUAUCCCGCAUCCUCGUCGUCGAGUCGGCGGAGGUCGACACCUGCUUGACCAGAUCGGCCAUGUCCGGGACUGGGCUCCGCCGGGGUGGUACCUUAAAGUGGUAGUUUGCUUUAUUACAAUAACGGAUCUCACAAAGUUUUUGUUUAAGUUUUUGUGAAUGAAGUGUUCGAAGAACGAGGAGUUACCGAUGUGACAAGAAUAAAGAGAGGCAAGAAUUCAAGCUUGGGGAUGCCUAAGGCACCCCAAGUAAAUAUUUCAAAGGAUACUCAAGCAUCUAAGCUUGGGGAUGCCCCGGUUGGCAUCCCAUCUUUCCUCUGCAACAAAUUUCGGUAUACCUCGGUUUUUGUUUUGUUCACAUGAUUUGUGUCCUUUGUGUUUUUGUUUCUUUAAGAACCAUGGUAGUAUGUGAUAUCCCUUCAUUGAUUUAUAGAAUACUUCAUGUGCUUCACUUAUAUCCUUUAAGUAUGAUUUUAUAGAAUUGCUCUUUGUGCUUCACUUAAAUCGUUUGAGUAUGGUUUUAUAGAAUGCCUCGUGUGCUUCACUUACAUAUUUUGAGCUUGGAUAUUGGUUAGUCUAUAUUAAUUGUAGAAUGCUCAAUGAACUUCACUUAUAUCUUUUGUAGUAUGAAUAAUACUAUCAUCUAAAGUGGGUUCGGAAGAGUGUCAACUUUAGGAAUUAGUGAUCCCACUAUUCCGAAUGAGAAGAAUGCUUUAUGUGAUGGUUAUAUUGUUGAAUUCAUUCAUGAUGCUACUAAAAAUUAUUAUGAGGGAGGAAUAUAUGCUUAUAGGAGUUGCAAUAAUACCAAAUUUCCUCUCUAUGUGCUAAAAGUUUUGAAGUUAUACUUGUUUUUCCUUCCUAUGCUAGUUGACUCUUGUUCCUAUAAAUUCAUUGAAAGUUCCAUAUGCUUAUAACAUGGUGAGUAAUGACUUCACACAUAAUAAGUAUAGUUAGUAAACUCAUUGAAAGUUAGCAAACGUAGAAUUGGUCACUUGAACAAUUCAUGAAAGAAUAUUGAAGGAAGAGAGGAUUUCACAUAUAAAUAUACUAUCUUGGACAUCUUUUGUAAUUGUGAGCACUCAUUAAAUAUAAACAUGCUAAAAGUUUUAUGUUGGACAAGGAAGACAAUGUAAUGGGUUAUGUUUUCUUAUAUCCGAAAUAAAGUAUAUUAUCAUGGAUCAUCCAACAUGCUGAGCUUGCCUUUCUUCCACAUUCUAUCCAAAUUAUUUGCACCAAGUAAGAGAUAUGUCGGUGCGAGGACGACUCCUAUGGGAUCACAAGAAUCCCUACUACGGUUGCGGGGCGCGGGGUCGUGAGAAGAGCGGAUCAAACAGAUAGCACACGGGUCCUUUAUCCAGGUUCGGGCCGCGAGGUUGCAUAAAACCCUACUCCUGCUUUGGUGGUUUGUUUAUUUGUGUUCUUGGGCUAGCAAUGGGGCGUGAGGAGAUCCAAAAAGCCGAAUCCUCCUCCUGGUCGCCUUGGGCCUCCUUUUAUAGGGAAAGGGGUUGCCACAGUGGCACACAGGAGGUGGAAAGGGUACAGUGAUACGAGUUUAUCCCUCACAUUACAUGACAAGGCGCAUUUAAUGCGUCUCGCUUAGGUGUCCCUUCUUUAUCGGGGACGGGGGAGAGCCCAGUCUCGUCCGUCGCCCCUCCCUUUUGUGUCGACACGCGCCCUGGCCAGCGGUGCCCGUGGUGCCAUGUAGGCAGGCAGGCAGCUGAGGUGGCGCAGCUGUGGAUCUCCACGAGGAUUCGCUUGCCGCCACGCAGGUGCCUGCCCAAUUGGUUGGGUCGGCAGCUGCAUGCAAACGGCGGUGGAGGUUUGGAUUGGCGUGGGCCCGAUGGUGGCCCUACGGGUGUCCUUGGUAAGGGCCUUGUCGUAGCCCCGAUAAGGGUCUUGCCGGGGCCCCGGCAAGGGUCUUGCCGUCGCGCCUGCUGUCAUCCCCGACAAGGCUCUUGCUGGGGGCCUUGUGGUCCUCCUUGGCUGGGAUCCCGCCAAGGGUCGUCAUCUUCUAUAGUGUGUAUAUAAUCUUGAAUGUCUUCACAAAGAUCUGCAUGCCGCCACGGGGAUGUCUCCCGAAUCCUUGCCCCAUGGGGGCAGUGGACUCAAGGGUGAUUUGCUCCGUAGGUGUGGGGCGAGCUACCACGGCAAGGGUCUUGACGGGGUUGCUAAAACCGCCCCCGACAAGGAUCUUGCCGGGGGAGUCCGCUUCGUCCCCUUUGCUCUUUGUGGUCUUCGUCUUGGCGUCGUUCUGCUCCUUUCGAGCUUCGGCCUUACCUUGGCUCACCUCCCUCGCCUUGCUCAUUGUGGUGGUGUCCGUGGCUCAGACUGCCUGUGCACAGUUAUAGGGGUACAAAAAGUGUACCCCUCUUUUUGUACACCGACAAGAUACUACUUGUGCUUCCAAAUAUCCUUAAACCCUGUUUUGCCAUGAGAUUCCAACAUACCUACCUAUGGAUUGAGUAAGAUCCUUCAAGUAAGUUGUCACCGGUGCAUGCAAUGAAAAUUGUUCUCUAAAUAUGUAUGAUCUAUUAGUGUGGAGAAAAUAAGCUUUAUACAAUCUUGAGAUGAGGAAGCAAUAAAAGCGACGGACUGCAUAAUAAAGGUCCCUAUCACAAGUGGCAGUAUAAAGUGACGUUCUUUUGCAUUAAGAUUUUGUGCAUCCAACCUUAAAAGAGCAUGACAACCUCUACUUCCCUCUGCAAAGGGCCUAUCUUUUAUUCUUGUCUUAUACCUUAUACAAGAGUCAUGGUGAUCUUCACCUUUCCUUUUUACAUUUUAUCCUUUGGCAAGCACAUCGUGUUGGAAAGAUCCUGAUACAUAUAUCCAAUUGGAUGUAAGUUAUCAUGAACUAUUAUUGUUGACAUUACCCUUGAGGUAAAAGGUUGGGAGGCAAAACUAUAAGCCCCUAUCUUUCUCUGUGUCCGAUUAAAGCUUUGAACCCAUAAAUAUCACGUGAGUGUUAGCAAUUGUGAAAGAUUAAAUGAUAGUUGAGUAUGUGGAGUUUGCUAAAUCAAAGCUCUGACAUAGACCCUUCCUGAAAAUAAGAUGAACAGCAAUUGUUUGAUGACUAAGAGCACUGUUUGUUAGUUUUUAAGAAAGUUUAUGAUGUAUACUUUAAUAUGUAAAUAGUUUGUUACUUGACUAUGAAAAGUUUUAUGAGAUGAGCUACUGUUAUGACAUACGAUGAUGCUAGAAAAGGUGAUUGAAAUUAUCAUUGAUCAAACUUGUGCACCUGCCAGCAUUUAAACUUCAUAAAGUAUUUCUUUUAUCAUUUACCUACUCGACGACGAGCAGGAAUUAAGCUUGGCGAUGCUGAUACGUCUCCAAUGUAUCUAUAAUUUAUGAAGUAUUCAUGCUAUUAUAUUAUCCAUCGUAGAUGUUUUAUAUGCAUUUACAUUCUAUUUUAUAUGAUUUUUGGGACUAACCUAUUGCUACGUCUUGAGCUUGCGUUGGUUUUCCUCGAAGAGGAGAGGGUGAUGCAGCAAGUGUAGCGUAAGUAUUUCCCUCAGUUUUGAGAACCAAGGUAUCAAUCCAGUAGAAGGCUCCUCAAAAGUCCCACGCACCUACACAAACAAACUGAGAACUCGCAACCAACGCAAUAAAGGGGUUGUCAAUCCCUUCACGGCCACUUGCGAAAGUGAGAUCUAAUAAAGAUAGUAUGAUAAGAUAAAUAUAUUUUUGGUAUUUUAUAAUAUAGAUGCAAAAAGUAAAGAUGCAAAUAAAAGUAGAUUGAAAGCAAAUAUGAUAAGAGAUAGACCCCGGGGCCAUAGGUUUCACUAGUGGCUUCUCUCAACAUAGCAUAAGUAUUACGGUGGGUGAACAAAUUACUGUCGAGCAAUUGAUAGAAAAGCGCAUAGUUAUGAGAUUAUCUAGGCAUGAUCAUGUAUAUAGGCAUCACGUCCAUAACAAGUAGACCGACUCCUGCCUGCAUCUACUACUACUACUCCACACAUCGACCGCUAUCCGGCAUGCAUCUAGAGUAUUAAGUUCAUAGGAACAGAGUAAUGCAUUAAGCAAGAUGACAUGAUUUAGAGGGAUAAACUCAUGUAAUAUGAUAUAAACCCCAUCUUGUUAUCCUCGAUGGCAACAAUACAAUACGUGCCUUUCAACCCUUUCUGUCACUAGGUAAGGACACCGCAAGAUUGAACCCAAAGCUAAGCACUUCUCCCAUGGCAAGAAAGACCAAUCUAGUAGGACAAACCAAACUGAUAAUUCGAAGAGACUUGCAAAGAUAACUCAAUCAUACAUAAAAGAAUUCAGAGAAGAUUCAAAUAUUAUUCAUGGAUAAACUUGAUCAUAAACCCACAAUUCAUCGGAUCUCGACAAACACACCGCAAAAAGAGUUUACAUCGAAUAGAUCUCCACAAGAGAGGGGGAGAACAUUGUAUUUAGAUCCAAAAAGAGAGAAGAAGCCAUCUAGCUAAUAACUAUGGACCCGUAGGUCUGUGGUAAAGUACUCACAACUCAUCGGAGGGGCAAGGAUGUUGAUGUAGAGGCCCUCCAUGGUCGAUUCCCCCUCCGGCAGAGUGCCGGCAAAGGCUACAAGAUGGGAUCUCGCGGAUACAGAAGGUUACGGUGGUGGAAAUUGUGUUUCGUGGUGCCCCUGAAUGUUUUCGGGGUACGUAGGUAUAUAUAGGAGGAAGAAGUACGUCGGUGGCUGCCCGAGGGGCCCAUGAGACAGGGGGCGCGCCCUACAGGGGGGCGGCCUCCUAUCUCGUGGAGCCCUCGGCUGCUUCUUGACUUGCACUCCAAGCUCUCCAGAUCACGUUGGUUCCAAAAAUCACGCUCUCGAAGGUUUUAUUCCAUUUGGACUCCGUUUGAUAUUCCUUUUUUCGAAAUACUGAAAUAGGCAAAAAAAACAGCAAUAUGGGUUGGGCCUCCGGUUAGUAGGUUAGUCCCAAAAAUGAUAUAAAUGUGUAAAAUAAAGCCCAUAAACAUCCAAAAGAGGUAAUAUAAUAGCAUGGGACAAUAAAAAUUGUAGAUACGUUGGAGACGUAUCAAGCAUCCUCAAGCUUAAUUCCUGCUCGUCCUCGAGUAGGUAAAUGAUAAAAAAGAAAUUUCUGAUGUGGGAUGCUACCUAGCAUAAUUCUCAAUGUAAUUUUCUUUAUUGUGGCUUGAAUGUUCAGAUCCAAAUGAUUAAAAAUAAAAGUUUAUAAAACAUAAAAAUAAUAAUGCUUCAAAGCAUACUAACAAAUAAUCAUGUCCUAUCAAAAUAACAUAGCCAAAGAAAGCUUAUCCCUACAAAAUCAUAUGGUUAGGGCAUGCUUCAUUUUCAUUACACAAAAUACUCCCAUCAUGCACAACUCCGAUGACGUGCCGAGCAAUUGUUUCAUACUUUUUAACGCGCUUCAGCUUUUUCAACUCUUACGCAAUACAUGAGCGUAAGCCAUGGACAUAACACUAUGGUGGUAUAUGGUGGUGGUUGUGAGGACAAAAAGGGAGAAGAUAGUCUCACAUCAACUAGGCAUAUCAAUGGGCUAUAUAGAGAUGCCCAUCAAUAGAUAUCAAUGUGAGUGAAUAGGGAUUGCCAUGCAACGGAUGCACUAGAGCUAUAAAUAUAUGAAAGCUCAACAAAAGAAACUAAGUGGGUGUGCAUCCAACUUGCUUGCUCACGAAGACCUAGGGCAUUUUGAGGAAGCCCAUCAUUGGAAUAUACAAGCCAAGUUCUAUAAUGAAAAAUUCCCACUUAGUAUAUGAAAGUGACAACAUAGGAGACUCUCUAUCAUGAAGAUCAUGGUGCUACUUUGAAGCACAAGUGUGGAAAAAGACAUAGUAGCAUUGUCCCUUAUCUCUUUUUCUCUCAUUUUUUUCUUUUUUUCUUUGGCCUUUCUUUUUUUCCUUUUUUUUUCUUUGGCCUUUCUUUUUUUUCUUUUUGGCCUUUCUCUUCUUUUUUCUCAUUUUUUCUUUUUGUAAAGUCCAAAGUCUCAUCCCGACUUGUGGGGGAAUCAUAGCCUUCAUCAUCCUUUCCUCACUAGGACAAUGCUCUAAUAAUGAAGAUCAUCACACUUCUUUGGAUUUACAACUCAAGAAUUACAACUCAAAGCUAGAACACGAUAUGACUCUAUAUGAAUGCCUCCGGCGGUGUACCGGGAUAUGCAAUGAAUCAAGAGCGACACGUAUGAAAAUUAUGAAGGUGGCCUUGCCACAAAUACGAUGUCAACUACAUGAUCAUGCAAAGAGCAAUAUGACAAUGAUGGAAUGUGUCAUAAUAAAUGAAAUGGUGGAAAGUUGCAUAGCAAUAUAUCUCGGAAUGGCUAUAGAAAUGCCAUAAUAGGUAGGUAUGGUGGCUUUUUUGAGUAAGGUAAAUAAGGGGUUUAUGAUAACGAUGAAAGUUGCGCGGUAAUAAUAAAGGCUAGCAACGUAAAAAGGAUGAGUGUGCCUAUGUCCAUGGACUAACAUUAGUCAAAAGAGAACUUAUAUACUUAUUGCAAAAGCCUACUUAGCCCUCAAAGCAAAGUACUACUACGCAUGCCCCAAGAGGGAUAGAUUGGUAGGAAAAUACCAUCGCUCGUCCCCGACUGCCACUCAUAAGGAAGACACUCAAAAGCGCACCUCAUGUAACAAAUUUGUCACACAACUUUUACCAUAUGUGCAUGCUACGGGGCUUGCCAACUUCAACAAAAGUAUUUCUCAAUUUCAUAAUUAUGCACUAGCAUGACCGUAACAUUACUACCUUUAUAUCUCAAAACAAUUAUCAAGCAUCAAGUUGAUCAUAGCAUCCAAUUCUUAUUCUAUGAUAGUUUUUAUUAUACCCAACUUGGAUGCUCAUCAUUCUAGGACCAACUUUAUGACCAUAGCAAAUACCACGCUGUUCUAAAAGACUCUCAAAAAGAUAUAAGUGAAGCAUGAGAGACUAGCAAUUUCUUCAAAAUUAAGACACCACCAUGCUCUAAAAGAUAUAAGUGAAGCACUAGAGCAAAAACUAUGAAGCUCAAAAGAUAUAAGUGAACCACAUAGAGUAUUCUAGCAAAUUCUAAUCAAAUAGGCUUCUCCCAAAAGGUGUGUACAGCAAGGAUGAUUGUGAUAAACUAAAAAGCAAAGACUAAUAUAAUACAAGACGCUCCAAGCAAAACACAUAUCAUGUAGCGAAUAAAAAUAUAGCUCCAAGUAAAGCUACCUAUGGAUGAAGACGAAAGAGGGGAUGCCUUCCCGGGGCAUCCCCAAGCUUAGGCUUUUGGCUAUUAUUGAAUAUCUUGGGGUGCCUUGGGCAUCCCCAAGCUUAGGCUCUUGCCACCCUUUAUUCCAUAGUCCAUAAAAGAUUUACCCAAAACUUGAAAACUUCACAACACAAAACUCAACAGGAAAUCUUAUAAGCUCCGUUAGUGAAAGAAAAUAAAACCACCACAUAAGGUACUGCAAUGAACUCAUUCUUUAUUUAUUUUGGUGUUAAACCUACUGUAUUACAACUUCCUUAUGGUUUAUAAACUAAUUUACUAGCCAUAGAUGCAUUGAAAUAAGCAAACAACACACGGAAAACAGAAUCUGUCAAAAACAGAACAGUCUGUAGCAAUCUGUAACUAACGCAAACUUCUGGAACUCUAAAAAUCCUACCAAAAUAGUAAGUCCUGGAAAAUUUGUUUAUUGAACAUAAGCAAAAAGAAUCAACACAAAAGCACGUUCCUGUGAUUUAACAAAAUUAUAUUCGUGCAUGCAAAGUUUCUGUUUUUCAGCAGAAUCAAAUCAACGAUCAUCGUUGGUUAUCCUAUAGGUUCUACUUGGCACAAACACUAGUUAAAAGUAAAAACACAUCUAAACAGAAGGUAGAUGCAAGAUUUAUUACUAAACAGGAGAAAAAACAAAAAACAUAAAAAAAUUGGGUUGCCUCCCAACUAGCACUAUCGUUUAACGCCCCUAGCUAGGCAUAAAAGCAAAGAUAGAUCUAAGGAGUGCCAUCUUUGGCACUAGAUUCGUAAGUAGCACACAUGAUAGAUUCAUAAGGUAAUUUGAAUUUCUUUCUUGGAAAGUGCUCCAUGCCUUUCUUUAAUGGAAACUGGAAUCUAAUAUUCCCUUCCUUCAUAUCAAUAAUCGCACCAAUCGUCCUAAGGAAAGGUCUACCAAGAAUAAUAGGGCAAGAAAGAUUGCAAUCUAUAUCAAGAACGAUAAAAUCACUACUAGGAAAAGGCCUACUAAUGGCGCACCGGUUUUGCCUACUAAUGGCGCACUACCGGUGCGCCAUUAGUACGACGCCACUAGUAUUUUUUUACUAAUGGCGCACCACUGGUGCGCCAUUAGUAUCUGGUAUACUAAUGGCGCACCAGGCAGUGCGCCAUUAGUAUGUAACACCAUGCGCCAUUAGUAUGCCUCCCGGGGGCCAUAUGUAACCAUCUGCUUUGUCAUACUAAUGGCGCACUCUGCCUUGAUGCGCCAUUAGUAUCCUUUGGCAUACUAAUGGCGCACCCUGUGGUAACGCGCCGUUAGUAUGAAUAUUUGUUUUUUUUUUACUUUUCUGGUUUUUGCACAGGUUACAAAAUAUAUUAUUGGACAGAAUAUAGACAGCAGCACAUAGCAACAGCAGAUUCAUCGAAUACAAUAGAAGAUUAGUCUCCGAAUACAAUUCACCAUAUUAGUCUCCGAAUUCAAAAGACCGAACAAAGAUAAAACAUUACAAGUCUCAAGACCGCGAGUAUCGAGUUUGUCUUCACACUACAAGUCGAUAUCGAUCAUCUAAACUACCAUCACAUAAAAGAGAGAUGCGGUCAUCACGAUGAGCAUCAUCGCAAUCAAACUGGUCUUCAUCCGGUUCCUCCAAUGCUCCCUCCUCUCUCCCGCUAGAUAGCGGGCGUAUCUAGAUUCGGCCUCCGCCCUAGUGGUGUACCCUUUGUAACUAUUACCGCUAAAUGGUGAACCUGUCUCCGACACUCCUCCCAAUCAUCGUAGACUCCGGGAACCUUACCCUUGUACACGACAUACGACGACAUCUCUAUGCACAAGCCAAACAACAGACAAUACAUAAGCAAUAUGUAAGUAUGCAACAAAAGGAUCGGAAGAGAAAAGCAAGACAUUAAUAGCACGAUUCAUGGUCCUACUAAUAAAUAGCAUCGAUUACAUCUAAGUUGAACGACUGUCCAAACCAAAGAGACAUACGAAUUCAUUAAAGUUUAAUUACAACAUGAGCCAAUCAAUGUUUCAGAACUACACAUCACUACUUUCGUCUCGACUCAUCGGACAGGAGCGUGGAUGAAGCCACCAUCUGUCGUGAUGGUCAUGAAAUCGCGGUCGUUGUCACCCUGCAUUUGUAGCGUUCCAUCUCUAUCUCAUUGUUGGACGGUUGAUAUCUGAGGUAGAACUGCCCCGAGGAAUGAAGGACAUCUUGAUGGAUGAUGUCCGCAAACUCUGACUGGAUGCGAAAGAAUUAUUGUCUGAGGUCCGCGUCCUGGAUUGCCAACAAGUUCGCGGCGCAAUCUUUGAGAUUAUCUGGUAGCAGAAGGUGAUGAUGGUCCCUUACGAUCGCCCGCAUGUGAUGGAGGGCGUAGUAGGCAUCCUUCUGACUGCCAGGCGGCUGCUUGACAUAGCAGAACUUCGUAUUGUGUGAGAAGGUGUGCUUGCCGUACUUACGAACUGCCCUGGUGAAGGUGCCUCCAGAUUUGGCGUAGCCGGGGAGAACAUCAUCAAGAACUUUCUUGACAUUUGUGUAGUCUAUCUUGGAGUUACGGUUUGGGUCGAAAUACGUGGCUAUGGAAUAUUUCAGGCUUAAGAGGAUGAGUGUGCAGUGCGUGUCACUGCACAGAACACGGAAUGUUAGAAAAAGAAAUGAUCGAAAUCUAAGAAAUCAUAUGUUACGGGGCGAUUAAGGGAUGACUUACUCGGGAAAGUAAGCCGAAAGGAAGUUAUCCUUAUCUGGGUUUCCCAGAAUGACGCCUUCGAGGUGUGAACUCGCAACUUGGCGGUCGCCAGCGCUGCUCAAGUGCUUGGCACGCAUUUAGAAGGGGUCGACUAUCACGAUGUCCGGGGUCUUGUCUCUAAUGAUCCACAUCUCCAUACUCAGCGAAAACAGCCGAACGAAGGUGUAGUGCAGCGGAUGAAGGUUAAACAUAGCAAAGAUGUCAUCAAACCGCAGGACGAUCGUACCCCCGAUGUUGCCAUCCACAAAGCCCUUGCCCUCUAGCACCUUGGCCACGAAAACCGGGUAUGCCACAUCAUUCUCUUUGAGAUGCCGCUUCUCCAAAGAAAGAACACUGUCGUGCAGACUCCGCAUAGCACCGGUUGCAGCAUUGAGCAUAUUUGGCGGUAGCAUCGCCCUACCCGCCACAUGCACCCUCCUCGAGAUAUCCUUAGGAGAAGGUGGCCCGUCCUGAGCACGGAUUGAACUCGCUGCCGGCUGGCUCGCACCGGCGCCCUUGUUAGUCUUUCGUUUCCGUCCCUUCUUCUUAAUCUUCUGUAAUGGGAGCGAGUUCUGCUCACAGGCCGCCUUCUUGAGCGUGUUGGGGCUGAUAAUAUUUCACACCUCAGCUAUCUAAGGCUCGGUGAAGGCGGGAGCUGGAGGCGUCUCCUGAGAACUGAAUGCCAGACGAUGCCUGUUGCAAUUGGAUUUCUCCGCCGUACCAGCUAGAUUGCGGUUGUCUUGGUUGGGUUCUUGAGAAAGAGCCCGCAGAACUCGUCAUCGUACCCAUGUUCGGCAAAGUACUUAUCGACUUUGGUAAAUGUACCAUCGUCGUUGUUGUCGUCGUCCGGAUCCUGUGCCAUAGGGAUGUCCGUAUCCUGUGCCAUAGGGAUGUCCGGCACAGGGAUGUCCGGCAGGUCCGGUAGCGUUGCGGCGUUCUUGCCAUGGCUUGGCACCGGCACGACUGGCGGUCUUGUCCGUGGGGUGGUGUCCCCCGCCCCCAAACGAAUCUGGCUCUUCGGCCAAAGCAGGGGCCAGUAUACGCAGGCGGCGCUGAGGGUCAUCUCAUCUUCUUCGUCGGCCCCAGCGGGUCGAAUCGGAGGUAACAGCUCGUCGCAGCCUGGCAGCACCUGAACCACUUUAACCCUAUACACUGUGGGUGGCAUCGGAUUACCGUGGAACAUGGGGUUACCCGGUUGAAUGAUUCUGCCCUUGGCGACAUCGACCAACUCGGCGCCCACGAAGUGCAGAAGAGUGCAAGGAACGUCGGCGGCGCCCUGCGAAAACAUGUACAGGGCGUCAGAGAUGCCCAGUCAAAGGCAAGGAGAUGAAGUCAUUGGCCGAGAGGCUUAGUUAUCAUGAUGCCGUCGAGCUCGGCUAAUGUCGAGGCACCGCCAACGGCGGGCGUGCAACUGACGGAGGGGGCGCUUGUUGGCGAGGUGCCGGCCGACGUACACCCGGGUGCAUUAAGCUCCAAUGCCCGUGCCAGCGCCGGCGACACGAAUACCGCCUCCGCCAGAGACACUAAUGGAACCGCCGCCGGAGACACCAAUGGCGCCACCGGAGACACCAAUGGCGCCGCCUGCGCGCUGUGCGAGUUGCUGGCCGUGAAGCUGGGAACCGGGGGAGGCCCCUGUUGGCCGUCCGCAAUCCACGUCGUCAGCCCAUGAAUCAGCGUAGGCACCGUGGCGUUGAGCUUCGUUCCCAGUUGUUGUUCCACUUGCUCUUGGACAAGCUCCGGAAUCCGCGCCAAUUGUGCCUUGAGUGCUUCAACCUCGCGCGUCUGGCUUUCCGAGCUGGUCUUUUUCUCCUUCCGCACACCAGCGGUAUAGUCUGACCCCCAUUUUGUGGACAAGCCUUUGCUGGCCACACGACCAGCUGAUGUCGGCUUAGUGAGCUUAUCCUUGUUUUUCAUUACAUUCAACGCCCUAUUUAAAGGGGUGUCGAAAGGGGAGCUCUGAGACGACCCGCGGUACGGCUUUCAGUGUCCUGCAAAAGGAACAUGAACCAUUUAGAAAUAUUGGGGAUUAAUUAGAGUGCAACCAUAUGGAGCUAAUUAUGCGGGGGUGUAUUCCUUACCAGAACAAGCUCAAGCGCCCUCGUCUUCGAAUCCGUGGUAAGCUCCUUUGUUAUCGGGUCCUCCUUGUACCGGGCACUCACAAAGUUCCUGGUCUGCUUGUCACUGCUGUAUUUCUCGAAGCGGGGCGGUAGGCCUUGCUCGGCACGCUCCGCGUUCUCCUUGUCCCAUAUAGGCUCCGCCACUCUGUAACCGCCGGGACCGAGUUUGUGUUCCCCUAAGUUCAACUCCCGCAUUUCUUUCCCCCACUGAUUUGAUUCGGAGGUUGCACUGCUCUCGCACUUGAUCUUGAACUCCUUGUACUCAUCUUCGCUCAUCAAAGGAUAUUUCGCCUUGAUAUUCUCAUAACUAUCACCUUUAUCAAUCAUUCUCUUCAUCGCGCUUCUACAAGUAGACAUGGUCGUGCUCAUCCUCGUGAGGGUGGCACUGUUGACUUUAUUCCCUGAGAGGCGUGUGUUUUCAAAUUUGGCGGGGAACUUGUAUCGUUCGUGCAGCUUCGUGAAGAGGAGGUUGUGCAAAUUCCCGUGGUCCUUAUGCCUAAGGUUCUCGGUGUUGAUCGAGACGGUGCUCCGGAGAAUGCACCCGAGCUGAAGCGAGUACCCCUUGACUAUAUGUUUGGGCUCCGUUAGAUGCCCGUCGGAGUCCACUUGAGUGAAUUCCUCCUUGAGGGUGCAGAGCGCAUUCGGGCGCCGGUCCUUCCUUUGCUUCUUCGGUUGGCUGCCAUCUAUGUGUGCGCCGCCAUCAUCAGUGGUGGCAUCCUCGGCGGCACCAUCAGUGGUGUCAUCCCUGACGCCACUAGGGGUUGUGUAGUCAGGAUCGGUGUCUUCCGCAGCGUCCUCAUAGCGGUGAGGUUGUUCCUCCAUCUCCUGGGACAGCUCCCAGAAUUGCUUGCUGCCCGAACCGCCGGCCUCAUCGUGGUUGGCCAUGUUUCGCUCUAAAUAGGAAAACAGUUUGGUCAAAAAGUUGGUUAUUGUCAAGGAACAAGAUCAUGGUCUCAUCAUUUAGGGUUUGUCGACACCGAGGCAUCCUAAAAGUUAAGUUUUCAUCAUUUAGGGUUUAUCGAUGCCGAGGCACCCUAGGUUGGGCCUAAUCACUUGGCACUAAUCACUUGGCUCUAUUGCCAGAUACGUUGGGUUUAUCAUCUAGGGUUUAUCGAUGCUGAGGAGAAUUCUAAGUUGGGCCUGAUCACUUGGCUCUAUUGCUACCUAUGGUUUAAUGCAACAAGAAUAAAGGGGCAAUUGAUCCUACUUAAUUAAGUACUAAGAUACCCCGGCCCAUGCAUUAGUAGCAAGUACCCCAUAUGUCCGAUUUUUAGCAAAGUCAUGCUAAAAUUCACGGAAAAUUUCAGCAUGACCUUUGCCGAAAAUAGGACAUAUGGAGUACCCGAAUUUGCCGGAACGGAAGUUAAUCGACAUUCCGGCAAACUCAAGGGCCUCUCGGGGUACAACAGCAGCAUCACAAGUUGAAAAAAUUCCCAAGUAGUACAGCAGCAGCAUCACAAGUAGUACCAAUGAACAUAUAGUCCAGCACAUUCUGAAUUUCGAUAAAUGACAGCAAGUUAACUCAUGCUGACAGCAAUAAACUUAUAACAACAUAAAUGAAAUUGCAGUUCCAAGUGGGUAUGGGAAAUAAUAAAACCAGAUAAAUGAUAGUGUUUGCUCCACUUAACAAAAAUAAAGAAAUGAUUUUGUUCAAUACAUCUGGUAAGCUGCACACUGUCUAAUAUGUGUCAUAAAUGACAAAGCUGCACACUGUCUAAUAUGUGUCAUAAAUGACACUAAGAUCUCAUUACACUCUACAUAUGCAACAUCUAUAGAAAGAGACCAUCAUUAAUAUUCGGGUACUAUCACAAAAAUCAGUGUUAGGCGUGCAAAGAUCCCCCACCACAUCCUCGAGAGGUUUUGCAGUGUGGACUAGUCAUAUUUUUCCUUGAAAUCUAAGUGCAAUAUGUCUGUCUUGUUGCUAACUGAAUUUACAGUAUCUAAGUGGUCCCUAAAUUCUACAGUAUUUAUGUUCAUGACUUUACUAAACUAUGGUAUCUUUCUUAACAGUGCCUUGAUCUAAUUAGUUGUACUUUAGCUCCAUAUAGUUAUGUGUAAUUUGUUCCUUGAUUUUCUGUCAUCUCUGAAUUUUGCUGUUCCUGUGCUUGCUGCUCCUUGAUUCACACAUGUAUAGGAGGUACAAGAGGUUAAAUUGAAUCCAAUGUUAUAUGUUUUGAUCUCCUUUCUGAAUUCCCUUUGUUAUUUUUAACUCAAACAAGUACCCAGAUUUAUCAAGACCUAGUGAGCAUUGUCAGUGUUGGAGAGGGAGUGAUCUGACUAGGUUUAUGUGACUGAUCUUCAUUAACUUUUCUCUCUAACCUUUUUUACAGUCCAAAUGAUAACGAUUUACAGAUUGUAGUAGUUGUCUUUAACACGAUGGAAUCAGCAUCUAGUUUAACCAACCCAAACAAUGCACUAUGCAAUUAUUUUAAAAGCAAUGUUACAAAGUCCUCAAAUGUCUGAAAUUGGAGGCAACACCUUUUACCAUCAGUGUUAGAACAUCUAACAAACUAUCAGAAUUUCUAUAACAGACGCGGAUACUCGUCAAUUAUAGUGUUAUGGACAUGUAUAAAACCUAAAUUUUGUUCACAUGUUAUUCAGAUGAUAGGUGCAUUAGCAUCUUUUGUUUCAGUUUUCUGCUUUCAGUUGAGUAAGCAUAGGUACAUUAGCAUCGCCAUGUUCAGAACUAUAGGUGCUAACAAAAAUGGACUGAAACUUAUAGGAAGAGUGUCCGAGCGCAUUAGGGUCACCAUAUUCAAAAUUCGAUCAUUGUCGAAUCAGAAAUUUAUUUUCUGCUGGUGGACUGAAACUUUUAGCAGAAUAACAAAACUCUAGUGUUCAACUCACUGCAAGAACCACCACCUCUGUGUCAACACAACACCUAAGAGAAAUGCAGCUGGCAACACUGAAGUAGUGGCCAUUGUCAAACGCGUUACAGACUAAUGUCACCACACCGUUGUUCAAACAGUUUCAAAAUUUUCGAACCGUGAUGCCAGCACAAAUAGGUUUCCUAUAUACUGUCAGGGAGAACAAAUCAAUUUUAGCUAGCAGAAAAACAACAACUGCAAGGUUCUCCUGAACCCAUGUCUCACCAUGGAGGGGUGGAGGAGUGGGCACUUGGGCGGUGGCUUCGGGACGGAGGCGCCAUGGGCAGCCGGUGCAGAGGGGCGCGGCGGCGGCUUCCUGUUGUCCCUGCUGCGGCAGAGGGCAGAGGGGCAGCCGGUGCAGAGGGGCGCGGCGGCGUCCGAUGCGUGUGUGCAACCUGCGUGAGGAAGGAAAAUCAAAUGGCGUGAGGGAGGGGAAGGGAGGGGAGGGAAGAAGAGGAAAUCGAAGAUGGUACCUUGGUCCGACGGAGAUGGCAUCACAGUAGUAGAGGAAUAAGGUGAAAUCGAUGUUGGUGGUGGUGACGCCGGUGGUCUGGACGGCCGGGAACACCAGCGCGAAGGGGUCCUGCGGGCGGAGGGGGGACGGCGAGGGAGGCGGCGCUCGGCUCGGCGUCGCGNNNNNNNNNNNNNNNNNNNNNNNNNNNNNNNNNNNNNNNNNNNNNNNNNNNNNNNNNNNNNNNNNNNNNNNNNNNNNNNNNNNNNNNNNNNNNNNNNNNNNNNNNNNNNNNNNNNNNNNNNNNNNNNNNNNNNNNNNNNNNNNNNNNNNNNNNNNNNNNNNNNNNNNNNNNNNNNNNNNNNNNNNNNNNNNNNNNNGGCUCCGAGGUUUCUAGGGUUUCGAGGGGGGAGGCAGGGCUCGGGGGGUAGGCAGCGCUUGAGAGGGGGAGGAAGGGGAGAGGGAGGCGGCGGGGGCGCGUGGGCAGCUGUGGCGCAGUGGGUCGGGGCAGCGGCGGCAGCGACGCGGUGGAGGGAGGGACGAGGGAAGGAGUGGCGCCGUGGAUCGAGGGAGAGGGAUCUGGCGAGGGAGAGGGAAGGGGGAUCGGGCGAAGGGGUAUCCAGCUAGACACUAUAGCAAUGGCGCACCACCCUCUGGUGCGCCAUUAGUAGUUUUUUUUGUGAUAGCAAUGGCGCACCCUCCUCUGGUGCGCCAUUAGUAACUUUUUUUUUCUGACAGCAAUGGAGCACCCACCUAGGGUGCACCAUUAGUAACUUUUUUUUCAUUAUUUCUUGUUGCAUCUAAUAAUUUGUUUUUUAUCAAAUUUGUUAUUUUCAUGAGGACUAGAACAGAAGAUAUCAUCAAAUAUCAUCAAUUUGUUUUUGAAAAUAUCAUCAAUUUUUGUUAAUUGAAAAUAUCAUCAAAUUUGUUAUUUGAAAAUAUCAUCAAAAAGUGGGGGAGGGUGCGGGGUGUCGGCGGCGGCGGUGGAGCGGGGGAGGGUGCGGAGGGUGCUCGGCGGUGGUGGAGCGGGGGAGGGUGCGGGGGGUGCUCGGCGGCGAGGGGGGUCUGGCGAGGGGGAUCGGAUAGCUAUCGAGAGGGAGGGGGAUCGAGAUCGAGUGUCCUCAUGAAUAUUCAAUAUUUUUUCAUAUUGAAUAUGAAAAAAUAUCAUCCAAUUUGAAAAAAUAUUCAUGAAUUCAAAAAGUGCCCAUGAAAUUUGAAAAUAUUCAUGAUACCAAAAAGUGCCCGAGAAAUGAAGACUACGCUUUAAAUACAAUCGAUCUUAGCUAGCUAUCUGUUCACAAUCUUCUUGCCCUUCUUUUUCGCAAAUGGAGUUCUUCUGUGGAACGGACGUCCUUUAGGUAGGGUGGUCCUACUUCUUCUUGUGGUGUGUGCUGCUACUUCAUCGUCGUCGUCAUUUUCGAUCUUCGGGUCGCCAUACUUGUCGAAGUCUUGCUCAUUGGCUACUCCAUCCAUUCCGAUGAUCUUCCUUUUGCCUCUCCUCACGACAACACAACUGGGCUUUGGUGGGUCGGUAAUGAAGAAGCAUUGGUCCACUUGGGAAGCCAGUACCAUGGCUCAUUUUUCGCGGUGACGUUUGCGCCCGCGGUCUUGGAUUUGGCUUCGGGUAUAACCAUGGUGGUGAAAUACCGGUCUUCUUUUAGGACGCUCUUUGCCCAUCUGACACGGAACAUCGGGACCUUCUCUCCAGUGUAGCUCAGCUCCCAGAUCUCCUCGAUCCUUCCGUAGUAUUUGUCCUUGUCGUUACCGGUGUAGGAUUCCAUUGUUACCCCGGAGUUCUGAUAACCAUCGCUCUUCAUGUCCUUGUUCUCGGUGUAGAAUGUGUAGCCGUUGAUAUCGUACGCCUCAUAGGUCAUCAGGUUGUGCUCGGCGCCCUGUGACAAGGCGAAUAUGAGUUGUUCUUCCGCGGAAGAAUCCUCAUGUAAAGGGUACGAUAGAAGCUUCUGCUUCAACCAACGCGUGAAACAUGAGUUGUGCUCUUUGAUUAUAUCUCCGUCCGUCCUCUGUUGGCCUCGGUCAUUGUACGUCUUCUCAAUAAAGGUUUUCUGCUCUACCACCCAAGGAUCGACCACGUCUAUGUGUUGUAGCGCGACUAGGUUUGCUCUUUCAAAGUCGGCGAGUCGACCCUCGAAGUCGACUUGCAUUUCGCGGCGACCCUCACGGUGACCCCAUCCAGCGAGCCUGCCGAGGUGCCUGUUGACGGGCAGACCAACAGGGUUCUCGAUGCCUAGAUAAUUCAUGCAGUAGGAGAUGUACUCUUUGGUCAGAAAGCCCCUGGCUAUACUUCCCUCUGGACGUGACAUGUUGCGAACGUAUCCUUUAAUGACACCAUUCAUCCUUUCAAACGGCAUCAUGCUGUGCAGGAACAUCGGCCCGAGUUGGAUGAUAUCCUACACGAUAUGGACCAAUAGAUGCACCAUAACGUCGAAGAAUGCGGGCGGGAAGUAUAUCUCAAGCUCGCAUAGUAUCACCACGAUCUCUUCCUGUAGCCUUCUGAGUUGCCUCACGCCAAUCAACUUCCAAGAGAUGAUGUCGAAAAAGUUACAUAGGACAAAUAGCAUUUCACGUACGUGCGCGUCCAUGAUCCCACGGAUUGCAACUGGAAGUAUCUGCGUCAUCAGCACGUGACAGUCGUGAGACUUAAUCCCGCUGAACUUCUGCAUCGCUAGGUCUAGGUAUCUGCUUAUCUUCCCCGCGUAACCGUAAGGAAGUUUUACUCCUUCGAGGCAGUUGAAAAACUGCUCGAUCUCCUCCUGACUUAGAGUGAAGCACGCGGGAGGGUAGUCAUUUCCGGUCUUCUUGGCCUUUUUGCCUUUGCGACGAGUUUCUGUGUCCUGCUUCGCCUCGUCAUCAUCAUCAUCAUCAUCAUUAGCGUGAAGCUCCUGCCUGAUGCCCAUUGAUUUCAAGUCUGCCCUUGCUUUCGGCCCAUAUUUGGUCCUCUCUGGCAUGUUGAGCAGGGUACCAAGCAGACUCUCGCACACGUUCUUCGUGAUAUGCAUGGCAUCAAGGCUGUGAGGCACAUGGUGGAUCUUCCAAUACGGCAAGUCCCAGAAAACAGAUCUCGUUUUCCAUACCUUCAGCAGCGGCUCUGGCGCCUUUCGCUUCUUUCCCGGCUCUAGCGCCUUUUGCUUCAUUCCCGGCAGUGGGCAAUCUUUCCAAUUUUUCAACAGCUCAUCUAUUUCCUCGCCGCUCCUCGUACACGGGCGUUUUUGGGGUUCGGUUUCACCAUCGAACAGAUCCUUGCGUUUCCUCCACUGGUCAUCAUCGCGAAGCCACCUUCGAUGUCCCAUGAACACGGUUUUCAAAGACCCGGGAUCUCUAUCUAGCUGGCGAUAUGUUGUGUCAUCCAUGCACCUUACGCAUCCAGAAAAUCCGUGGACUACCUGCCCCGCGAGAUAUCCAUAACCGAGAUAGUCGUGCACCGUCGUGAGCAGUGCGGCUCUCAUUGGGAAAUAAUCUUUAUCUGCGACGUCCCACGUAUUGGCUGGCGUUUUCCACAGCGUGUCUAGCUCCUCCUUCAGCAGCCCCAGAUACAGAUUGAUGUCGUUCCCUGGUUGUUUCGGCCCUUCAAUUAGCAUACUCAUGUGAAUGUACUUCCUCUUCAUGCACAACGAGGGGGGAAGGUUAUUCAUCCACACAAACACAGGCCAGGUGCUAUGUGUGCUUCUCUGGCUGCCAAACGGAUUGACUCCAUCGGUGCUCGCGCCCAGCAUGAUGUUCCUUGGAUCCUUCCCAAAUGCUGGGUAUUCGAAGUUCAACGCUUGCCACUGGCUCGCAUCCUUAGGGUGACUCAGCAUCUUGUCUAUUUUAUUUAUCUCCGGAUCAUUUCCGUCAUCUUCCCGCUUCUUCUCCUCCCUAUCCGCGUGCCAACGCAGGAGCUUUGCUACCUUAGGGUCCACGAAAUACCGCUGCAGACGAGGAGUGAUCGGAAAGUACCACACCGAUUUUCAAGGAGCUUUCUUCCUCUUCUUGUAUCGAGUGACGCCGCACACCGGACAUUUGGUAGACUCCUUGUGCUCGUCCCGAUAAAUGAUGCAAUUUUUAAUGCACACAUGGUAUUUCACGUGCGGUAAAUCCAGAGGACACACGAUUUUCUUCGCCUCCUUGAAACUGGUCGGGCACUUGUUCCCCUUGGGAAGACGUUCAUGCCAGAAUGACAUGUUCUUGUCGAAGCAUGCGUCGGUCAUUUUGUGUUUUACCUUCAUCUCCAGAGCCAUGAGCGUUACUUUCAGGCGGGUAUCCUCGGGCCUGCAUCCUUCAUACAAUGGAGUAACCGCGUCUAUCUCCAGUUGAUCCAGCUUGGCUUUCUCUUGGGCGGCAGCUCUUGCGUUAUCCGUCUGCUUGCGAAGCAGCUCUUGAAUAUGAGGGUCCUGCACCCAGCCUCCAUCGUCGUCUGCUCCGGCAUCUUAAUCUUCAUGAUCAUGCCCUUCGUCUUGAUCUUCCUCAUCAUCAUGUAUGAAAUCUUCUACAUGAUGACUGUGUACAUCAUCACCGUCAUGAUCAUGUCCUGGAGAUUCUUCGUCUUCUCGCCCGCCCUCGCCGCGGUGGUUGUCUUGUUGCCCUUCCUCAUUUCUUGCCCAGCCCCCAUGGACGACUUCAUAGUCAUCUUCGUCACCUUGCCACCGAUAGCCAUCCAUGAAACCACGCAAGAGCAGAUGGUCCCGCACCUGCCCAGAAUCCGGGUCUACAAUAAGGCUCUUCAGCUUGCAUCUUCGACACGGGCAUCUUAUCUCCGUCUCGUUCUUUUGAAGCAUCUCGGCCUUCGCGGAGCUAGAAAACCUAUUCAUGAUGCCUUCGGUCAUCGUGCGGACCAUGGUCGCCUGCGAGGUAGAGCAAAACGAUAUUUUAGAACCAAGAAAAAAAUUGGCAUGACCUUCCCUAAAAAUAGGACCAAAAAGAAUGCAUAGUGCCAAAAUUCUCGCCGAAACGGAAAUGAAUCAACAUUCCGGCAAAAUAUUGGCAACUAUCGCAUUUCAAAUACCGGUACCUGCAAACACAAACAUAUAUGCAACACCACAAUCAUAUGCAACAUCACAAACAUACAUAGAUCUAGCUAGGCCACAAAAAGUGCAUGUGCAUGUUGUUGGAGCGAGCUAGGGAGAAAAAAGUAGAUCUACAACAUGAAGAUAGCUUUCCCCUUACUUACCUAUCAAAAAAAGGUAAUUUCACCACUUAAUUUUGAUGAAUCUAUGGUGCAAAUGAGGUGAGGAGGAGGAGGCAGCCGAAAGCUUGGAGAAGGAGGUGGAGGGAAUGAAGNNNNNNNNNNNNNNNNNNNNNNNNNNNNNNNNNNNNNNNNNNNNNNNNNNNNNNNNNNNNNNNNNNNNNNNNNNNNNNNNNNNNNNNNNNNNNNNNNNNNNNNNNNNNNNNNNNNNNNNNNNNNNNNNNNNNNNNNNNNNNNNNNNNNNNNNNNNNNNNNNNNNNNNNNNNNNNNNNNNNNNNNNNNNNNNNNNNNNNNNNNNNNNNNNNNNNNNNNNNNNNNNNNNNNNNNNNNNNNNNNNNNNNNNNNNNNNNNNNNNNNNNNNNNNNNNNNNNNNNNNNNNNNNNNNNNNNNNNNNNNNNNNNNNNNNNNNNNNNNNNNNNNNNNNNNNNNNNNNNNNNNNNNNNNNNNNNNNNNNNNNNNNNNNNNNNNNNNNNNNNNNNNNNNNNNNNNNNNNNNNNNNNCUUUGACACGGUGCGCCAUUAGUAGUUUUGCAAAAAAAGAAUAAAAAAAAUUCAGUACUGGCGCACUCCUAGUCUGGUGUGCCAUUACUAGUUAGAACUAGUAAUGGCACACUUCGGCCGGAUGCGCCAUUAGUAUGUAUGUAAAAAUGAAAAAAAAAAUUAUCACUAGUGGCGCACCUUUUGUCUGGUGCGCCAUUAGUGUCUUCCAUACUAAUGGCGCAUCACCAACUGGUGCGCCAUUAGUAUAUAGUAGUGGCGCACUACUUCCCAGGUGCGCCAUUAGUGUCGAUCCUAUCUAUAGCCCUUUUCCUACUAGUGAAUCUACGGGCACCAAAUUUCUAUUUGGAACAAUAAGAACAUCAUUGAUCCUUCCCAUAGGCUUUUUAAUGGUGGAAUCCGCAAGCUGCAAAUUUAAAGAGCAAUCAUCAAGAUCAUGGAAACCUAGAAUAUCACAUAAAGUUUUCGGAAUCGUGGAAACACUAGCACCCAAGUCACACAAAACAAAACACUCAUAAUCUUUAAUUCUAAUCUUUAUAGUAGGUUCCCACUCAUCAUUAAGUUUUCUAGGUAUAGAAACUUCCAAAUUAAGUUUUUCAUCAUAAGAUUGCAUCAAGGCAUCAAUAAUAUGUUUGGUAAAAGGUUUAUUUUGACUAUAAGCAUGAGGAGAAUUAACAACGGAUUGCAACAAGGAAAUACAACCUUUUAAAGAACAAUUAUCAUAGUCAAAUUCCUUGAAAUCCGAGAUAGUAGGUUCAAUAUUAUUGGAAGUUGAGGAUUCUCCAAUCUCACUUUUACCAAAUUUAGCAUUAAGAUCUAAAGACUCCGAAUUCUUGGGACACCUUCUAGGCAAAGUUGAUUCGUCAUCAGUGCCAUAAUCAUCAAAAUUCGUAUUGCAAAACAUAGAUCUAAUAGGAGACGCAUCAAUAACUUUAAGAUCCUCAUCAUUAUUUUCCUCUAACUUUUCUGGUUUAGCGGCCAUCUUAUUGACUAAGGUGGCUUGCUUAUCAGAAAUUUUGGCUAUAGCAUUCUCAAGACGGGUAAUUUGAGCAUUAAAACCAUAAAAUUCUUUAUUCAAAUCAUCAAGCUCUUUGUUCAAAAACCCCAAAAAACCUUUUUGUUCCUUAAGCUCUUUUCUAAAGAAAUUAUUAUGCUCAAAUUGCAAAUUCAUAAAGCUUCUAAUAUUUGAUUCAAUCUCAUCCAUCCUUCUGAGAAGGUGGUCAGGACCCUUAGGUGAAGCCAUAAGGUCAAACAAGCACACAAGCACACAGAAAAAGACAAGAGAAAAGAGAGGAGGAGAUUGGGAAAGAGAGGGCGAAUAAAACAGCAAGGGUGAAGUGGGGGAGAGGAAAACGAGAGGCAAAUGGCAAAUAAUGUAAAUGCGAGGGAGAUGAGUUUGUGAUGGGUACUUGGUAUGUUGACUUGAGCGAAGACCUCCCUGGCAAACGGCGCCAGAAAUCCUUCUUGCUACGUCUUGAGCUUGCGUUGGUUUUCCUCGAACAGGAGAGGGUGAUGCAGCAAGUGUAGCAUAAGUAUUUCCCUCAGUUUUGAGAACCAAGGUAUCAAUCCAGUAGGAGGCUCCUCAAAAGUUCCACACACCUACACAAACAAACUGAGAACUCGCAACAAACGCAAUAAAGGGAUUGUCAAUCCCUUCACGGCCACUUGCGAAAGUGAGAUCUAAUAAGAUAGUAUGAUAAGAUAAAUAUAUUUUUGGUAUUUUAUAAUAUAGAUGCAAAAAGUAAAGAUGCAAAUAAAAGUAGAUUGAAAGCAAAUAUGAUAAGAGAUAGACCUGGGGGCCAUAGGUUUCACUAGUUGCUUCUCUCAAGAUAGCAUAAGUAUUACGGUGGGUGAACAAAUUACUGUCGAGCAAUUGAUAGAAAAGCGCAUAGUUAUGAUAUUAUCUAGGCAUGAUCAUGUAUAUAGGCAUCACGUCCAUAACAAGUAGACCGACUCCUGCCUGCAUCUACUACUAUUACUCCACACAUCGACCGCUAUCCAGCAUGCAUCUAGAGUAUUAAGUUCAUAGGAACAUAGUAACACAUUAAGCAAGAUGACAUGAUGUAGAGGUAUAAACUCAUGCAAUAUGAUAUAAACCCCAUCUUGUUAUCCUCGAUGGCAACAAUACAAUACGUGCCUUGCAACCCUUUAUGUCACUGGGUAAGGACACCGCAAGAUUGAACCCAAAGCUAAGCACUUCUCCAAUGGCAAGAAAGACCAAUCUAGUAGGCCAAACCAAACUGAUAAUUCGAAGAGACUUGCAAAGAUAACUCAAUCAUACAUAAAAGAAUUCAGAGAAGAUUCAAAUAUUAUUCAGAGAUAAACUUGAUCAUAAACCCACAAUUCAUCGGAUCUCGACAAACACACCGCAAAAAGAGUUUACAUCGAAUAGAUCUCUACAAGAGAGGGGAAGAACAUUGUAUUGAGAUCCAAAAAGAGAGAAGAAGCCAUCUAGCUAAUAACUAUGGACUCAUAGGUCUAUGGUAAACUACUCACACCUCAUCGGAGGGGCAAGGAUGUUGAUGUAGAGGCCCUCCAUGGUUGAUUCCCCCUCCGGCAGAGUGCCGGCGAAGGCUCCAAGAUGGGACCUGGCAGAUACAAAAGGUUACGGUGGUGGAAAUUGUGUUUCGUGGUGCCCCUGGAUGUUUUCGGGGUACGUAGGUAUAUAUAGGAGGAAGAAGUACGUCGGUGGCCGCCCGAGGGGCCCACGAGACAGGGGGCGCGCCCUACAGGGGGGGCGCGGCCUCCUAUCUCGUGGAGCCCUUGGCUACUUCUUGACUUGCACUCCAAGCUCUCCGGAUCACGUUCGUUCCAAAAAUCACGCUCCCAAAGGUUUCAUUCUGUUUGGACUCCGUUUGAUAUUCCUUUUCUUCAAAAUACUGAAAUAGGCAAAAAAACAGCAAUAUGGGUUGGGCCUCCGGUUAGUUGGUUAGUCCCAAAAAUGAUAUAAAUGUGUAAAAUAAAGCCCAUAAACUUCCAAAAGAGGUCAUAUAAUAGCAUGGAACAAUCAAAAAUUAUAGAUACAUUGGAGACGUAUCACCUAUUAACCUAGAGCCCAGUGCCAGUUUCUGUUUUCUCCUUGUUUUUGAGUUUUACAGAAAAUGGAUACCAAACAGAGUCCAAUUGACGUGCCAAUUUUUGAUGAAUUUUUGUGGACCAAAAGAAGCCCCUGGAGUGCAAGAGUUGGGCCAGAAGAGUCCCGGGCUACCCACGAGGGUGGGGGCGCGCCCACCCCCCCAGGGCGCGCCCCCUACCUUGUGGACAGCCCGGAGACCCCCCGGACGUGAAAUAAACGCCAACCUGUCCUAUAAAUACAGAAACCUUAGGGAAAUAACCUAGAUCGGAAGUUCCACCGCCGUAAGCCUCUAGAGCCACGAGAAAUCAAUCUAGGCCCUCUCUGACACCCUGCCGGAGGGGGCCAUCAUCACCGGAGGUCAUGGAGGAGGAUCCCGGAGGGGCCAUCAUCGCCAUGAAGGCCAAGGACCAGAGGGAGAUCCUCUCCCCAUCCAGGGGGAGGCCAUGGAGGAGGAAGCACAAGGGGGAGGACCUCUCCUCCUCUCUCUCGGUGGCGUCGGAGUGCCAUCAGGAGGGGAAUCAUCGCCGCAGUGAUCGUCUUCAUCACCAUCAUCAUCACCAUCCUCAUCUCUUUUACGCAGUCCACUCUCCCGCUCCCCGUUGUAAUCCCUACUUGAACAUGGUGCUUUAUGCCACAUAUUGUGAUCCAAUGAUGUGUUGCCAUCCUAUGAUGUUUUGAGUAGAUAUCUUUUGUCUUUGGGUUGAUUGAUGAUCUAGAUUGGUACGAGUUGUAUGUUUUCUUUUGGUGCUGUCCUAUUGUGCCCUCCGUGUCGCGCAAGCGUGAGGGAUUCCCGCUGUAGGGUAUUGCAAUACAUUCAUGAUUCGCUUAUAGUGGGUUGCUUGAGUGAUAGAAGCAUAAACUUGAGUAAGGGGGUUGUGGCGUAUGGGAUAAAGGGGACUUGAUGCUUUAAUGCUAUGGUUGGGUUUUACCUUAAUGAUCUUUAGUAGUUGCGGAUGCUUGCUUGAGUUCCAAUCAUAAGUGCAUAUGAUCCAAGAAGAGAAAGUAUGUUAGCUUAUGCCUCUCCCUCAUAUGAAAUUGCAAUGACAACUACCGGUCAUGUUAACAAUUGCCUAGGAUUAUUCCGCACACCGAUCCAUCAUUAUUCCACACUCGCUAUUUAUAAUAUUUAGUAAUAUAUUCUAACUUUAUGAUAACAACACCUACUUUUAUAUUUAGCUCUCCGAUAUCAUGCAAAGUUAUCCUCUUCAUACCCACAAUGUAGUUUUAUUUCUUGUAUCUAGUUGGAAGCAAACCUUCGGUGUACGUAGAGUCGUAUCAGUGGCAGAUAGGACUUGAGAGAAUAUUGAUCUUACCUUUAGCUCCUUGUGGGUUCGACACUCCAUACUUAUCACCUCCACCUUUGGAAAUUGAUACUAUGAUUCCCUGCACUUGGGGAUUAUCAUCGACAAGAGGGUCGGUUUCAAAUUCCGGUUCACAUACCUCCUAGAUUAAAAUAUCUCUAUGUCAACUUGAUGGCCAUAAUUGUCAUAAAUGUGAAAUGCAACAAAUAGUUAUGAAAGAGAAUUUACCACAUCCGAAUCAUAAAACGGGUGAGGGCCGACGGGGACGGACAUCAAGACCAUGGCACUAUGUAUAAGAAACAAUCAUACAAAGUAAGAAAAUUAUACAUACCAACUAUAUAAAUCGUACAAGUACAACAUAAAAAUUUGAAUACCUAAUAAUCACUAUCAAUAAUGACGUGCUCAUCAUCAUCAUUAAUAAAUUCAUCAUCAUGAUCACUAUCGGUAAUGACGUGCUCAUCAUCAUCAUUAAUAAAUGCAUAAGCAUGUGGAAGGCCACUACGUAAUCGUUCAAGCAUUGACAGGUCAUCUGCAGCAGUAACUUCUUCUUCUUCUGGCUCUUCUGGUUCCGACUCGGGGUCGGAUUCACUAUCGUUGUCUACUUCAAUGUUCUGGGGUGGAGUAGAGCGUUUCUUGAAAAGUUUUUUGGCAAGAGGUGUUUCUUGGAAGAAUUCUUCUUCGUCAUAUGUGUCUUGGUUAAUGUGACAUUCAUAAUCCUCUUCAUUGGGGGGAGGUGGUCUAACACUUGGCGGCACUUCAUAAACGACAUCCCAACCACUGAGAUUUGGAUCACUUUGACAGGCCCACGGUAGAUAAAAAACUUGGGUUGCCUGUUGAGCCGUAAUAUAGACAUCGGGAACAUCCAAAUGGGUGCUUUGGUUGAUUUCGACUAGCCCUAUAUGUUCAUGAGUCCUUCUAGUCUCCCUGGGCUGGAACCAAUAACAUCUGAAGACUACGACGUUUGGUGGGUUUUCACCAUAGAAUUAAAGUUCAUAAAUUGCUUCAACUCUUCCAUAAUACUUGACACCUCCUUCGCCGAUAGCAGAGACACAACAAUUUGUAGACUUUCGGUCGGCCAUAGAUAGCUCUUUGCCAUAGGUACGAAAGCGAUACCCGUUGAUGUCAUAAUUGUCAAAUGAACGGGCCUUAUAGUCAAAACCAUUAGCUACUUGUCUCAAUUCGGCAUCCAUAAUCUCUAAAUUAGCCUACAAGUUUAAUACGAAAGGAAUAUUGCAUUAGUCGCAAAUUAGCCAAAGAAAUGAAAGGGUCUAAUGGAAAUUACCCUUUUUCUGAACCAAGAGAUGAAACCGGGAUAUUUGCCUCCUUGCUUUGCCAGAAGCUCAUACUCUUCGACGGAAUCCUAUUGGUCACCGCUCCAUAUGAGAAUAUGACGACGCAUCGACUGCAUCAAAUAUCCAGGAAUAAGAGCAGUUCAAAGAAAUUAGUAGUUGCAAAAUAAUGUAACAAGAUCUUACUCGAUGUACGGCCGCACUUCUGUUAGGUUGUUAAAGAGAUACAGCAAAAUGGUCCGCCAUUCUUCAACAUCCAACGAUACUGGUUUCCAAGCACUGGAUGGUGCGAGAUUCCCUUUGAAUAGGCUGAGGUUGGAUUGACCCUUUUUAGGCUCGUCAGCAUUGUAUCGUGGCUUCGGAUUAUACAAAUGACGAUUUUUGGCUUCGUAGUGUGUUGUCAUGAAGUUUGACGCCUCCUCAGUGAUGAAUGCCUCAGCCAUCGAUGCUUCUAUUCUACGUUUAUUUUUACAUUUUGCUCGAAUCGUCUUCUACAUCCUCUCAGUUGAGUAGCANNNNNNNNNNNNNNNNNNNNNNNNNNNNNNNNNNNNNNNNNNNNNNNNNNNNNNNNNNNNNNNNNNNNNNNNNNNNNNNNNNNNNNNNNNNNNNNNNNNNNNNNNNNNNNNNNNNNNNNNNNNNNNNNNNNNNNNNNNNNNNNNNNNNNNNNNNNNNNNNNNNNNNNNNNNNNNNNNNNNNNNNNNNNNNNNNNNNNNNNNNNNNNNNNNNNNNNNNNNNNNNNNNNNNNNNNNNNNNNNNNNNNNNNNNNNNNNNNNNNNNNNNNNNNNNNNNNNNNNNNNAAAUAAGCUUGGCGGAAAGAUCAUCUCUAACUUGCAGAUCAACUCCGGCGCCAACUGUUCCAUUUCUUCUAGGAGGCCAGGCGAUAGUUCUUUCGCACAAAGAACACGGAAGAAAUAGCUCAGCUCUGCCAGUACUAGCCUUCAUCCUCAGGGAUGAAGCCACGCAACAUCACCGGCAUUAUCCGCUCUAUCCAUAUGUGCCAAUCAUGACUUUUUAGACCAAAUAUUUUCAAUUUAUCAAGACUCGCUCCCCUCGAGUAUGUGUAGAUCGCGUUUGUUUUCCCAUGCUUUGCUCCGGAUCCGAUGCAAAAUUUUGGCAGCACCUCCCCGCUGUUCUCCUGAUACACGUCUCGGAAAUAAGCAGAGAGGAUGUGUACCCGGAGAACAACAGGGAGACAAUGACAAAAUUCUGCAUCAGAUCCGGAGCUGAGCAUAUGGGAAAACGAACCCAAAUCUACACAUACUCGGGUUGUCCAUGGAUAACAUUGGGCAAUUCGAAAGAAUCAUGAUUAUAAAAAUGCAAAUGCAUGCAUAUUUAUAGAUGUAACCCUUUCGAACGGGAGACGCAUAGUGGUUAUGCAUACUGAUGAUUCAAACCUAUAGCUAGCAAGUUUCAUCGGCACGAAGACCGGAAUAGAGCAAAUGAAGGGGGGAGGAGGAGAUGUCAUUUGUGCUCACCAACGAACGUAGGGGCGGAGCUCGUCGAACACUAGACCCUCGCAACGACGAAAUUACUGCAUUUAAAUCGAAAGAUGGGUAACAUAGCAAGUAUUCGACACCGACGGCCACAUGUACCUCGCAGUGACGAUACUUGCUAUUUACGGUACCAUCGACACCGAGGAACCCUCUAACUCGCUCGUCCUCGGAUAAACUAAAUAGCAACUACCAUCGGUGCAAGGUACAUGAGGCGGUCGGCGUUGAACACUAGAUCCACAUCCCACAAGUGAAGCCGGCCCCCGGCGUCCCGCAACAAUAGUUCUGGUGGCCGAUGACGGUCAAACACCUUGGGGAAUAUGUCUGGCAGCCUCUGCGAUGAGGAUUAAAACCAACUUUUGAAAUUUCAAACAACCAAACCGACUUAGUUAGUUUGGGUGUUUCGAGUUUCAACACUUAGCUUUCAAUCGUCAUCUCUGAGGCUGCCAGACAAAUUCGCAAUGGUGUUCGACCGCCAUCGACACCGAGAACUGUUGUUGCUGGACGCAGGACCCCUGUGUCACUUGUGGGACGUGGAUGUAGUAUUCGACACCGACAGCCACAUGUACCUCGCACUGACGAUACUUGCUAUUUAGGGUACCAUUUACACCGAGAACCACCUAAUUAACCCCCAAAUUCGCAAUGGUUUUCGACCGCCUAACUAUCCCCUCGGCAACCCUCUUCCUUUUUCUCUUUUUCCUCUUCUUCUACUUCGUCUUUUUUUCAAUUUUCUUCUUCUUCUAAUUAUCUAAACCUAAAUCUGGUAGUAAACUAAUUCUACCACUAUAACCUAAUUAAACCUAAACAGAAAAAACAGUAAAAGAAAUCACCUUGGCUCGGCGGUGGUGGAGCAGGCGGUGGGCGCCGGGGCGGGGNNNNNNNNNNNNNNNNNNNNNNNNNNNNNNNNNNNNNNNNNNNNNNNNNNNNNNNNNNNNNNNNNNNNNNNNNNNNNNNNNNNNNNNNNNNNNNNNNNNNNNNNNNNNNNNNNNNNNNNNNNNNNNNNNNNNNNNNNNNNNNNNNNNNNNNNNNNNNNNNNNNNNNNNNNNNNNNNNNNNNNNNNNNNNNNNNNNNNNNNNNNNNNNNNNNNNNNNNNNNNNNNNNNNNNNNNNNNNNNNNNNNNNNNNNNNNNNNNNNNNNNNNNNNNNNNNNNNNNNNNNNNNNNNNNNNNNNNNNNNNNNNNNNNNNNNNNNNNNNNNNNNNNNNNNNNNNNNNNNNNNNNNNNNNNNNNNNNNNNNNNNNNNNNNNNNNNNNNNNNNNNNNNNNNNNNNNNNNNNNNNNNNNNNNNNNNNNNNNNNNNNNNNNNNNNNNNNNNNNNNNNNNNNNNNNNNNNNNNNNNNNNNNNNNNNNNNNNNNNNNNNNNNNNNCGCGGGUGGUGAAGGAGGAGGAGAUCGAGAGAGAGAGAGAGAGAGAGAGAGAGAGAGAGAGAGGCGUGGGGGCGUGGGCGCGGCCCGACCCUAUUUAGUAGGUCACAGUUCUUUGCCAUCUGCUAGCAGACGGCAAAGUGCGUACCUAGUGGGGUGGGGCAGGGGGGAAACGGAUGACCUAACGGCCAUUUUCUUUGCCGACAGUUGGCAGACGGCAAAGAAGUUUUGCCGUCAGCCAGCAGACGGCAAAGAAAAUGGCCGUUAGGGCACCCUCGUAAGCCCGCCACCCACCCUCUUUGCCGUCAGCUAGCUGACGGCAAAGAUAUGCUGAUGGCAAAGCCUUCCGUUGACGUCCGCUGCCUUUUUGCCGUCCGUUUUCUUGUGGCUGAUGGCAAAGACCUUCUUGCCGUCAGCCAGCGGACGGCAAAGAGUUAGCAGACGACAAAUAAGCUAAUAACAUUAGUGGUACUUUAAAAAAACAUAGACAUAUUUUUUUAAAAUUCUUCAAAUUUGUUAAUAUUGAUUAAAUUUGUGGAUAUUUUUAAGCUUAUGGUCAUUUAAAGUUUGUGAACAUUUUUAAAAUUUGAAAACAAUUUUUUGUGACCAUUUUUUUAAACCAUGAAUAUAUUUAAAAAUCAUGAUUUUUUCCUAAAAUUCAUGAUUUUUUUAAAGUCAUAAUAUUUUUAAAGUUCCUUAAGCAUCAUUUAAUUUAACUAACCUUUUCAAAUAAAAAGAGAUAGGUGAUUUUUUCUGAGCUAGCAGUGGGGUGAGUGAAAAAAAAACUAAACGAGCGAGAGGAGUUGAGAGCCAAGUUGAGCGAGCAAGAGCUUCGUGUGCUGAACUAGGACUUUCUGUUCCUAGGACUUUCCUGUUCCUAUCUAUAAGGGAGAAGUGCUCCUGCCUGUCCGUCGUGCUCUUUGUAGAACACCCUGUUAUUUUCUGAAAUCAACCCGUGGUCCAGAUUUAAGUAAGUUCAGAAAAUAUAUUUUGCUUUUUGCAAUUGUUUUAUAAAAAUCAACCCGUGGUCCAGAUUUGAGAUUGUCUAGAAAAACCUUUUGCUUUUUGUAGAAAACCACUGAUAUUUGGGUUAAUCAAGGACAAAUUCAAAUGCUUUAAAAAAUAUGUGUAAUGCCAAUUUUACAUGUUAUAUAUGGAAUAUGAUAAGAAAAAUGUGUACAAUCUAAAUCUGAUAUUAUUUUACAUGUUAACAAUUCUAAAAACACUAUUUAGGAUGCAAACUUAAUCAAUAGCUCACAAGCCGUCUUUCUUUCUUAUCGUUGCCGAUCUGGAUUGGAAAUGAACACCUCAGUAAAACCAGAUUGGUGACGAAAGAAACCAUCUAUAUCACGCAUGCAUGCCUCGGCAAAACCUCGCAGGGGAGAAAGAAUGCAGAUUUCUCAUCUUAUGUAGUGUGAGAGACAAGCCUUAGGAUUGACCAUAUUCAAACGUGUUGUAAUUGUGUGAGCCCUGAUGCCACCGUCGACGGGGGUGAAAGAAGUAUAAGUGGCACCACAGAUGUGAUGCCAUGUUAAAAUAAAGGACAUAGAUCUAUUGGGGUUUUGAGUCAUGAUAACUGGGUUAGCGACACGUUUUUUUUUCUCCUGUUGCAUCGCAUAGACACUUUUGCUAGUGAUAUCCUAGGAACAAAGGAGGCCUUAAUAAAAGUAACCAAAGUGACAAAAUAAGACAUUGCCGAUGCAUGUGCUUGGGCUCCUGAAUUACCUAGUUACUAAGAAUUAAUAGAUUUACUAAUAUCGAUCAGUCGAUUUCGGAAAAUGCAAACUCAGUUUCUUAGUACAAAAAAUGCAACUUGCACGUUUUUCAGAAAACUAUAGCCGCAUGUUAAAAAGUGCAAGUUGUACUUUCCAUAUGGAGGGAAAACCUCAAUCAACUGGUGGACCUAAUUAUAAAUGCAUAUUGCUGGUAUGCCCAUUGUGGUUAGAACAGUGCAAGCAUUGAUAUGCUAGCCGCUCUGUAAUCCACGCCCACUUUUCACAAUCUUUUGCUGAUGUAUAAAUAUGUGCUCAGCAAUCUAAACACGAAAUAUAAGCCCUCCACUUCCUCUUGUUGAUUCAUCUACUAGCUGGUCGCAGUGAAGACGUUCACACUCUUUUCAUAUCCGUCCCGCCACCACCGCCAUGGUACUACUCCUAGACAAUCGAUUUUUCAUUUGGCAUGGUUCUUCCGCAGAAUUCCACCUCUUCUUACUUUUUCUAUGUGUAUCUACUGUGACCACCCUCCUAUACCUCAUGAGCCGUUCGCGCACAGUAUACGUUGUUGAUUAUGCGUGCUUCCGGCCAAACUCGAACUACCGCAUCAGCAAGGCCGCAUGGAUUGAGAAUAUUCACCAUUCCCGGUCCUACGAUGACAGCGGCCACCUUCGCUUCUUGACCCGUAUUUCUGAGCGGUCAGGCCUUGGUGAUGAGACCUACCUUCCUCCUUACCUUCAUCAUAUCCCGCCAUAUUAUUGUUUAAGUGAAGCCCGUGCUGAGGUGGAGUUGUCCAUCUUCACGACCAUAGAUGACCUGCUCCUGAAGACGUCUAUCAACCUUGAUGCAAUCGCCAUACUCAUCGUGAACUGCAGCAUCUUCAGCCCAACUCCGUCCCUUGCUGACAUGAUCAUCAGAAGAUAUAAGCUUCGAGAUAAUAUUUGCAACGUGCAACUGUCUGGGAUGGGCUGCAGCGCAGGGCUAAUCGCCAUGGGUCUGGCGAAGAACCUUCUGCAGAACUCUCCCUCUAGUGCGCAUGCGCUGGUUGUGUCCACAGAGAUCUUGACUGGGACCUACUACACCGGGAGGAAGCGCGAAAUGCAGCUGACCAACAUGUUGUUCCGCAUGGGUGGCUCGGCGGUGCUCCUCUCAACAUCGACUAACAAAGCUCGUUUUGAGCUGGCACACGUAGUUCGGAAUUGUACCAGCUCCCAAGACAAUGCAUACCGAUGUGUAUCUUAUGAGGAAGAUGGUGAGGGAAUUCUUGGUCUCAAUUUAUCCAAGGACCUUGUGGACGUCGCUGGCAAGGCUCUCGGGGCUAACAUCACCACAGUUGGACGGCUUAUUCUCCCGUUGUCAGUCAAGAUUUUGCAUUUUUGCUCUCGUUCAUCUUACGGAAGGUGCUAAGUGGAACCACGAAGCCAUAUGUGCCUGAUUUCUGCAAAGCUUUCGAGCAUAUGUGCAUACAUGCAGGUGGUCGAGCGGUAAUCGAUGCUGUGCAGUGUAGCCUCAGCCUGCUUGAUGAGCAUGUUGAGCCAUCAAGGAUGACACUUCACAAGUUUGGGAACACAUCGAGUAGCUCGGUAUGGUACGAGCUGGCAUACAGUGAGGCCAAGGGUCGAAUGAGGAAAGGGGACCGAGUUUGGAUGAUUGGAUUUGGCUCUGGAUACAAGUGUAAUAGUGCAGUGUUAAAGUGCAUCCAGCCAGCAAAAAGUGCUGAUAAGGCAUGGCAAGAUUGCAUCAAUCGCUACCCAAUAGAUGUUCCUAAGGAGGUGUAGAAUAUGAUGUUAUUUUGGUCAUCUAGGACUAUAUUUGCUUCUGUGGGUUUUGUGCUACCUGCUUGGCGUACCGCAUGAUGUAUGCAGUGAGUAAUUUUAGCUCGGGGUUUGUCGGUUGGUG
This 167379-nucleotide long non-coding RNA is filed under the name Triticum aestivum (bread wheat). RNAcentral describes it as "long non-coding RNA (TAES_LNC015600)". The record is from RNAcentral. Lineage: Eukaryota; Viridiplantae; Streptophyta; Magnoliopsida; Poales; Poaceae.